This 101497-nucleotide long non-coding RNA is filed under the name Citrus maxima (pomelo). RNAcentral's name for it is "long non-coding RNA (CMAX_LNC000709)". Lineage: Eukaryota; Viridiplantae; Streptophyta; Magnoliopsida; Sapindales; Rutaceae. The record is from RNAcentral.
AGUGUCCCUGCAAACAAUUCUGAUUUUCCUGCCAGAGAAAAAAAACUGAGAAACAAUGGCGGCUGAACAAGAAGCUGUGAGCAAUAAGCGAGUGAUUCUGAGCAACUAUGUGACAGGUUUUCCAAAAGAAUCAGACAUGAAGAUAACAAGUGGAUCAAUAAAGCUGAAGGUAGCAGAGGGUUCAAAAGACACAGUGCUUUUGAAGAAUCUUUAUCUUUCUUGUGAUCCUUACAUGCGAUGGCGUAUGAGCAAGCUUGAUAGACCUUCUUUUGUUGAUUCAUUCCAUCCUGGUGAGGUUAGUUCAUCACGACCCAUCUCUUGAUUUUUCCAUUUGGUUUAAGUUUUGGUGAGUUUCUGAGUUCAUUUUUACGGUUUUGGAAUGUGAACACAAUUUUGGUGCUGUAACUGUCAUUAAUGAUAUGUAGUAAUUCAAUCAGAAUUUGGAUUUAUUGCUGAUAUAAGCUCUGCUCAUUUUUUAAAAUCUGGUGUCCACAUGCAUGUUUAUAAUCUUUUUGGUUGAGAUUGUAUGUAGAUUCAUACAGUAUUCUUGUCUAACAAUUACUAACCACAACCUUAUAAGACGAUCGAAACUAAGCUCAGAUCAAUAAUCCAAUCAAGAGAGGAUCCUAACUCAAGCUUGUCAUGUAUGGGAAUAUUUCGGUUAAAUUGUAAUCAUGAUCAUGAAUCAUGCAGGAAAAAGGGAAGUUGAGGUCAAUUUAUGCACUUGAUGGAAUUAAAGAACCAAUAUUUGGUUUACAUUAUUUCUUAGUAAUGGUGACUGUGCCUUCUAGCAGAAUUUUACAUGCUUUAUGUUCUAACUAAGCAUCAAUAUUUGAUCGUGAUCAUUAGCGAGGUCAAUAAUUUUUUUUGACUAUUUUUUCAACAUAAGGUCGAUUUGUUGAAGAACAAGUUUGGAUUUGAUGAUGCUUUUAACUACAAGGAAGAGCCAGACUUGGAUGCAGCACUCAAAAGGUCAGCUGCAACAAACGUUUCAACUCUAAUAUUUCAUUUUAAUAUUACAGAGCUUUGGUUGAAGUGUGUGAGUUGAUCCCAAAAACGUAACUUCAUCAGUGUCUCUGUUUUCAAAAAACAGGACAAAUAGAAAUCUGAUUUUGCUUUAAAAAUUUCCUAGAUGCUUCCCUCAAGGAAUCGACAUAUAUUUCGAAAACGUUGGGGGAAAGAUGCUGGACGCAGUGCUACUCAACAUGAGGCUCCGGGGCCGCAUUGCGGUAUGCGGUAUGAUCUCGCAGUACAACCUGGAAAAACCUGAAGGCGUACACAACUUAGAGCAACUAAUCGGGAAACGGAUUCGCCUGGAAGGAUUUCUAGCUGGUGAUUACUAUCACCUCUAUCCAAAAUUCUUGGAACUGGUCAUUCCUGCAAUCAGAGAAGGAAAGAUGGUGUAUGUGGAAGACAUAGCCGAAGGACUCGAGAAUGCUCCCGCAGCCCUUGUCGGGCUCUUCACUGGCCGGAACGUCGGCAAGCAGCUAGUUGCAGUUGCUUAAUACAAAAGCCAAUAUGGAUGAGCUGAGAAUAUGUGACUGAAUCCAUUGUCCGGUUAAAAAUGUUUGCAUGUGUUAAUAUGAACUAUCCUCGUUUAGUAAUGGGAUUGGAUUGUCCUGUCAUUACUUAAUUUUGUUGAGCUAGGGCAUCUGUGUGUAAAGUGUCAAAUAAUUUGGAUUCAGACAAGAACUUAGUGGAUGCAUUGAAGGAUUUUUUUUUUCUUUUUUUUUCUUUUCCAAGAUAUUGAGAUAAUGAUUGGAACAUUUGAGGGAUAAGAUCAAAGUAUCUUUUAGGAUACCUCAUUGGUAAGUAUUAAAAUAUCAAUUGCGUCUUUAUAAGGACAGGUGGUCCAGGAUCAAGAUUAAUGAAGAACAAAUUACAGCCAUUAGAUUAAAGUGAAAUUAAAGCUGUGAAUAGUACACACUUGUUGUGUGAAAAACUUAAAGGAGACAUUCCUCUGUACAAAAUUAACUUAAUAAUAUGUCCUUAUUCAUUCAUUUGAUUCUUCCUUCUCAAUCGUCAUUAAUAAAUUAAUAAUACAAAUAAGUCCCCGUUAAAGGUUAAGUCCCCGAUUGGCUUUACCGUCACGCUCAUGCAUGAUCAAAUUUCAGUUAAUGCUGACGUGAUCGAUGAUGAUUUCAUUGGGAGCUUCCUUUGUCGUGGCACUCUCAUGUUCACAUUUAUUUUUAGGGUUAAUAAUAAUAAUAGCUUCUAGAAACGCUUUGUUUUAAUGAGAUUUUAUUUUUCAAUUAGUGUAAAAAAAAAAUAACAAAAAUUAAUAAAAACUGAUUAUUUAAUGAUGUUCGGCCCUCGAGACAGUUUAUACUCGUAAUUUAUUGUUUGAAAAUUAUUUCAACAUAUGAAAAACAAAAUUUCCCAAAUUUACAACGAAUUUUAAAACAAAAUUUCGAAAUUUCAAAGAAAAUUACAAAUUUGACUAGAUUGACUGGAAAAAAUAAAAUAAAUAAAAUCGUCAAAAAUCCUGGGACCGACCAUUUCAAAAGUCUGGCUCUUUUCCAGGCUUUCCUUCCAAAUUUUCACACACAAAAUUUCUCGUAACUGCUACACAUUAAACGCGUUUCACAUUUUCACUCUCUCUCUAUAAAUAAAUACGCACAUAAAAUUUCUCACCAUCCAAAAACAAAAUCUACAUAAAAAAUGGCGGGUGAAGAAGCAGUGAGCAACAAGCAGGUGAUUCUGAGCAACUACGUGACAGGGUUUCCCAAGGAAUCAGACAUGAAGAUAAUAACAGGCUCAAUAAACCUGAAGGUGCCAGAGGGCUCAAAAGACACAGUGCUUUUGAAGAAUCUUUAUCUUUCCUGUGAUCCUUACAUGAGAGGACGUAUGAGUAAGCUUGAUAAGCCUUCGUUUGUUGCCUCCUUCAACCCUGGCGAGGUCAGUUUCUUCAAUUCCCACCUCUUGGUUUCAUAAUCUUUUAUGGUCUUAGAGGUGUUUUAGGGAAACAUUAUGGUUUUGGUUUGUGGGCAUGAAUCCUUGAAGAGAGUAUGAUGUGUCGGACUAUGUAUGCAAUAAUAAGUAUAGGGGAUCUUGUUAAGAGAAGAUUCUCUUAAUGAGAUUAAAACUUUUGUCUUAUCAAAACAUAUGUUUAGUUAUGAUAUCAUGUUAGCAUUGUUUCUGAGGAUUUGAUUGCUUGCUUUGGGAAAGGGAUGUUGAGGUUACAUUAUUCAGUAAUGAUUUUUUUUUUUUUUCAAAUGUUCAAAUUAUGCAGCCUUUGAGCGGAUAUGGAGUGUCCAAAGUGUUGGAUUCCACACAUCCAAAUUAUAAGAAAGAUGACUUGGUCUGGGGCUUAACCAGUUGGGAGGAGUACAGUCUCAUCCAAUCACCACAACAUCUGAUUAAAAUUCUGGAUACAAAUGUGCCUCUGUCAUACUAUACUGGGAUUCUUGGUAAGUUGUUACUAAAUUUAUCGAUGUCCAGUUUGCAUGAGCCGAAAAUCGUGUUUUAUUCAAUGCAAUGAGAUAGGGAUAUAUAAUAUGCCUGCUUGAACGUCUAGCAUUUUGAAUUUUCAACAAUUGGUCCGUCUGUAUGGGCAUGUAACUGAAGGAUUUCAUUUGAGGAAUUUACUAUUGUUGCUGAUUAUUGGGUAUUUUUCUGUUGAUUCUAGGUAUGCCUGGUUUGACUGCAUAUGGUGGUUUAUAUGAGCUUUGCUCUCCUAAGAAAGGAGAGUAUGUCUAUGUAUCUGCAGCAUCUGGAGCUGUUGGUCAGCUAGUUGGGCAAUUUGCAAAGUUGGUUGGUUGCUAUGUUGUUGGAAGUGCAGGAAGCAAAGAAAAGGUGAGUUUGCACUCUUGACCCUUAAGCUCCAAAUAAAAACAUAAUAACUUCCAAAAGAAUUGUGCAUGUCACAGUAUUUGUGUUCUAACUGAUCAUGGAUAUUUGAUCAGUAGUCUAGUAGAAACAGACCUAUUAAUACAUAGUUGAUUCGUCCUCAAGAAAAUUUAGUUGAUAUAUGCUUGAAAUUAUAUUCUGUUUUUUAUGCCAGAUUAUAUUAUUAGAUGACUAUAUUAACCAGAUUCUUUUUCUUUGUGCUGUUUCUCAUUUGAUUACGUUUUCAACAUUAGGUCAAUCUGUUGAAGAACAAGUUUGGGUUUGAUGAUGCUUUUAACUAUAAGGAAGAGCCAGACUUGGAUGCAGCUCUUAAGAGGUUAGCACGAAUGAAUGCUUUAACCACUUUUCUCACUUCAUUAUUACAAUGCGCUGAUUGAUGUUAUCUGCGUUGGUCCUGUAAAUGUAAAACAGGACAAACAGAGAUCACUGAUCUCAUUUGUUACAUUGAUAUUUUCUACCAUUGCCAUACAUAGUAUAAACUUGGAAUGAAGAUAGAUAUUCAAUUCAGAGGGAAAUUUUCACUUGCAGCUAACAGAAUCAUGUUUGUGAUGUAUGUUUAUUUAGGAAAUGAAAAGAUUCGUUGCAUUAUUUUAUUCCAAGUUUGCUGAAAUCAUAUUUGUUUUCCCAGGUGCUUUCCUGAAGGCAUCGACAUCUAUUUCGAAAAUGUUGGGGGUAAGAUGCUUGAUGCAGUCCUACUCAACAUGAGAAUUCAUGGCCGCAUCGCCGUAUGCGGAAUGAUCUCACAGUACAACCUUGAGAAGCCUGAAGGCGUACACAACUUGAUGCAAGUAGUUGGAAAACGAAUUCGCAUGGAAGGGUUUCUUGCCGGUGAUUUCUACCACCAAUAUCCGAAAUUCUUGGAACUGGUUAUGCCGGCAAUCAAAGAAGGAAAGUUAGUAUAUGUCGAGGACAUAGCUGAAGGCCUGGAGAAAGCUCCAUCAGCCCUAGUUGGGAUAUUCACUGGGCAGAAUGUUGGAAAACAACUGGUUGUAGUUGCUCCUGAAUGAUAUGAUUACAAUAUGCUUUAAAAGUGGACUGUGCCAUGCACUUUAAAAGCUUAGUGAAGAUGCCUCUGUCUUAUUUUUGAUACAUGUUAUGUUUGUUUGAUCAAGUUGUACUCAGCUAUAAAUGAAAGAUUCAGAACAUGUGUAUGGUACUGGUUUCUAAAUCAAUGAACGCUUUGAAAUGUUAGUGUUUUCACUGGAGAAUGCAGUUUAAUUCAUCAACAAUGUCCCAACAAGACCCUCAAGAGUGGUAGCUUGCAAAGUUAAUUACUAUAUUUUUUUCUUUCCGAUAUAUUGUUCAUUUCAUAGAAAGUUUACAUUAAUUAAAGUCUCAUGUUUCUUUGAAAGGUAAGCAAGUGUGAAUGUUUCUAUCUAGAGCUGGAAAAUGCAUUUCCGUGCAACUUACUUGAUGAAUGAAGUUUUCAUCUCUGACCUUGAUGUUUCCCAGAGCUGCAUUCAUUUCAGCUGAUCUAUUUCAUUUCGUUUGCAAAGGAGUGACACAAAACCUCCUUUGUUAAGGGGAGAAUUUAGAGUGGCUUCAACGGUUAACAAAUAGCCUAAUGUAAGACUUAAUCAAUUUCCUGCCCGGUUGCUUACCACUACUUAUCACUUUAACGUAUGAAACCUAAUCAAGAUUCCUUUGAUGAUUUUUCUAUUUGCUAAUUGAUUGAUAAGCUCUUCAGUGAAGAUAUAGUGUCCGCAAGCCAUAUGUUGAUAGAGUUAGAGUUUGCAGAAGCUACUGUACCAUAUGUUGUUAGAGGCGGUAAAAACGGAGGCAGAUCAACACACAUUUAAAUUUCAAUGACAAUUUACUGGAAAUAAAUUUCCUAUGACCCUACAUGUGACUAAUUGAUGAGAACUUGACAAUGACAAAAGAAAGUGUAUGAGCUUUGCAGGCUGGCUUGCCAAUAUUGACUGUAUGGCACCAUCCGCAAGUAAGUAUCAUUACUGUUUAAUCAACUUGGUGGAGUCCACUGGGACCACCCCACAUGGUCAGUCUUAUCUCUACUCCUAAAUUUUCAAUAUUCCAUACAUCAAACCAAUUGCAGUUUUGAUAUCAAAUUCAAUUUUAUUGUUGGUGACGAUUCUGAUUCCUUUCAUUCUCACAAAACGGAACCAUGGUUGCUGUUGGAGAGAUCUUACUCAACGCCUUCCUUGAGGUGUUGUUUGACAGGUUGGCUUCUCGUAAUUUGCUCCGCUUUGUGCGUCAACUCCAAGGCGGGGUUGAUUCGGAGCUCAAGAAGUGGGAGAAAAAGCUGAAGAUGAUUCAGGCUGUGCUCUGCGAUGCAGAGGAGAAACAACUGACCGAUGAGGCUGUGAAGAUGUGGCUGGACGAACUCCAAGACUUAGCUUAUGACGCUGAGGACAUUCUUGAUGAGUUUGCUACUCAAGCUUUGGAAAGCAAGUUGAUGGCGCAAAACCAGGAUAGCUCUGGCCAGGUUCUCAGUCUCAUCCCGGCUAGUUUGAAUCCGAAUGCUAUUAUGUUCAAUUAUAGCAUGGGGUCCAAGAUUAAAGAUAUGACUAGCCGGCUGGAGCAACUCUGCCAAGAAAGAAUUGAACUUGGACUGCAACGGCUUACUGGAGGGGCGUCAUCAACCGCUGCUGCUGCACACCGGAGGCCACCCAGUUCGAGUGUCCGAACAGAACGUGAAGUAUUUGGAAGAGAAGAAGAUAAGGCCAAAAUUCUUGAUAUGGUCAAUACCCCAAGUGAUCACGCCAACUUUGUUGUAAUACCUAUUGUUGGAAUGGGCGGGAUAGGAAAAACAACUCUUGCUCGGGAGGUCUACAAUGACAAGGCAGUUGAGGAUUCCAAGUUUGACGUAAAAGCAUGGGUUUGUGUCUCCGACAACUUUGAUGUUUUCAACAUUUCAAAGGCACUUCUCGAGUCAAUCACCUCCGCAGCUAGUGAUCUCAAGACUUUAAAUGAAGUGCAGGUUCAACUGAAAAAAGCAGUGGACGGAAAAAGAUUCUUGCUGGUCUUAGAUGAUGUUUGGAACGAGGACUACAGCUUGUGGGUAGACUUAAAAGCUCCGUUCCUGGGUGCUGCACCAAACAGUAAGAUGAUCGUCACCACACGCAAUUUAAACGUUGCAUCAACAAUGGGACCAAUUGAACAUUAUAAUCUCAAGAGUCUGUUAGAUGAUGAUUGCUGGUCCAUUUUCAUACAGCAUGCAUUUGAAGGUAGAGAUCUUAACGCAUAUCAAAUUUCAGAAUCAUUCAGCAAGAAAGUUGUUGGCAAGUGUGGGGGCUUGCCUCUGGCAGCAAAAACGCUCGGGGGCCUUCUGCGCACAACAAGGCAUGAUGCGUGGGACGAUAUAUUGGAUAGCAAAAUAUGGGAUUUACAUCAACAAAGCAGCAUUCUCCCUGUGUUAAGAUUGAGUUACCAUCAUCUUCCGUCUCAUUUGAAAAGAUGUUUUGCUUUUUGUGCCAUCUUUCCAAAAGAUUAUGAAUUCACUGAGAAGGGGCUAACUUUCUUGUGGAUGGCUGGAGGUAUUAUUCGACAGUCAAGAAACAGUGAGCAGCUGGAAGAUUUGGGCAGCAAGUGCUUUCAUGAUCUAGUGUCAAGGUCUAUUUUUCAACAAACCAGCUCUGGUAGUUCUAAAUUUGUAAUGCACGACCUUAUCCAUGAUUUUGCUGAAUUGGUUUCUGGAGAGACCAUUUUAAGGUUAGAGGAAUCCACCAACUUGUCGUCAAGGAGAUUUGAAAGAGUUCGCCAUUCUUCCUAUGCCCGUGGUUGGCUUGAUGGUAAAAAUAAGUUUGAGGUUUUCUAUGAAAUUGAACAUCUGCGAACAUUCUUGCCAUUCUGCAUAAGAGGUGGCCCUAAUACUAGUUACGUAACUAGUUUACUUCUAUAUGAUUUGUUGCCGAAGUUUAAAAAGUUGAGGAUGCUAUCUUUAGAAGGAUACCAGAUUGGUGAGUUACCAAUUCCAUUUGAAGAUUUGAGACCUUUAAGGUUCCUCAACCUUGCCGACACUGACAUAAGAAGUUUACCCGAGUCAACAUGCAAAUUGCUGAACUUGGAAAUUUUGAUAUUACGAAAUUGUUCCCGUUUGAUAAAGCUUCCGCCCAAAAUGAGGAAUUUGAUCAAUUUACGCCAUCUCGAUAUAAAAGGUGCAAAGCUGCUGAAGGAGAUGCCAUUGGGAAUGAAAGCGUUGAGGAGUCUUCAAACAUUGUCCAAUUUUAUUGUAGGCAAGGGUGAAUCUGCAUCUGGUUUGGAAGAUUUAAAAAGUUUAAACUUUCUUUGUGAUGAACUCUGCAUUGCUGGAUUAGAGAGUGUGAAUAGUCCACAGAAUGCAAGAGAAACCGCAUUAUGCGAGAAGCACAAUCUUGAAGCAUUGACUCUAGAAUGGGGGUCUCAAUCUAACAGUCCUCGGGAUGCAGUACUAGAGGAGAAUGUACUUGACACUCUACAGCCUCAUAAACGUAUAAAAGAGCUGGCAAUCAGGCACUAUGGUGGUGCAAGAUUUCCACUUUGGAUCGGACAUCCUUCGUUCUCCGAGAUGAAGGUCCUUAAAUUGGAGAACUGUGACAAGUGUGUAUCUCUGCCAUCGCUUGGCCUGAUGAAUUCACUUAAGCACCUUGCUGUUAAAGGGCUGAAGAAACUAAAAAGCAUAGAGUCUGCGGUCUUUCCAUCAUUGGAGAUUCUAAGUUUUGAGAAUUUGCCAGAAUGGGAGCAUUGGGACACCAAUAUCAAUGGAAAUGUGCACGUUGAAAUAUUUCCUCAUCUCCAAGAACUUUCCAUUGCAGAAUGUCCCAAACUCUCUGGAGAACUGCCUGAGCUCCUGCCCUCCUUGGAGACACUUGUCGUUAGUAAAUGUGAACAGUUGGCAGUUCCAUUGUCUUGCUAUCCGAUGCUCUGCAGAUUAGAAGUUGAUGAGUGCAAAGAACUCGUGUGCGGGACUCCAAUUAAUUUUAAGUUGGUAAAGUCUUUGACCAUUUCAAAUAGUUCAUUAGACAUGAAUGGAUGCAAUGGGAUGCUAUACCAUGGUCCAGCUGGCUCUUCACUGUCUAAACGCAUGACUAUUACAAAUGUUUUGGAGUUUGGAAAAUUAUUGAAGCCUGGAUUUCAGAUAUUAGAAUAUUUGGUAAUUGGCAAUUCUGAACAGCUCAAGUCAUGGAGGCGGGCCAGGAGACCUAGACGUUUUAAUGAACCAGAACACGGGCUAAAAAUUCUCGCUUCCCCUGAAGAGGUAACAAUUGAAGAAAGUUGCGUAAAUCUUGUUUUGUUUGCAGAGAUCAAUUUCUUUCCCAGAAAUCUGCGCUCUCUUCUAAUUUUCAAUAACAUACCUUUAAAAUCCUUACCCGAGGAAAUGAUGGACAACAAUUCACAACUGGAAAGCUUGUGCAUCAGAAAUUGCGAUUCUCUAACAUUCAUCACAAGACACAAGCUACCUUCAUCUCUAAAAAGUAUAGCAAUUAAGAAUUGUGAGAAAUUGCAACGUCCGUUCGAUGAUGAAGAGGAUGCUUCUUCUUCUUCUUCUCCUUCAUCCUCGUCUUCCCCAGUGAUGCUGCAAUGCCUGACUAUAGAGAACUGCCCAGAGCUCACCAGUUUAUCAUCGGGAAUCCAAUUCCUUGAGGCGCUUGAAGUACUCGAGCUAAGGGAUUGUCGAAAGCUGGAGUCAUUACCGGAUGGCCUGCAAAAUCUUAACUGUUUACAGAGCAUUCAUAUAGAUGGAUGUCCAAGUCUUGUUUCCUUCCCAGAAAGAGGGCUUCCCAACACCAUUUCGAGAGUUUACAUUCGUGGUUGUGAGAAGCUUGAAGCCCUGCCCAACGACAUGCACAAACUCAACUCUCUCGAAACUUUAAACAUACGGAAAUGUCCAAAUCUUGUAUCGUUUCCAGAGGAAGGUUUUCCUACCAGUCUAGUAUCACUUACAAUUGGAUAUGUCAAAAUGUAUAAGACACUCGUCCAGUGGGGGUUGCAUAGGCUUACCUCUCUUACACACCUCGAGAUUAUUGGAUGUGAUGAUGAAGCAGAGUGUUUUCCAGACGAGGAGAUAGGAAUGAUGCUGCCCACCUCUCUCACUCAUCUGCAACUUUCGGAAUUCAAAAAAUUGAUAUCUCUCUCUUCGACGGGUUUUCAGAGCCUCAACUCUCUUCAAUCUUUGUGGAUAUUGGGUUGCCCAAAUCUCACAUCAUUCCCAGAGGUGGGCCUUCCAUCCUCACUUUUGGAAUUACACAUUGUCAAGUGUCCAAAGCUUAAAGAAGUUUGCAAAAGAGACCAAGGAGAAGAGUGGCCCAAAAUUGCUCACAUCCCUUGUUUUGAGAUAGACUGGAAAUUCAUAUACGAUCCAGAAUCAGAGGAGUAGAUUCUCCUAUUAAGGUCAGUUGAUUUUUUAUUAUCCGUUAUAACAAGCUCCUCCUUUUUUAUUUUUUUAAUAAUAAUUUAGCAGUUCUAUAUAAUUAUAAAUCCUCCGCCCUUAAUUGAAAAUGUCACUCAUUUGAUUCCAUUUUCACAAGUCAGAUCGUAUGUUGAGGUUAUUUGCAUUUUAUCGGUGUUUAUUAAGGUAAUUAGUGCGUUAUAGGUUGAUUACUCACAGAUUAAGUUAUAACAUUUAUCUUAAAAUUUAAUGUCAUAGACAGAGAUGAUUUUUUAAUCCAAAGUUUUCUUGAUUCACUUCAAUUAGCAUUUUCUUUUCCCCAGAUCAGGCACGCGGAGAGUUCCAAUCAAGAAUUGGAGCAUGUGAAUGGGAUUUUUGUGAAAACAUAAUGAUGCAGGAACUGGGAUCUCAAAGUCAACAGAAUUUUAUUUACUCAUUGACUUUUCAACUCCUGUGGUUAUUUAUGGGUGAAAGAAAGAUAAGGGCAAUUUCAAGAAAUUUGCAAACUCUGUCAAUUUCUUUUAAUUGUACCAAUUUGUCGUUUAUGCUUUGGUUUUAUUUUUUCAGUUUUGUUUAUUGCUUAGAUGGUAGCAUACUUGAAAUGAUACAUAGCCUUCACCGGCAGAAUUCUAGUCUUGGCUUUCACCUCUCUAACUCAUCUCAUCUGUUCCUAUUGGGAUUCCAGAAAUUGAAAUUUCUGUCAUCAAUGGGUUUCAAAGCCUCACCGCUCUCCGAUUUUUGUGGAUCGGGAAUUGCACAAAUCUCACAUCAUUUCCAGAGGUGGGCCUUCCAUCCUUGCUUUUUGGAAUUACAAAUUGGAAAAUGCUACUUUCCCCGGGUCAAAUCCCAGGUCAAACCCCGAAUUAAACCAAAACGACACCGUUUUGGUUUCUUUUUUUUGUCCUUUUUGCUUCCAUGAAACGUGGUCGUUUCAGCCAAACAAAAGCAAAUGUCUUCGUUUUUUACUUCCUCUCCUCUUCGAUUCUCCUCUUCGUUUUACCAACAGACCAACAGAGCACAAAUUGCAGAAGUCACUUGCACAUCAAUUCAUCACAAAAUGCAGAGUUUUACUAAAGAAAAAAACGAUGCCGUUUUUCUUGCCAAAUAUUUUCCAUUUCCUUCGUUCAUGGAGCUCCUGCCACCGCCAAAGCCAAAUAUUUCCCCUUUCAUUUCCUUCGUCAAUCAAGCUCCAGCCACUUGCUUCGUCGAUCGAGCUCUAGCCACAGCCAUUCGCAAAUCGCAGUCCACAAUCCGCGCCUGAAAUUGUCAUUCACAAUCCACAACUCACAACCAUGACUUCACACAGAGAACGACUCCCACAGCCUUCACGCGACAGCGAGAUCGAGCUCUUUAACAUUCGAAGAACAUAUCUGGUUGCGAAAGUUGAUUUUUAAUUUGCUUGCGAGCUGAGAUGCUUCGAAUUCUCUGUUUUUUUUUUUUUUUUGUAAAUUACUAAGCCAAAAGCUUUGCAUAAGCUUCUGCUUCGGUUUUGAAGAUUGUGAAGCUGGAAAUGUUUUUUCCCUUUUUAUAAAUGGAUAAUUGAAAGUUUGAACUUUACCUUCGUACUUUCUUUUUCAUAAAUUGCUCAUGGUGCAGUCUCAUUUUGCUAGUUGAAGAAACAGUUAAGGGGGUCUGUAGUUGGGAAGAAAGAGGAAACGAAAAUGAAAAGAAAAAGCUUAAGUCUCGGUGCGUUCAAGUAGCAUUUUUUCAAUUAAAAAAUUUAAUUCUCAAAACGGCGUCGUUUUCUAAAGUUUCGGGGUUUGACCCGGGAUUUGACCCGGGGUAAAUAGCAGAACUCUUACAAAUUUACAGUUGUCAGAAGCUUGAAAAAGUGUGUAAAAGAGAUCAAAAUUCUUGUCUUGGCUUUCACGUAGGGAUGGCAAAAAUCCCCACGGGGACGGGUACCCUCGGGGAUUUUCCCCAUUCGGGGAGGGUAUGGGGAUAAUUUCAUACCCAAUUUCUUAUUCGGGGAGGGGACGGGGAAAUUUUGUUACCCAAUUUCUUAUUCGGGGAGGGGACGGGGAUGAGGUGGAAUCCCCAUCCCCUACCCAUUUCCCCAUUUUAAUUUUUAAUUUUAUUUUAAUUUUUUAAAAUUACUAGUAAAUAAAUAAUAAAAUUUAAAUUAUAAAAUUAUAAAUAUUGGUAAAAAUAAAAAAUAUCAAAAUAUUUAUAUUAUUAAACUUUUAGGCUUAAUUAACUAAUUAAAGUCCUAAAUUUUUAUUUAGGACAUUAAAAAGACCGAGUAGAUUCUAUUAGCCCAAAAGUUUUUUAUUUUUAAUAUUCUUUAAAUAUUUUAAACUUAAAUCUAUUUUUUAUUUAUUUUUAGAUGUUAUAAUUGCCCACAUCGAAUCACAAUUUUAAUAUCUAAUCUAAUCUAAUCUAAUCUAAUAUUUACUCUUGAUUUGCUCCGAUUUAACUAUUGUGUUGUAAAGGGAAUAGUCCACAUUUAUAAAGUGCCCACGCCACCAUUAAAAAAGUUAAUUUUGAAUCUAAAUUCGAUUUUAUUUGUAACAAUUUUGUAUUAAACUAUUAAUUUGUUCAUGAUAGUUUGUAAAAGAAGUUUGUAUCCCUUGCAUGCUGUGUUACUUACUAAUUUAAUGUAUGUGACUUUUGUAAUGGAUAUUAAUGUAAGAUAUAUUUCAAAUUUUACUUUUAUUUGAAUUUUUUAUUUUAAUAUGAUUAACUCAAAAUCGAAAAAAAAAUAUUAGUUAUUCGGGGAUCGGGGACCCUCGGGGAUCCCCUGUUAUUAUUCGGGGAGGGGAUGGAGAUUCGCUCAAGUAAUUCUGACGGGAACGGGGAGGGGACGGGGACAUACGCAAAAUAUCGGGGAUGGGUACGGAGAGAUUGGUCCCCUCCCCUCCCCUCCCCAUUGCCAUCCCUACUUUCACGGAUAGUUUUUAUCACGUAACCACGUGAGGAAGCAUGUGCUGGAGCCUGAAUUCAGUUAGUUAAAGUUUGUUAACCACGUGUCAACAAACUGUAUAAUCUGGAAAAUAAGCUAGCUAUUGAAACAGGGUAUAAAGGCUGGUUUUUCAGGGACUAUCGAGAGCUGAUUCUAGAGUCUUGUAGAAAGAGGUUUGUGAGAGAGAAAGUGUCAUCUUGUUCUCUGUAAAAUCCGAUAUAGGGCUCUGUAACGAUCUCCAUUGUUGAAUCAAUAAAACUCAUCUAGAAGCUUCUCUCGUGGACGUAUUCUGAGCAAUCAAUGCACAGCUGAACCACGUAAUAUCUUGGUUUCUGUGGGUUCUUGUUUUGGUUCUUGAUAAAUUCUUGUUGUUGUAUUGAGGUGUGAUUUGAUCUGUCUAAACUUGUAUCUGUGCAACUUGAAUUGAUUUGAUGAUAAGAAUCUUGGGCAGUGAUCAGAUUCGUUUAGUUUAAAGAACAAGCUGAUUACUACCGUACCUAUGCAUGGACCUGCAACCUGUGCUGACAAAACUGAAACUGUGAGUUUGAGGUAAAAAGGUCCUGGACCCUCACAGUUUAACUUUGACUUGUUGCUUUCUGGAUAAACAUAUUUUAGAAAUUUGCAAUUUGUUGUUAAUUAUGGUAUGUGAUUUUCUUCUUUGUUUUCGCUUUUGUAGAAUCUACCGUAUUACAUAUUGGCAGUUGUAUCUGAGGUACCUUUUUUGCAUUUAACUUGCCUUUAUCUGUUUUGCCUGUUACUUAACAACACAAACACAUCAUUUCCCAAACAUUUGGAGAAGCAUCUCAAGAUGCUUAACAAACUUGACAAACUUCAAGAUGCUCCCAAGCCUUGAUUCUUCACAAUGGAAGACCUGUGAGUACACUUAUGCCCGCAAUUAUUGUGAAGUGAUUGCAACUUUGAUGCAGCGAAAUGGUUUGCUGAUGCAAAGCUUUAAAACUGUUAAGAAUUACCCUGCAGGCUUGUUGGAUGUUGUAUACUCCAAAAGCCACCAACACCAAGAACUAUAACAGCAAGACUAGGUUUGCAUUAAUUCAAUUAGCUGAAAUAAUGAUGCAAAUGGCACUAUCCAGCUCGACUUAGAGACUAGUCAGGUCAAUCAUCCAUUUCAUCAACAGUUAAUGUCAGGAUGGUGGCUAGCAGAGGAAACAAAGGAUAUGUUGGAAUCAAUAAGAACAGUGAGAAGCAUGAGAGGAGCUUUGAUUAUAAGUAGGCUCAAUGAACUAGUGUUGGUAAGUGGUAAUUAGAGCAAUUUGUGAGCUUAGUAGAGUUUCAAUAUUUUCUGUUUGGGAUAUAGUUGAUAAGUUGAUACUCUGAUUAAGAAGGCUGAUUAUAGUAGCUGACUAUAUUAACCGGGUUCUCUUUUUUGGUUUGCUGUUGUUUUUUCUUUCAAUAUCUUUUUCAACAUUAGGUUUAGCUGUUGAAGAACAAGCUUGGGUUUGAUUAUCAGGUAAGAACAAAUGAAUGCUUUAACCAUGUUUCUCACUUAUCACAAUGCACGGAUUGAAGGCGUCUGAGUUGAUCCUGAAAAUUUGAUGGAAACACUUCUCUGUUUUCAUAAAACAGGACAACCAGAAAUAUCUGAUCAUGCCUGAGAAUUCGUCGCAUUGAAAUUUUCUACCAUUGCCAAACAUAGAAUAAACCAGGGAUACAUUAGCUUAAGACUCAAUUUUGAGAAGGAAGUUUGUACUUGCAGACUAUAAAAUCAUGUCUACCUUGUAUGUUUCUGUGGGGAAUGAAAGAUUCUGUGUGUUCUUUUACUUCGGGUUUGCUGAAAUCACAUUUGUUUUCUCAGAUGCUUUCCGGAAGGUAACAACGUCAAUUUCAAAAAUGUUGGGGUAAGAUGCAUCAUGCAGUGCUGCUCAACAUGAGAAUUCCUGGCCGCAUUACCCGUAUGUGGAAUGAUCUCACACUACAACCUUGAGAAGGUUGUAAGGAGUACACAACUAGAUGCGAGUAGUUUCAAAAUGAAUUCACAUGGAAUUAUAUGUUGCCGCUUAUUACUAUCACGUCUAUCCGAAAAUUCUUGGAAUUUGUCACCGGCAUUGAAGGAUUGUAUACGUGAAGACAUAGCUGAUGGCCUUGCGAAAGCUCCAUCAGCACUUAUAUCGGAAACAGCUGGUUGUAGUUGCUCCUGAGUGAUAUGAUUAAUAGAUACUGUAAAAAUGAACUGUGCCACUCAUAUCGAAAACCAGCUGUUAUGAUGUGUUGGUAAUGUGUUUGAUGCUUGUUUGAUUUAUGUUGUAUUCGGCUAUAAAUCAAAGAUCAGAACAUGGGUGUGUUACUGGUUUCCAAAUCAAAAAAUGCCUUGUGAUGUUAGUGUUCACUGUUUUCACAGGAGACCAGGUUCCUUGUUAAUGAGUCAAGAAGAAGACAAGUGAAUCCAUGUCUGAGUUCAAAUGUGUCUUUUCUAUUUCUUUUACCGACACAUUUAUUUUGAUUUCUUUGACUAGAUGACUAAAGAGUAAAGAUAGAAGAAAUCAAAACAAAUGAGUCAGGUCCCACCUGGCCCAUUGGCCCAUCUCUCUUCCAGCCCAAAUCACUCUCAUUCGCUAUUUUGCCACCUUCAUUUCACUGCCCUCAUAGCUCCCCGUUCUCACGGUGGCUGCCAUCUUUCUGCUCACGCAUCUUUCAAAUUUCAAACCUAACAGCAUUCUGUUGCUCUGUCGUGGGUACUUCAACUUCUGUCACCUUCGGUAAGCUUAUCUCUGCCCCUCUGUGGCUGUCUCUCUCUUUACAAUGUUGUUUCUUAUUCAAUUUACAGAAUUGAAUUCACUGUUCAGUUUAUGGGUUAGAUUUUUAUUCAAAAUAAUAUUAAACCCACCUCAGAUUUUAUCCCGUAGUAUGUAAAGUUCAUGUAAAGUUUCCACCUUUACGACCGUCCGAUGUUUAAAGUUCUAAUUUUGUUCCGGGGUUUUAUCAGUGUAUUUAGAAAUUAUGUCCAUUGUUUUUAUGAAAAUGGAACUAUUUUCAUUUGUUUAUUUCUCUAUGGAUGAGAAAACCGGUCUUUAAGCUUUAUAAUCUUUAUUUGAUUAUUAGAUUUCUCUUUUGUUAUUCAGAUGAGUUCAGUUUUCCAAUUCUGUGCAAUUGUUUUGUUGCAUUUUUCAAUUUUAUCUUUUUCCAAUGCGACGUUUAUGUUUGUAUUUUCUUAAAAGUGGACAUGAAUUUUGAUUUGUUGUUGCUUUGUUGUGAUUGAGUAGCCAAUUUUAAGUCCAUAUUAAACUUUCUCAAUUAUUAGUUGAAUUAUUUGGAUUUGAAAUUUUAAGUUCUUAAAACCGCCAUUUUAACUUGUUUGUUAAUGGCUCUGUUGAGCUUCAACAUUUGUUUUCAAGAACAAAAUUGAUGGAACUAUAAACCUUCGUUUCUCACAUGCGGGCAACAUGUUAUGUUAGACAGAGUGAAAUCGACAGAAGAAACCAAAACAUUGGAAACAGAGACACAGAGAGAGAUCAGCAGAAAUGGCUUGGUGCAGAGUACGCUCAGCUUCAUCGACACUCUUCAUUAGGCUUCUCUGCCCUUUCAUUCUCAACAAUAACACUACUUAACGCUAUCAGUCCUGUGGUACUCUUGUUUCUAUACUUGUGGAAUCUCUUUUUUAAUCCUCAAAGUUUGAAUUAAAUUAUAUUGCCUCUGUAUUUCUGCAGAAACGGAAUCAGUUGGUGAUGACAUUAAUUCUCAAGUUGGAAGUUGCAUGCCACUUUCUUGUAUGCAUGUUGGGACCAUCAUCAACAACAUUGAGGUAAACUCAGCCAAGAUUUUGAAAAAGAAUCCACUUCAAGGUACUGCUUAGUUUCUGGAAAUGAGAAAUUGAUUGACACUAGACGUCAACCCACCAUUGAUACAGCGUCUAACCCCAGCCAUGAAGCUAAGAUGCUUAGGAAGGCUGGUCAGAGCCAUUGGUUGGGCCAAAGACCUGUGAUUAGAGGAGUACCCAUGAAUCCAGUUGAUCAUCCUCGUGGUCGAGGUGAGGGACAAGGCAAAAGUAGUGGUAAGCAUGGAAGGUGUUCACUUACACCUUGGGGCAAGCCUUGUAAGUGGUGUAAAACUGCAUCUCGUAAGAAGAAAAGGAAAUUUAGCCGUCUGAUAAUAUUGUCCUUCUGUGCUAUUUAGCCUUUUUAAUAUUGUUACAUUGUUUGUUAUAUCUUUGAUGUUAGUUUUGGACCAGCUUUUAACUGAUCCAUAAUGAAACUGAAGUUUAAUUUUCGAUUGAACUUUUACUGGUUUUACUCCUGUCAUUUCAAUUUAGCUUUGAUUUAAGAUGCUGAAUUCUGUGAUUGGAGUAUGUAGAUUGGAAAGAGAGAUAUUAUGGGAUAGAAUAUAGAUUUUGUGUUUUGGUUUCUCAUGUUUAGAGAUAUUCUGUUCUUUUUCAUUUAUUCAAUUUGGUUAGUGGUGAUCUCUUAAAGAGUUAAUGCAUGUGUGUUUAUGUACUUUUCUUUUGGCCUUGAUUCUAUUUCUUGGGGAGUUUAUACAGAUUCCUCUUUUAUGCUUCACAUGCCACAUGCCACAUGAAAGAUGAAAGCCUUUUGUGUGAUUAGAAUUGACUUGCAUCAUAGUAACUUUGAACCACUGUAACAUUUUUAUAAUAGCAGUCUGCGAUCUCCUUGAAGGAUUCAAAGCAUUUUUUUUGUUAGUCUUGGCUUGCAUUAAAAUCCUUUAUACCGAUUGGUUGGUCUCCUUUAAAGCAAUUCCUGUUUUAAGUAAUCAAAAUCUUGAUUCGGAAGUGUGUUUUAGCACUACUAAAGGUUCUUUUAAAUACUAAAUUGAUUGUGAGUCUUCUAUAUCAUCUGAUUGAAAUACAUGAAAGCGAUAUUGGCUACAAAAGUACACUUGGGGUUGUUUAUAAAGUCUUCAACAGGAUUUUUUUUUCCCCUUCCUCAUGGUUUAUUUUUUAGUUGUUGUUUAACAAAACACUUAAAAGGUUCUCUUUAUAGGUUUCUGAAAAUAAUUUUAACAUAACCAUUUUUCAGAAGCACUUUAGAUACCUGUGGCAUUUAGAAAAUUUUGUUCCAGCAUUCACAUAAUAUACAUAGAAAUUUGAAUUUAUUUAAUUAUGAGCAUGUGCUAGUGCCUAUUGGCAUCCACUUGUAUAUACAAAUGUAUUAUACAAUACAAUAUUAGCUUGACUGUAGCAUAGAGGAGAAUAGGGUCGGAAUUGGUCUGAAUUCUGAUCUUUGAAUAAAUAUAAUAGCUGAUUGAAGCUGCUCAUGUGACUCCAUUGUCAGCAGCUUACACAAGGUCUUUUAGCUUUUUAAAAAGUUUUGUGAUAUUUCAUAGUUCACAUGGAUUGCUACAGUAUAGAAUACCCAAUUAGGGCAUUUUUAAUUCCUAUGCAUAGGAGUCUUCCUUCAUGCGCACGCGCGUACACACAUAUAUUUCCCACUUCCGUUCACUCCAAAAGUGAAAAUUGCGGGCAAUUUUUAUCUUCAGUAAAAUUGGAGUAGAUGUUGUUCUUAUUGGCGCAAAUUUGCGUACCAUGUUUGUGGGACCCUUAACCUUGCGCCUUUGUUACAAUCAUAUGCAUUCAGGCUUUUGGUAGACCCUUGGAUAGUAUGAUCAGUGUAUUAGAAUUUAGAAUUCGUGUUUAUAAGGGUCAGUUUGGUAAUGUUAUAAUUUUUAAAAUAAUUACUGUUAGCUAUACUAUAGAAAUAAUCAGUUGUGAAUAAAAUCAGUUAAACAGUUGAUAAAUUUUGUUUUUAAGGUGUUGUGAGUUUUAAACAAUUUGUAUGUAUUUAGUAAAUCUCGCUUUUAAAGUAUUAUAAGAAUGCAAAGACUUAAAUAGAUAGAAAUCUAUAAAAUUUAUUUACAUGUGCAUUUAUACAAUAAUAUUUUAUGCAUGUAUAUAAUAAUUAAUAACAGAAAUAAAUAUUUUUAUUUUAUUAAUUAUAUAUUUUUCUUAUUAUCUCAAUAUAAUUGGUAAUAAUAAUCUUUUUAAUAGUACAUUUAUUAAUCAGUAAUCGAAAUGGGCUGGAAUCGGAAUGGGGAAUGAAAAUCAUAAUAAUUUGUUUACUUUAGCUGUAGGAAUCAAAAUCACAUGGAGCUAUAUUAUCAUUAAUAUAUUUAUUUUGUCUUGGAAUCGAAAUAGAUUGUUACAAAUUACUAAACUGAUUUUAUUAUUAUCAAUAUUAUUAUUAAACAAGGUAAAGGGAAUUUUUAAUUUUCACUAGGUGUAGAAAUGUCGAUUCACUUCUCAUUCUCAUUCUCUGUUCUCAUUCCCCCUCCUCAUAGGAUUACCAUUUCACAUUCUCAAAAAUUUAUAAUUGACUCACAUUUCAUUCUCAUUCCUCCUUAUUUUGGAAGUAAAUAAGUUAAAGAAUCAUAUUCCUUUAUUCUUGUUUUUCAUUCACAUUCCUUCUCCUUAUUUUGGAAGUAAAUAACUUAAAGAAUCAUAUUCCCUUAUUCUUGUUCUCGUUCUCGUUCUCAUUCUCAAUUAGUAAGCACACUACAAAUGCAAUGAUUUUGUUUCCUAAUUAAACAAGGAUAAUUUUUAGAUUUUUAUAAUAUAUGUUAAGAUAUAUGUAGAAUUGUAUUAAAUAUGAAACUGACUCCCAAAAUCAUAUUUUAAAAAACUAUUUUUUUCUUAUUUUUUGAAAUUUAUUGUAGGCUAGGGUGAUUUUAUCAAAGUAAUUUUUUUAAAAAUUUUCGGACCCAUUUGGGAUUGUUUUUGGAAGACUCAAAAAGGAUUUUGAAUAGCUAAAAUCUAAGUUUGGUGUUUUAUAAUUUUUUUUUAAAAAAAUUACUUCUGAUAAAAUUAUCUUAUCCACGUUAAAUUUUAAAAAGAAAGGAAAAAGUAAUUUUUUAAAAUCUGAUUUUAAGAAUCAUUUUUAUACUUAAUACAAUUUCAUAAAUAUCCUGAUAUAUAUCAUAAAAAUUCAAAAUUAUCUUUAUUAGUUAGGAAAUAAAAUCAAUAAUUUUAAAAAGAUUAUUAUUAUUUCUAAUUAUAUUGAGCUAACAAAAAGAAAUAAAAUUACUAAUAUAAAAUUUAUUUUAACUAUUAAUUAUUAUAUUUACCAAUAAAAAACAUUUUAUAUACACGUUUAUAAAUAUUUAAAUAAAAUUUAUUCAUGUCGAGUUCAACCAUUUAUAUUAUUACAGCAAUUUAACAACUGGUUGUCGUUGCUCGGGAAUUAUAGAAUUACCAUAUGUUGUAAAAAUGCACUAAGCCAUGCCAUGUGUUUGAUACAGGUUAUGCUUGUUCGAUUAAAUUGUACUCACCUAUAAAUCAAAGAUUCAGUACAUGUGCAUGUUAGUGGUCUUCAGAAUCCAGAAUAAUAAAUGCCUUGAAAUGCUUGAGUUCAAUGAUUUCGCAGAAGACCAAGUUCCUUGUUAAUGAGUCAGCAUGACUGAAUCCUUCACUAAGCCAAAUUUGUUUUCACUUUUAGUUUAGAAAUUGUCAUUAAUUAAGAAAGUGUUUGAUAAAAUGCUUUGGAAGGCACUGUUCGUUGGACGUUUGCCCAGAAUUUAUGAAAUCAUUGGUGUUUCAUCCUACUUGUAACACUCUUCUUUAUUUUCUAUUCUAACGAAGAAAUCUUUUAUUAGAAAAGUGACAAGAUUGCACCUUUCAUUUGUAUGUUAAGGAGGUGUAAAAUUUUCUCGUUAAAAUCCCAUCAUGAAAAAAACUCACGGGCAAAAACCUACUGCAAAUUAAAGAAAGAAGAGUAAAUCAUGAUAAAUACACUCUCUUUUACAAUGCAAGCGGAUGCUUCAAUGAGUGGAUCAUGCGCCAAACUUGUAUAUCGUUGUUGGUAGUGCUUUGUUGAAUCAAUAUGAUAGAUUUUCACUUUUCUUUUUUUUCUUUUCUUUUUUUUUUCCUUGUGGAUACGAAAAUGAUUUGGGUUAAACUAUACUUAAUGCCGGUUUGGUACGACUUCUCUACUAAUUAAAAGAGUUUUUUUUCUUAAAUGUUCAAAAAGAUUUUUUAUUAUAAAUUGUAAUUUGAGUGGAUUUCUUGGGAUUAAACAAGUUACAUUUUUGUCUCUAUAAAGAAGUUCAAGUUAUAGAUUUUGGCAAUAGAGAUGUAGAGGUUUUUUUUUUUUCAGAGAACUAAAUUGUGGAGACUAUCUUUAUUUGGUUAUACAACUUUUUUUUUUUUAAUUUCAUAACAUAAUUUUAAAAGACUUAUUUAAUAAAUUUGAUAUUUUUUUGUAAAAAUUAUCAUUCACGUCCAAACUACUGAAGAUUUUUUUGUUAAACGCACUACUUAAAAGUUAUAUUAAUUAUAAACUUUCUAAAAAAAAAAAACAAUUCAAAGAGUUAUAGCAAACAAAGUGCUAGUUAACUUCAGUCGAUAAUAAUCUUCUAAUCCGUCCUACAAAUGACUUUCGACAAGAGUGGUGCUACUCACAUCUCUUCAAAACCCAUUUGACACCCCGUUUUCUUUAUUUAAAAUUUUAUACAUUUGAAAAUUAUUUUUUCUUUUACUUGACACUCUUCAAAUUCUAAAACUAAGCUUCAAAGAACCUUCGUCAUUAAAUCUCAUUGCCUUCCUUUAUUCUUGUUACUUGAGAAGAAGAAUGAGAGUCUGGAAGAAUGAAAGAAAAUUCAGCGAGAUAGAAAUCUAGUAAUUUCAUACCAUGAUUCAGAAUUUUUUUUUUCUCAAAAGAAUCUACUAUUCUUCUAUAUUUUAUAUAAAAAAAAGAGGAAAAGAGGAAACUGAGAGACUCUUUGUUUAAUGCUUGAAAGUUAGAAAGAAAAGGUCAGGAAGCUGCCUGGUAAUGAGAGUGAUGCAUCAGCACUAAUUUCUAUCUCGAUAGCUACCAAUUACCACCCCUAGAAAGGCUGUUGAUCAACAAGCCAUAUCUACUGGUUUCCUUUCUUUAAAAGUUCUAAUGGUCCCCUUAAAAAUCUCUAUAUGCUCAGUCUUCUCAUGAUAUAUCUGAUUUUCGCUGAGAAUUAUAGCAAGCGCUUCAGAUAUCAUAAUACUUUGUGACUGACUACUGUGCAUGCUUAAUUAUAAGAUUAUUCCUUGUGGCCAAAUAAAAUGACCCCCUUUAGAGCCUCUGUAUUUGAAAAAGCAAGACAAUGAGCUUAAUUAUUGUCAAGGUCUCCAGUAGGAUACUCCUAAAUCCAUAUACCCACCCACCAGAACUCCAAUCUUGAAACUUAUAGAUCAAACCAUAACUUAAUGUGCCUGGCAACCAGGGAUAUGUCAGGCCUUUAAAAAACCACUACAUACAUUUGAGUCUGAAAUUGCUCCAAUUAGUAUUAUGAUUAUUAUUUUAAAAAACUCAACCUAAGCAAAGUGCCUCAGCAUACAAUAUUUAUUGACAACUAAAAAGUAAUAGUGGGUGGGGGUUGCCCUGGGUUUUGUUUAAAAAUUGAAGUAAAAAAUUUUCAAAUUUCAAAUUUCUAGUACAAAGAAAAUUGAUGACUAAAUUAAAUUCUGCAAAUUAAUUUCUAAUAUUACAUGAAAAUAUAUCAAGUUAAUUGGUAACAUUGUUAAUCACUUAAUCCUCAAUCUAAUACGUUAUGUAUUUGUUACUCUGUCUUAAAUCAAAAGUGGCGGUGAUUUAUUUUUAUUUUCACUAAUAAGAAAGGCAUGUUAGAGCUUUUAUUUUGUUGAAAAUGAACCAAAAAACUCCGAUUGGGAGAUUAUAAAUGUAUUUAACAAUAAUUUAACUUCCAUUUUGAAAGUCAUUAUAUUGUUUAUUCAGGAGAAGCGUUCUUUUAUAUUUUAUAGAUAUAAUGUUUGCUAAUCCUAAUUUAAGCUAAAGCAUAUGCAUUUCCUAAUUAAUUCUAAUUUAAGCUUAUUCAACUGCAUUCAAUUAAUGUUCGAUAAUACAAAUUCUAAAUACUAUAUACUCUAAGAAUUUUAAUCGUAAUGACAAGGUGAUCAUUUAAUUAUUACCGUUAAAUUAUAUAUGUAUGGUGGAGACGAGUCCACACGGUUUUGACGAGAAAUUAAAGACAAUAUUUAGUUAAGCUAGUAGUAUUUGUUCUGUUUAGUACGUCGUUUUACCAGCAAGCAUCCCGGCAAUGCACGCAUUAAUAAAAAAAUUUAUCUGUUUGGACUGAUUGGUAGUGAAAAAUUCCACAUACUUUAAAUUAAGAAAAUGCUAAGUAUCUUAAAGAAAACAAUUAAAAUAUUGUCACUUGAUGCUUGAAUCAUUAUUGUUAAAUAUCUCCGUUGAGUUGUAUUCCCCAGCUGUGAGUAUCAUUAUUGUCUUUGCUAUCUAAUCAAUUCAAUUUUCUUUCUGGAGACAAGAUUUUGAUUCCUUUCAUCGUUACAAAAACGGAACCAUGGUUGAUGUGGGAGAGAUCUUACUCAACGCCUUCUUUCAGGUGUUGUUCGACAGGUUGGCUUCCCGUGAUUUGCUCAGCUUUGUCCGUCAACUUGGAGGGGGGGUCGAUUCCGAGCUCAAGAAGUGGGAAAGAAAGCUGAAGAUGAUUCAGGCGGUGCUCAACGAUGCAGAGGAGAAGCAACUGACUGAUGAGGCUGUGAAGAUGUGGCUGGACGAUCUCCAAGACUUGGCUUAUGACGCUGAGGACAUUCUUGAUGAGUUUGCUACUCAAGCUUUGGAAAGCAAGUUGAUGGAGCAAAAUCAGGAUAGCUCUGGCCAGGUUCUCAGUUUCAUCCCGGCUAGUUUGAAUCCGAAUGCUAUUAUGUUCAAUUAUAGCAUGGGGUCCAAGAUUAAAGAUAUUACUAGCCGGCUGGAGCAACUCUGCCAAGAAAGAAUUGAACUUGGACUGCAGCGGAUUACUGGAGGGGCAUCAUCAACUGCUGCUGCUACACAGCAGAGGCCGCCCAGUUCGAGUGUCCCAACAGAACGUGAAGUAUUUGGAAGAGCAAAAGAUAAGGCCAAAAUUCUUGAUAUGGUAUUGGCCGAUACCCCAAGUGAUCAUGCCGACUUUGUUGUAAUACCCAUUGUUGGCAUGGGCGGGAUAGGAAAAACAACUCUCGCUCGGGAGGUUUACAAUGACAAGGCCGUUGGCGGUUCCAAGUUUGAUGUAAAAGCAUGGGUUUGCGUAUCUGACGUCUUUGAUGUUUUGGGCAUCUCAAAGGCACUUCUCGAGUCAAUCACCCGCAGGCCAUGUCUUCUAAACAGUUUAAAUGAAGUGCAGGUUGAAUUGAAAGUAGCUGUGGAUAAAAAAAGAUUCUUGCUGGUCUUAGAUGAUGUUUGGAACGAGGAGUACAGCUUGUGGGUAGACUUAAAAGCUCCGUUCCUGGUUGCUGCACCAAACAGUAAGAUGAUCGUCACCACACGCAAUUCAAAUGUUGCAUCAACAAUGGGGCCAGUUGAACAUUACAAUCUCAGGAGUCUAUCGGAUGAUGAUUGCUGGUCCAUUUUCAUAAAGCAUGCAUUUGAAUCUAGAGAUCUUAACGCACAUCAAAUUUCAGAAUCAUUCCGCAAGAAAGUUGUUGCCAAGUGUGGAGGCUUGGCCCUGGCAGCAAAAACACUCGGAGGCCUUCUGCGUACGACGAGGCAUGAUGCGUGGGAUGAUAUAUUAGAGAGCAAAAUAUGGGAUUUACCACGACAAAGUGGGGUUCUCCCAGUAUUAAGAUUGAGUUACCAUCAUCUUCCUUCUCAUUUGAAAAUGUGUUUUGCUUUCUGUGCAAUCUUUCCAAAAGAUUAUGAAUUCAAAGAGAAGGAGCUGACUUUUUUAUGGAUGGCCGGAGGAAUUAUUCGACAGUCAAGAAGCAAAGAGCGGCUAGAAGAUUUGGGCAGCAAGUGCUUCCAUGAUCUGGUGUCAAGGUCAAUUUUUCAGAAAUCAGCAAUCUCUGCUAGUUCUAAAUUUGUAAUCCAUGACCUUAUCCAUGAUCUUGCUGAAUUGGUCUCUGGAGAAACCAUAUUUAGGUUAGAGGAGGCCAAUACUCUGUCAAGAAGAUUUGAAAGGGUUCGCCAUUCCUCCUAUGCUUGUGGUGGAUAUGAUGGUAAAAAUAUGUUCGAUGUUUUCAAUGAAAUUGAACAUCUACGAACAUUCUUGCCAUUACGCUUACGCAUAAGAGGUGGCUUUAGUUCUGGUUACAUAAGUCGAACGGUCCUAUCUGACUUGCUGCCAAAGUUCAAAAGGUUGAGAAUGCUAUCUUUAGAAGGAUACUGUAUUGGCGAGUUACCAAUUCCAUUUGAAGAUUUGAGACUUUUAAGGUUUCUCAACCUUGCUGACACUGACAUAAGAAGUUUACCCGAGUCAACAUGCAAAUUGCUGAACUUGGAAAUUUUUAUAUUAAGAAAUUGUUCCCGUUUGAUAAAGCUUCCAGCCAAAAUGAGGAAUUUGAUCAAUUUACGCCAUCUGGAUAUAAGAGGUGCGAAGUUGCUGAAGGAGAUGCCAGUCGGAAUGAAAGAGCUGAAGAAGCUUCAAACAUUGUACAAUUUCAUUGUGGGCAAGGGUGAAACUGCAUCCGGUUUGGAAGAAUUAAAAAGUUUAAACUUUCUUUGUGAUGAACUUUGCAUUGCUGGAUUAGAGAAUGUGAAUAAUCCACAGAAUGCAAGAGAAGCGGCAUUAUGCGAGAAGCACAAUCUUGAAGCACUGACUCUAGAUUGGGGGUCUCAAUUUGACAAUUCUCGAGAUGGAGUAGUAGAAGAGCAUGUACUGGAAAUUCUACAGCCUCAUAAACGUAUAAAAAAGGUGGCAAUCAGGAACUAUAGAGGUGCAAGAUUUCCACAUUGGAUAGGAGAUCCUUUGUUCUCCAAAAUAGAGUUCCUUGAAUUGGAGAACUGUGACAAUUGUGUAUCUUUGCCAUCGCUUGGCCGUUUGAGUUCACUUAAACACCUUGCUGUUAAAGGGCUGAAGAAACUAAAAAGCAUAGAGUCUAAGGUUUAUGGGGAGGGUUUCUCAAUGCCUUUUCCAUCAUUGGAGAUUCUAAGUUUCGAGAAUUUGCCAGAAUGGGAGCAUUGGGACACCGAUAUCAAAGGAAAUGUACUUGUUGAAAUAUUUCCUCGUCUCCAUAAACUUUCCAUUGUGGAAUGUCCCAAACUCUCCGGAGAACUGCCUGAUCUCCUGCCCUCCUUGGAGACACUUGUUGUUAGUAAAUGUGAAAAGUUGGUAGUUCCAUUGUCUUGCUAUCCGAUGCUCUGCAGAUUAGAAGUUGAUGAGUGCAAGGAACUAGCGUGCGCGACUCCAAUUGAUUUUAAGUUGAUAAAGUCUGUGACUAUUUCAAAUUGUUCACUAGACAUGUAUGGAUGCAAGGGGAUGCUAUACAAUGGUCCAGCUGGCUCUUCACUGCCGAAAUCCAUGACUAUUACAAAUGUUUUGGCGUUUGGAAAAUUAUUGAAGCCUGAAUUUCAGAUAUUAGAAACUUUGGUAAUUGACAAUUCUGAACAGCUCAUGUCAUGGAGGCAGCGUGGGAAUUUCCGAGAAGAAUAUUUGGCCGUUCGCCGAAGGCUUAUCAAACCAUUACAAGGGCUAAAUAUGCUCGCUUCCCCAGAAGAGGUAACAAUUGAAGAAAGUUGUGUGAGUUUUGUUUUAUUUUCAGAGAUCAAUUUCUUUCCCAGAAAUCUGCGCUCUCUUCUAAUUUGCAGCAGCACAGCUUUAAAAUCCUUACCCGAUGAAAUGAUGGACAACAGUUCACAACUCAAAAGGUUGUAUAUCAGAGAUUGCGAUUCUCUAACAUUCAUCACAAGACGCAAGCUACCUUCAUCUCUAAAAAGUAUAGAGAUUCAGAAUUGUGAGAAACUGCGACAUUUGUUCGAUGAUAAAGAGGAUGCUUCUUCUUCUUCUCCUCCUUCAUCCUCGCCCUCCCCAGUGAUGCUGAAACACCUGAGUAUAAAUAAUUGCCCAGAGCUCACCAGUUUAUCAACAGGAAUCCAAUUACUUGAGGCGCUUGAACACCUCGACAUACGGGAUUGUCGAAAGCUGGAGUCAUUACCAGAUGGCCUUCACAAUCUUAACUGUUUACAGGAGAUUACUCUAAACAGUUGUCCAAGUCUUCUUAGAGGGCUUCCCAACACGAUUUCAAGGGUUGACAUUUACAGCUGUCCAAGUCUUGUUUCCUUCCCAGAAAGAGGACUUCCCAACACGAUUUCAAAGGUUGACAUUUUUAAUUGUGAGAAGCUCGAAGCCCUGCCCAAUGACAUGCACAAACUCAACUCUCUUCGAGAUUUAAGCAUAUUGGGGUGUCGAAAUCUUGUAUCCUUUCCAGAAGAAGGUUUUCCUACCAGUCUAACAUCACUUAGAAUUGGAGAUUUCAAAAUGUAUAAGACACUCAUCCAGUGGGGGUUGCACAGGCUUACCUCUCUUAGACGCCUCUAUAUCGUUGAUUGUGAUGACGAAGCAGAGUGUUUUCCAGACGAGGAGAUAGGAACGAUGCUGCCUACCUCCCUAACUCAUCUAUCCUUUCGGGGAUUCCGAAAUUUGAUAUCUCUGUCUUCGACGGGUUUUCAGAGCCUCAACUCUCUUCAAUACUUGUGGAUCAGGGAUUGCCCGAAUCUCACAUCAUUCCCAGAGGUGGGCCUUCCAUCCUCACUUUUGGCAUUAUGCAUUAUCGAUUGUCCAAAGCUUAAAAAAGCGUGCAAAAGAGAUCAAGGAAAAGAGUGGUCCAAAAUUGCUCACAUCCCUCGCAUUGACAUAGACAGGAAAUUCAUAUACGAUCCAGAAUCAGAGGAGUAGAUUCUACUAUUAAGGUCAGUUGAUUUGUAUUAUCCGCCAUAACAAGCUCCUCCUUUUUUUUUAAAUAAUAAUAAUAAUUCUUACCAAUUAAUGAUGGUAAGAUGUGUACUUAUUCUUUCUUCCGGACAACCUUGCCUUCUUUCUUCGGUAGCAUAUCUAAUGAAUAUUUCUCUGUUUAGUUAAGGAUGAAUGCUUGGAGUGGAGUAUUUGGUAACAUUUCUGCCGUAGAUGAAACCUUGAAGAAAUGCCUGCACUUCCUGAGACCAAAUACAGGUCUGAUUCACAACAACACCUGUCCCAGAAAAUAUGAUACAAGCCAAAGCCAUGUUCUGAAGCAGAAAUAACGCAUUUCAAUUUUUAUCUGGUAAAAAUACACAGCCCUCGCCUACAAAAUUCUUAUCUUGGCUUUCACGGAUAUUUUUAUCACGUAACCACGUGAGGAAGCAUGUGCUGGAGCCUGAAUUCAGUUAGUUAAAGUUUGUUAACCACGUGUCAACAAACUGUAUAAUCUGGAAAAUACGCUAGCUAUUGAAACAGGGUAUAAAGGCUGGUUUUUCAGGGACUAUCGAGAGCUGAUUCUAGAGUCUUGUAGAAAGAGGUUUGUGAGAGAGAAAGUGUCAUCUUGUUCUCUGUAAAAUCCGAUAUAGGGCUCUGUAACGAUCUCCAUUGUUGAAUCAAUAAAACUCAUCUAGAAGCUUCUCCCGUGGACGUAUUCUGAGCAUUCAAUGCACAGCUGAACCACGUAAUAUCUUGGUUUCAGUGGGUUCUUGUUUUGGUUCUUGAUAAAUUCUUGUUGUUGUAUUGAGGUGUGAUUUGAUGUGUCUAAACUUGCAUCUGUGCAACUUGAAUUGAUUUGAUGAUAAUAAUCUUGGGCAGUGAUCAGAUUCGUUUAGUUUAAAGAACAAGCUGAUUACUACCGUACCUAUGCAUGGACCUGUAACCUGUGCUGACAAAACUGAAACUAUGAGUUUGAGGUAAAAAGGUCCUGGACCCUCACAGUUUAACUUGGACUUGUAGCUUUCUGGAUAAACACAUUUUAGAAGUUUGCAAUUUGUUGUUAAUUACGGUAUGUGAUUUUCUUUUUUGUUUUCGCUUUUGUAGAAUCUACCGUAUUACAUAUUGGCAGUUGUAUCUGAGGUACCAUUUUUGCAUUUAACUUGCCUUUAUCUGUUUUGCCUGUUACUUAACAACACAUCAUUUCCCAAAGAUUUGGAGAAGCAUCUCAAGAUGCUUAACAAACUUGACAAACUUCAAGAUGCUCCCAAGCCUUGAUUCUUCACAAAGGAAGACCUGUGAGUACACUUAUGCCCGCAAUUAUUGUGAAGUGAUUGCAACUUUGAUGCAGCGAAACGGUUUGCUGGUGCAAAGCUUUAAAACUGUUAAGAAUUACCCUGCAGGCUUGUUGGAUGUUGUAUACUCCGAAAGCCACCAACACCAAGAACUAUAACAGCAAGACUAGGUUUGCAUUAAUUCAAUUAGCUGAAAUAAUGAUGCAAAUGGCACUAUCCAGCUCGACUUAGAGACUAGUCAGGUCAAUCAUCCAUUUCAUCAACAGUUAAUGUCAGGAUGGUGGCUAGCAGAGGAAACAAAGGAUAUGUUGGAAUCAAUAAGAACAGUGAGAAGCAUGAGAGGAGCUUUGAUUAUAAGUAGGCUCAAUGAACUAGUGUUGGUAAGUGGUAAUUAGAGCAAUUUGUGAGCUUAGUAGAGUUUCAAUAUUUUCUGUUUGGGAUAUAGUUGAUAAGUUGAUACUCUGAUAAAGAAGGCUGAUUAUAGUAGCUGACUAUAUUAACCGGGUUCUCUUUUUUGGUUUGCUGUUGUUUUUUCUUUCAAUAUCUUUUUCAACAUUAGGUUUAAGAACAAGCUUGGGUUUGAUUAUCAGGUAAGAACAAAUGAAUGCUUUAACCAUGUUUCUCACUUAUCACAAUGCACGGAUUGAAGGCGUCUGAGUUGAUCCUGAAACGUGCCUCAGCAAGUAUUAUGAUUAUUAUUUUAAAAAACUCAACCUAAGCAACGUGCCUCAGCAUACAAUAUUUAUUGACAACUAAAAAGUAAUAGUGGGUGGGGGUUGCCCUGGGUUUUGUUUAAAAAUUGAAGUAAAAAAUUUUCAAAUUUCAAAUUUCUAGUACAAAGAAAAUUGAUGACUAAAUUAAAUUCUGCAAAUUAAUUUCUAAUAUUACAUGAAAAUAUUAUCAAGUUAACUGGUAACAUCGUUAAUCACUUAAUUCUCAGUCUAAUACGUUAUGUAUUUGUUACUCUGUCUUAAAUCAAAAGUGGCGGUGAUUUAUUUUUAUUUUCACUAAUCAGAAAGGCAUGUUAGAGCUUUUAUUUUGUCGAAAAUGAACCAAAAAAACUCCGAUUGGGAGAUUAUAAAUGUAAUUAACAAUAAUUUAACUUCCAUUUUGAAAGUCAUUAUAUUGUUUAUUCAGGAGAAGCGUUCUUUUAUAUUUUAUAGAUAUAAUGUUUGCUAAUCCUAAUUUAAGCUAAAGCAUAUGCAUUUCCUAAUUAAUUCUAAUUUAAGCUUAUUCAACUGCAUUCAAUUAAUGUUCGAUAAUACAAAUUCUAAAUACUAUAUACUCUAAGAAUUUUAAUCGUAAUGACAAGGUGAUCAUUUAAUUAUUACCGUUAAAUUAUAUAUGUAUGGUGGAGACGAGUCCACACGGUUUUGACGAGAAAUUAAAGACAAUAUUUAGUUAAGCUAGUAGUAUUUGUUCUGUUUAGUACGUCGUUUUACCAGCAAGCAUCCCGGCAAUGCACGCAUUAAUAAAAACAUUUAUCUGUUUGGACUGACUGGUAGUGAAAAAUUCCACAUACUUUAAAUCAAGAAAAUGCUAAGCAUCUUAAAGAAAACAAUUAAAAUAUUGUCACUUGAUGCUUGAAUCAUUAUUGUUAAAUAUCUCCGUUGAGUUGUAUUCCCCAGUUGUGAGUAUCAUUAUUGUUGUUUGUGCGAUAUGUUUCGACGAAGACCAGCAGUGAUGAGCAGGCGUCUGGUAGCAGGGUUCCUCGAACAGGUAUAUCUUGCAAGAGUCUGGUAGCAGGGGGAGCAAGAGCAGGAGUAUCCUGCUCGUCCACGAGUACGUCAUCCACGAGGCCGGUCUCCUGUUGGGAGCGUAAAGCCAUUCCUGCUAUAUUCCUGCUAGCGGUUGAGUCGAGGAGACCCGGUCAACGACAGUUGACGAGACAUGCUCUCCAGUCCGAGAAUCAAGGCGCGAAGGCCACGCAACCACCCACGACUACGGAAAUGGAGCAUCCACUUUCGAGAAGUGGGAGGAUGACAAGCGCAAAGGGAGGAAAUGCAUGGGCUCAGAAGUGGCCUAUAAAAAGGUAACCAACGAAGGUAAAAGGGUUAGCAAUUUUGAGAUUAUAACAGAGACUAAGGAAAUUCUAAAGAAGAGAAAACUAUUAAAAAGCCAUAAGAUCUGUGGCAAGCGUUCCCAGAGCCUUCAUAUCUGACUUGAGCGUCGGAGGGUUUACGCCGGGAAAACAACCGGCGUGCUCUGACUUGUUUCUGUGGACGCAGGAAUACUUGGAGAAGAAAGCAUACAAGGAGAGAUCCUGGUCGAGGUGAGGUUGAUUGAGCAGAUAUCCUGGUCGUAGGAAGAGCGUAACCAGAAUCUCGCAUCAAUAUUUUGGCGCCGUCUGUGGGGAGCUGAGCAAAAAGUUUCUGUUGAUAGCAAAGAAGAGGAGUGAAGCAAGUGAAAAGCAAUGGAGACAGGAGGAAGUAGUGCACAAGGGGGUGAUAUGAGGCUUAACGAUUCCGUGACGCUGAGGGAGAUAGCCAGUGAAGCACGGGAAAAAGCCAUGUUCGACCGGAUGGAACGGAUGGAAAAGCAGAUGGAGACCUUGACAACCAUCCUACAUGAGCUGCGGAGCGAACGAAGGGUAACCCAGGAGGAAAGGGUGAGAGGUGGUGGAGUGGCACCAGGUCCCGAUAGUGCGAGGAGAAGUCAAACCACCGGGAGAUUUGGUGGUGAGAGAGGUAACAUACCUCUGCAGGGAAAUUGCAUAGAGAGGAAGAGCAGUCCCCGGCAAGACAGAUUUUUGACGAGGACGACGGGGUGGCGAAUGCAGAGGAAGCAGAGUUGAGGCAAUACUUGCAUGAUGUAGUGCAAGAGCGGGAUCAAGUCGCAGCACGUGACCCUGGUCGUGCAGAGCAGCUGGAGGAGGAAGUGUGCAGGCUAGCGCAGAUAAUUGACGACAUACAAGGAAGGAGCAGAGCUCCUGGUUGGAGGAUAAUGCUGGACGGAGAAUCACCGCUCGCAGCAGAGAUCAUGAGGGCAGUUAUUCCAAGAGAUUUCCGCCUCCCAGACCUUAGAUAUUCGGGAUGAACUGAUCCGCUGGUGCACAUAGAGCGCUUCAACGACAUAACUGGGGUACAAGGAUUAUCUCAAUCCUAAAGGUGCAGGGUGUUCCCACUAUCCCUUGAGGGACGCGCACGAGAGUGGUACAGGAAACUUCCUCGGGGGAGCAUUAAAACCUUCGAGCAGAUGUGCCAGGAAUUUGCAGAACAGUUCCGUGGGGCAAUGGCACCAGAAGAUGACAUGAUGGAGUUGAAAAACAUGAAGCAGGGGGAACAAGAAACACUUCGGGAAUUCAUCAAGAGGUUUCACCGUGCUGUCCUCGACUUGGGAGCCUUCAACCACCCUCAAACGUUAAGGGGAUUGAAAGAAGGGGUGAAGAUAGGAAGGCUGUGGUACAACUUGAGAAGCCCAGUUAUUCAGACGUAUGCGGCCGCAUACGAGCAGGCUAAGAGAGACAUUGAGAUUGAAGAGGAGAAGGCAGCACAGAUUAAGACAGACCAGUUAGAAGGGUGGGGGAGGAAAGAGAAGAAAGCAUUACCGGGGAAUGGGCCGAUCAGGAGGAGGAACCACCAGGCCUCGAGUAGUGGAGCAGAAGGUCGGGUAACUGCUUACCAGCCUCAUCAGAGGCCACUACAGUAUCAGCACAGCAGGGCGCAACCUCCUCGUUCCCCAGCUGGGGAGCCUUGGAGAAGGCAUGACUCGGCGUAUGGUGGUCUUCAUCAACACUCCCACGGUAGUAGAAGGGGCAGACCAGAAGCGCUGCCACCGCCUCCAACUCAGAACGGAGCAAAUAGAGAAAGGGCAGUGCACCUGAUCGACCAGAACCAGGACUAUGGGCGAUAUACUUCCUUGAAGAUGUCCCUGGCCGAGGUGUACGAGGCCAUAAAGGAUCGAGGGUCGUUAUACCUCCCUGCCCCAAUAACAAAGCUACCCAGCAGGAGGGAUAGGGGACGCUAUUGUAAGUUCCAUGGCACUCAUGGCCACACCACAGCAGAUUACAGGGAUCUCAAGACCCAGGUUGAAGAUUUGGUGAGAAAUCGGUAUCUGGACGAGUUUAUAGAUGGGACCUUCCCAAUGGUAGCCUCGACCAGCGAAUGGGAGCAGAGUGACAGGAACUUGAGGCGCGAGCAGCCUGCAGUAAGGGUGAUAGCUGGGGGCCCAACAUUGGCCGGAGAUUCCAACAGGUUGAGGAAGAAUUACGCUAGAUACGCCAUGACCAGCAAAGAUGUAUUCUUCACCACCCCAGCAGCCAAACGUGCAAGAGUCAGGCAAGUGCCAAUUAUGUGGACAGAUGAGGAUGAAGAAGGGAUUCUAUACCCCCACGAGGAUGCUUUGGUCAUCAAGGCCACUGUUGCCAGCAAGAAGUUUGACAGGAUACUGGUUGACACAGGGAGCUCAGUUGAUGUGUUGUUUAAGUCAACCCUGGAGGAGAUGGGAAUAGCAGACCUGAAGUUGGAUUACACCAAUACCUCCUUGAAGGGGUUUGGAGGAGGAAAGUUGGUCCCUCUGGGCGUGGUCGAGCUGCCUAUCACGAUUGGGAGCUCCCCGACAGAAGGGACAAUGAUACUGGACUUUGUGGUAGUGGAUGAGGAAGGUCCUUAUCAGAUGAUCCUAGGCCGGCCAUUUCUGACGAUGAGCAAAGCGGUGCUGUCCAGCCAUUAUCUGGCUCUCAAGUACCGGGUGAAUGGGGUAGUUGGAGUGGUACGAGGAGACCAGAGGAUCGCAAGAAGCUGCUACUCCUCGGCAGCAAAGGAAGCAAUGCAGAUAACAUCCCUUGAUACCCGAGUGGAAGCCAGGAAUGGCAGCUAGUUGGACCCGGAGUUUACAAGCUGGUUCGCACGGAUGGCCACAAGGUGAAACGCCCAUGGAGCGCGACACACCUCAGGAAAUAUUUCUAGUAAGACUUACUCAUCUUUUAAAGUUAUUUCUGUUCGUGCCCGUUGUUUUCUAUUUUUCAUUUCUUAUUUCAAAGCAAUCUCAUGUAAGCCGAAUUCAAUAAUAAAUGAAUCAAUGAGGAGUUUCAGUCAACUACACUGUUCAAGAAAUUAUCAAAGGCAUGCAAAGGCUAGUCAAGUCUCAAAGCCUGUUUAUGGCGAGACCAGAAGCCAAGCGUGCCAGGAUCUGCUCGACCACGAGAAGGCGAGCAGAGUCCCAAGCUUUCAAGAAAUUAUCAAUGGCAUGCAAAGGCUCACCAAGUCUCAAAGCCUGUUUAUGGCGAGACCAGAAGCCAAGCGUACCAGGAUCUGCUUGACCACGAGAAGGCGAGCAGAGUCCCAAGCUUUCAAGAAAUUAUCAAAGGCAUGCAAAGGCUCACCAAGUCUCAAAGCCGGUUUAUGACGAGACCAGAAGCCAAGCGUUCCAGGAUCUGCUCGACCACGAGAAGGCGAGCAGAGUCCCAAGCUUUCAAGAAAUUAUCAAAGGCAUGCAAAGGCUCACCAAGUUUCAAAGCCUGUUUAUGACGAGACCAGAAGCCAAGCGUGCCAGGAUCUGCUCGACCACGAGAAGGCGAGCAGAGUCCCAAGCUUUCAAGAAAUUAUCAAAGGCAUGCAAAGGCUCACCAAGUCUCAAAGCCUGUUUAUGGCGAGACCAGAAGCCAAACGUGCCAGGAUCUGCUUGACCACGAGAAGGCGAGCAGAGUCCCAAGCUUUCAAGAAAUUAUCUAAGGCAUGCAAAGGCUCGCCAAGUCUCAAAGCCUGUUUUAUGGCGAGAUAGAAGCCAAGCGUACCAGGAUCUGCUCGACCACGUGAAGGUGAGCAGAAUCCCCAAGCAUCGGAAUAUUUUCCAAGGCAUGCAAAGGCUCGCCAAGUCUCAAAGCCUGUUUUAUGGCGAGACAGAAGCCAAGCAUGCCAGGAUCUGCUCGACCGCGCGAAGGCGAGCAGAAUCUCAAGCAUUGAAGAAUUUUCCAAGGCAUGUGGCAAAACCAUAUGCCGAGCCAGAACCUGCUAAACUAGACGAAGACGAGCAGAUUCUCAGACGAAAAAUAACUCAUGAUUACAACACAAGAAAGUAAUCAAAAACAUUUUUAUUAAUUUGUUAAUAAUUAACAGAGGAGAUAAUCUUCACAAACAUUGUUCAUUACAAUACAAGAAAUAUAUUAAGAGGACGGUGGAUCCGUAAGCCGAGCAGCCUCAGUCGGUUGGUCCACCUCAGGUGCUGGGGGAGUAUCACCGGUCGCGUCCGGGGGGGUGCUUGCCUCACCCACAUCAACAGGAACGGCACGAGGAGGAGAGUUUUCCUCAACUACGAUUGGUUCCACCGUUUCGGCAUCUUCCUUUGCAGCCUCCUCGUCCAUAUGUUGGGCGACACCAGUUGCAAGGUCGUCCAUCUUCAGAUCAGGAUGCUGCUUCCCGAGGACGACCAUGAUGCAACGAUAGGAAUGCCGAAGCCCCUAGUCGUACUGGUUGUCGGCCUCCCUCUCCAAGUUCUCGACCUGAGCUCGGUGGGAAUCGCGGAGAGAUUCGAGCUGAGCCUCAUAUAUAGCCUUCUGCCUUUGCAGAUCCUCCUCGACCUUGGUCAGCUCCUCCUCGAGGGUAAUGGCUUUUGCUUGAGCAAGAGAUUCUUGCUCUAUCAGCUUGAGGUUCUCAACAUUCAGCUCCCCUGCUUUCUUCUCGGCAGCGUCAGCUCUGGUCGUCGCCGAUUGAAUGUCCUCCUUAAUCUUGCGGUCGUAGCGGCCAACCUUCGCCUUGUAAUAGGUGGUCAUGCAGCUGAGGUAGAAAGCGCUAUACUGCAUGGCCCCCACCAGCUCACCCAAGGUGCAGCCGUCAAAGUCCUCCAGGUCCUUCUUGCUCACGAGUUUAGAUAACUCAUUGAGGUAGGGGACCAAGUGUUCUGCUUGGCUGUCAGGUAAGCGAGAUCGAGGCCCGACAGGAGGAGAAGAGGAAGCAGGAUCCGUGGCUGCUCCACUAGUUUCCCCAACUUUGGCAGGAGCAGGAGGUAAAGUCUUCAAGGGAGAGACUUGCUGUACGAUGUUGGCCUGCUUUGCAGAAGGGGCGUCCUUGUUCUGGUCCCUCUUCGUGGCUUGAGGUUGAGAACGUUUCCUGUUCAGAGCCCCAAUCACAGCGUCCUCCAUCUUAUGGCCAGGGAGUACCAAGCGAGACUCGAGCAAGUUGUAAACAGUUAUCAAUUCUCGGCUCGGGCAAGAGUUGGCUAGUAUAGCCUCGACCCGUUUGAGCUGAUCAGGUUGGAGCGAGAAGUGAACACCCCAAGAACCUGCAACACAAACAAACAUUUGAUUAGAGACAAACCAGUAAAGUGCAAACAACAAGGGAGACAAGACAUCUAAUACGAGCAGGCAACCUGGGACCAUGAAACGGGGUGGGACGCGACAAUCCUUCCCGUCUAUUUGUGCAACUUGACCCCAAGGACCCCCAGCAAAAAAGAAUUUCCUCUUCCAAGUCCCACCACCACCAGUUGGAAGAUCAGUUAUGGGUUUCUUGCUCUUGGUACUAGAUUGGAAGUAGUACCAGCCGGCAUCUUUGGGGCUGCUCUUUAGCUGGUACAGGUGCUUCACCUCAUCAACCGUGGGCUCGCUUUGGCAACAUCUGUCCCACAAUAUGAACAGACCAGAGAGCACCCUCCACCCAUUGGGGUUCAGUUGACCAGGAGCUAGAUUGAGCCCGUGGAGUAUGCGAGCAAAAUAGGGUUGCAAGGGGCACCUUAACCCGUACUUAAAACUCUCCUGGAACAAGGUGACAUAUCCCCUAGGAGGCCUGCUAGGACUAUCUUUUUUUCCUGGGAUCCUAAGGAGUACUUCACCAGGAAUAUGAUACCUGAGCCAGAGGUCAUCCAGCUCGUUGAAUGUGGUCGUGCAGGUCAUGUAAUCAAUAGCAUAAUCCCGCAACAAGGCUCUACCUCCUACUGUACUACGCCCUUCUGGUCGCAGUGUUCCCGGUGAAGAUCCCUCACCAGAGUCACCUCCUUGAUCCUCACUUAGGGUGUCUUCCGAGCCAGAAGGUCCUUCCUCGCCACUACUUCCGCUCGUGGAGGUUGUUUGGGGGGACAUCCUCCUAGCGCUAGUCCCGACACUAGACCUAGUGGGCUCUAAGGGGAUCCCGGGGUCAAAAGCAGAAUCAGUGAGCAGACUAGGCAAGAAACCUAGUUCGUCGUCAUCAGUCUCAAUGACUUUCUCCUUACCCUUCGACAUUCCCUAAGUUCUAACCAAAACACCACCACCGACUACAACCCCAAGUAAAGCAAAGAGAAAAGAAAUUAUCUACAACUAUCCGAGACCGAGGAGAUAGAAGUAAUACCUGAAGUAAUGGUUCAGUUAGAGAAAGGCAGGGGAGGAGACUUUUAUGCCGAGACUUCUUUGCCGGAGAGACAGAGACAGAGAUGGAGUAAAUGACGAAUUUUCCCUUUGAGAGGUUUUGGGUUUUCCUAAUGGAGAAUGAACUUUUGGAUUGCCAGCAUUUAAUAGCAUCGAAUCCCAAGGGUCUCGUAACCGUCGGUUUAAAAUUCAAAUAGAUGGGUAGAUUUCUGCCACAUCACCUGGUCCACAAUUAAAUGCGACACGACUCUUGGCAGCCUUUUCCUAUCCCGCGCGAGCAAGAACUGUCGAGUUUCUACUGUUGGCUCACUACGCUACCCAACACAAGAAACUGGGGGACUGGUGUUUGUGCGAUAUGUUUCGACGAAGACUAGCAGUGAUGAGCAGGCGUCUGGUAGCAGGGUUCCUCGAACAGGUAUAUCUUGCAAGAGUCUGGUAGCCGGGGGAGCAAGAGCAGGAGUAUCCUGCUCGUCCACGAGUACGUCAUCCACGAGGCCGGUCUCCUGUUGGGAGCGUAAAGCCAUUCCUGCUAUAUUUCUGCUAGCGGUUGAGUCGAGGAGACCCGGUCAACGACAGUUGAUGAGACAUGCUCUUCAGUUCGAGAAUCAAGGCGCGAAGGCCACGCAACCACCCACGACUACGGAAAUGGAGCAUCCACUUUCGAGAAGUGGGAGGAUGACAAGCGCAAAGGGAGGAAAUGCAUGGGCUCAGAAGUGGCCUAUAAAAAGGUAACCAACGAAGGUAAAAGGGUUAGCAAUUUUGAGAUUAUAACAGAGACUAAGGAAAUUCUAAAGAAGAGAAAACUAUUAAAAAGCCAUAAGAUCUGUGGCAAGCGUUCCCAGAGCCUUCAUAUCUGACUUGAGCGUCGGAGGGUUUACGCCGGGAAAACAACCGGCGUGCUCUGACUUGUUUCUGUGGACGCAGGAAUACUUGGAGAAGAAAGCAUACGAGGAGAGAUCCUGGUCGAGGUGAGGUUGAUCGAGCAGAUAUCCUGGUCGUAGGAAGAGCGUAACCAGAAUCUCGCAUCAACAAUUGUCUUUGCUCUCUAAUCUAUUCAAUUUUCUUUCUGGAGACAAGAUUUUGAUUCCUUUCAUCGUUACAAAAACGGAACCAUGGUUGAUGUGGGAGAGAUCUUACUCAACGCCUUCUUUUAGGUGAUGUUCGACAGGUUGGCUUCCCGUGAUUUGCUCAGCUUUGUCCGUCAACUUGGAGGGGGGGUCGAUUCCGAGCUCAAGAAGUGGGAAAGAAAGCUGAAGAUGAUUCAGGCGGUGCUCAACGAUGCAGAGGAGAAGCAACUGACGGACGAGGCUGUGAAGAUGUGGCUGGACGAUCUCCAAGACUUGGCUUAUGACGCUGAGGACAUUCUUGAUGAGUUUGCUACUCAAGCUUUGGAAAGCAAGUUGAUGGCGCAAAAUCAGGAUAGCUCUGGCCAACUUCUCAGUUUCAUCCAGGCUAGUUUGAAUCCGAAUGCUAUUAUGUUCAAUUAUAGCAUGGGGUCCAAGAUUAAAGAUAUCACUAGCCGGCUGGAGCAACUCUGCCAAGAAAGAAUUGAACUUGGACUGCAACGGAUUACUGGAGGGGCAUCAUCAACUACUGCUGCUGCACACCAGAGGCUACCCGGUUCAAUUGUCCCAACAGAACGUGAAGUAUUUGGAAGAGAAGAAGAUAAGGCCAAAAUUCUUGAUAUGGUAUUGGCCGAUACCCUAAGUGAUCAUGCCAACUUUGCUGUAAUACCCGUUGUUGGCAUGGGCGGGAUAGGAAAAACAACUCUCGCUCGGGAGGUUUACAAUGACAAGGCCGUUGGCGGUUCCAAGUUUGAUGUAAAAGCAUGGGUUUGCGUAUCUGAUGUCUUUGAUGUUUUGGGCAUCUCAAAGGCACUUCUCGAGUCAAUCACCCGCAGGCCUUGUCUUCUAAACAGUUUAAAUGAAGUGCAGGUUGAAUUGAAAGUAGCUGUGGAUAAAAAAAGAUUCUUGCUGGUCUUAGAUGAUGUUUGGAACGAGGACUACAGCUUGUGGGUAGACUUAAAAGCUCCGUUCCUGGCUGCUGCACCAAACAGUAAGAUGAUCGUCACCACACGCAAUUCAAAUGUUGCAUCAACAAUGGGACCAAUUGAACAUUACAAUCUCAAGAGUUUGUCAGAUGAUGAUUGUUGGUCCAUUUUCAUAAAGCAUGCAUUUGAAUAUAGAGAUCUUAACGCACAUCAAAUUUCAGAAUCGUUCCGCGGGAAAGUUGUUGCCAAGUGUGGAGGCUUGGCCCUGGCAGCAAAAACACUCGGAGGCCUUCUGCAUACGACGAGGCAUGAUGCGUGGGAUGAUACGUUAGAGAGCAAAAUAUGGGAUUUACCUCAACAAAGUGGGGUUCUCCCCGUAUUAAGAUUGAGUUACCAUCAUCUUCCUUCUCAUUUGAAAAGAUGUUUUGCUUACUGUGCAAUCUUUCCAAAAGAUUAUGAAUUCAAUCAGAAGGAGCUGACUUUCUUAUGGAUGGCUGGAGGAAUUAUUCGACAGUCACGAAACAGUGAGCAGCUGGAAGAUUUGGGCAGCAAGUGCUUUCAAGAUCUAGUGUCAAGGUCUAUUUUUCAACAAACCAGCUCUGGUAGUUCUAAAUUUGUAAUGCCCUAUCUUAUCCAUGAUCUUGCUGAAUUGGUUUCUAGAGGGACCAUUUUCAAGUUAGAGGAGUCCACCAACUUGUCGUCGAGGAGAUUUGAAAGAGUUCGCCAUUCUUCCUAUGCCCGCGGUUGGCAUGACGGUAAAAAUAAGUUUGAGGUUUUCUAUGAAAUUGAACAUCUACUAACAUUCUUGCCAUCACGCAUAAGAGGUGGCACUAAUACGAGUUACAUAACUCGAACGGUUCUAUCUGAUUUGUUGCUGAAUUUCAAAAGUUUGAGGAUGUUAUCUUUACAAGGAUACUGUAUUGGUGAGUUACCAAUUUCAUUUGAAGAUUUGAGACUUUUAAGGUUUCUCAACCUUGCUUACACUGACAUAAGAAGUUAUCUGAGUCAACAUGCAAAUUGCUGAACUUGGAAAUUUUGAUAUUAAGAAAUUGUUCUCGUUUGAUAAAGCUUCCACCCAAAAUGAGGAAUUUGAUCAAUUUACGCCAUCUCGAUAUAAGAGGUGCGAAGUUGCUGAAGGAGAUGCCAUUCGGAAUGAAAGAGUUGAAGAAGCUUCAAACAUUGUCCAAUUUUAUUGUGGGCAAGGGUGAAACUGCAUCUUGUUUGGAAGAUUUAAAAUGUUUAAACUUUCUUUGUGAUAAACUUUGCAUUGCUGGAUUAGAGAAUGUUAAUAAUCCACAGAAUGCAAGAGAAGCCGCAUUAUGUGAGAAACACAAUCUUGAAGCAUUGACUCUGGAUUAGGGGUUUCAAUUUGACAAUUCCUGAGGAGUAGUAGAAGAGCAUGUACUGGAAAAUCUACAGCCUCAUAAAUGUAUAAAAAAGGUGGCGAUCCGGAACUAUGGUGGUGCAAGAUUUCCCCUUUGGAUAGGAGAUCCUUUGUUCUCCAGGAUAGAGCUCCUAAAAUUGGAGAACUGUGACAAUUGUGUAUCUUUGCCAUCGCUUGGCCUAUUGAGUUCACUUAGACGGCUUGCUGUUAAAGGGCUGAAUAAACUAAAAAGCAUAGGGUCUGAGGUUUAUGGGGAGGGUUUCUCAAUGCCUUUUCCAUCAUUGGAGAUUCUAAGUUUCGAGAAUUUGCCAGAAUGGGAGCAUUGGGACACCGAUGUCAAAGGAAAUGUGCUUGUUGAAAUAUUUCCUCGUCUCCAUCAACUUUCCAUUGUGGAAUGUCCCAAACUCUCGGGAGAACUGCCUGAGCUCCUGCCCUCCUUGGAGACACUUUUUGUUAGUAAAUGUGAAAAGUUGGUAGUUCCAUUGUCUUGCUAUCCGAUGCUCUGCAGAUUAGAAGUUGAUGAGUGCAAGGAACUAGCAUGCGGGACUCCAAUUGAUUUUAAGUUGAUAACGUCUGUGACUAUUUCAAAUAGUUCCUUAGACAUGAAUGGAUGCAAGGGGAUGCUAUACGAUGGUCCAGCUGGCUCUUCACUACCAAAGCCUAUGAUUACUACAAAUGUUUCGGAGUUUGGAAAAUUAUUGAAGCCUGGAUUUCAGAUAUUAGAAACUUUGGUAAUUGCCAAUUCUGAACAGCUCAAGUCAUGGAGGCAGAAUGGGGAUUUUCCGGAAAAAUACACGGCCCCUGAACAUAGGUUUAAGAAACCAGUACGAGGGCUGAAUAUGCUCGCUUCCCCUGAAGAGGUAACAAUUGAAGAAAGUUGCGUACGUCUUGUUUUGUUUCCAGAGAUCAAUUUCUUUCCCAGAAAUCUGCGCUCUCUUCUAAUUAACAACAACACUGCUUUCAAAUCCUUACCCGAGGAAAUGAUGGAAAACAAUUCACAACUCGAAAGGUUGUAUAUCAGAGAUUGCGACUCUCUAACAUUCAUCGCAAGACGGAGGCUACCAGCAUCUCUUAAAAGGCUUGAGAUAGAAAAUUGUGAGAAAUUGCAACGUCUGUUCGAUGAUGAAGAGGAUGCUUCUUCUUCUUCACCUUCACCCUCGUCUUCCCCAGUGAUGCUGCAACACCUGAGUAUAGAGAACUGCCCAGAGCUCACCAGUUUAUCAUCGGGUGUCCAAUUCCUUGAGGCGCUUGAAGACCUCGACAUACAGGGUUGUCCAAAGCUGGAGUCAUUACCGGAUGGCCUGCCCAAUCUUAAAUGUUUACAGAGCAUUUAUAUACGGGGAUGUCCAAGUCUUGUUUCCUUCCCAGAAAGAGGGCUUCCCAACACGAUUUCAAGGGUUGACAUUUGCAGUUGUGACAAGCUCAAAGCCUUGCCCAAUGAUUUGCACAAACUCAACUCUCUUCGAGAUUUAAGAAUACGGCUGUGUCGAAAUCUUGUAUCGUUUCCAGAAGAAGGUUUUCCUACCAAUCUAACAUCACUUACAAUUGGAAAUUUCAAAAUGUAUAAGACACUCGUCCAGUGGGGGUUGCACGGGCUUACCUCUCUUAAACGCCUCUCGAUCAGUGGAUGUCAUGAAGCAGAGUGUUUUCCAGACGAGGAGAUAGGAAUGACGCUGCCCACCUCUCUCACUCAACUGCUCCUUUAGGGAUUCGAAAAACUGAUAUCUCUGUCUUCGACGGGUUUUCAAAGCCUCAACUCUCUUCAAUACUUAUUGAUCUGGGGUUGCCCAAAUCUCACAUCAUUCCCAGAGGCGGGUCUUCCAUCCUCACUUUUGGAUUUAGGCAUUUACAAUUGUCCAAAGCUUAAAAGAGCGUGCAAAAGAGAUCAAGGAAAAGAGUGGCCCAAAAUUGCUCACAUCCCUCGCAUUGAGAUAGACAGAAAAUUCAUAUACGAUCCAGAAUCAGAGGAGUAGAUUCUAUUACAAAGGUCAGUUGAUUUCUAUUAUCCUCUAUAACAAGCUCCUCUUAAUUUUUUUUUUCUAAGUAAUAAUUUUGCAGUUCUGUAUAAUUAUUAAUCGUCUGCUCUUAAUUGAAAAUGUCACUCACUUGAUUCCGUUUUCACUAGUCAAAUUGUAUGUUGAGGCUAUUUGCUUUUUAAUUAUAACACUUAUCUUAAAAUUUAAUACCAAAUUUUUUUGAUUCACUUCAAUUAGCAUUUUGUUUUCCCCAAAUUAGGCAAGCCGAGAGCUUCAUUAACUAGAGUUUUUUAUUUUUCGGACCUUGCAUCUGAAAGGUUCAGUGUAUUUUUUUUUUUUUCAAAUUUAUUGUUCAGAUCUCAGACGAGUAUACGGUUUAGAUUACAAAACACCUAUGAUUAAUUUCUUUUUUUUUUUUUUAAUUUCAGGGAGAAGAAGUGGUCAGUUUCAAUCCGGAAUUGGAAUAUGGCAAUUUGGUUCAAGCACACACACCUGGUCACUUGGUCAGUGAACCUGAACUUUACGCAGUUUUUUCAACUCAGUGAUUUUUGGAACGCAUAUUGGUGUAAGGAAAUCAAUAGAAAUUUAUGCAUAGUCAAAUUCUGAUAUUUGCUAUAAUAUUAUACAUUCUAAAGUUUCUCCAGUUUGUUCUCAGAUUACCAUCAUUUUUUGCCUUCACCAAAAAAAAAUCGAGUGGCUUUCCAGUGGAUAUUUAAUCGGAGGUAUGACUGGAUUUUUUUCACUUCUGUAAAUCUUGCAUUUUAAACUGGCAAAUUUAACUUUAAUUUUAAUACGACUUGUUUGAGGGAAAUACUCCGACGAGACCAGACGUGAUGAGCAGAUGUUUGGUGGCAGAAGUCUGCGAGCAGGUGUGUCCUGUAAGAGCCAGGUAGCAGGGAAACAGGGGCAGAAAUAUCCUGCUCAUCCACGAGCAUGUCAUCCGCGAGGCCAAUUUCCUGUAAGAAACAUAAAGCCAUUCCUGCUGUAUUCUUGCUAAGGGUUGAUUCGAGGAGACCCGGUCAACGACAGUUGGCGAGGCAUGCUCUCCAGCCCGAGAAUCUAGGCACGAAGGCCACGCAACCACCCACGACUACGGAAAUGGGGAAUCCACGUUCGAGAGGUGGGAGGAUAACAGACGUAGACUGCGGAAAACUGGGAUUCAGAGGAAGCCUAUAAAAAGGUAGCCAACGAAGGUAAAAGGGUUAGCAAUUUUGAUUCUAAAAGAGAGAAAACAACCUAACAACCAUAAGAUUUUUGGCAAGCGUUCCCCGAACCUUCAUAUCUGACUUGAGCGUCGGAGGGUUUGCGCCGGGAAAACAACCGGCGUACUCUGACCUGUCUGUGUGCGCAGGAACCUCUGGAGAAGAAGCUUUACGAGGAGAGAUCCUGGUCGUGGUGAAGUUGAUCGAGCAGAGACCCUGGUCGUAGAACGAGGAGAACCAGAAUCUCGCAUCAACACGACUUUGUUGGUGCCUUGUGUUCCAGAAACUAGAAUGAUGUGUAGUUUUCAGAUUAAGGGGCUUGUAAAUUCUCUAGUAAGAAUCCAAUAAUUUGCUUUUGCACAUUCAUUUUAUUUGUGGAUCCUUGCAUCUGAAUUUGAUCAAUCCAAAAGGAAUUGCUUUUAGACAGAAGAAGAAUUGCAGUACCUAGCCUACGACAUAGUAAAUGGACCUGCAAACCUGUAACUAUUAGUUUGAGGUAAAAAAUUCAUGACCCUCACAUGUUAACUUCUUCUAGUUACUUUCAUCAAAAACACAUUUAAGAAAUUUGCAAUUUUUUGUUAGUUUUGUAUACCGAUGUUGUUUUCUGUUUUAGCAUUUGUAUAAUCUACUGUAUUAUAUUUUGGCGGUUGCAGUAUCUGAGGUAUCUUUUGCAUUUAACUUGCUUUAUUUGUUUUGCUUGUGACUUAAGAACACCAAUAUUUGCCAGAGAUUUAGAGAAGCAUAUCAAGAUGCUUGGCAAACUUGACAAACUUCAAGAUCCUUCAUUCUUCACGACCCAAAACUUGUGAGUACACUUAUGCCCGCAAUUAUUGUGAAACGCUUGCAAUUUUGAUGCAGCGAAAUGGUUUGUUGAUGCAAAGGUUUAAACUUUUAAGAUUUACACUGCAGGGUAGUUGGAUGCUGUAUAGUCGAACGGCCACCAACAUCAAGAACUAUAACUCCAAGACCGGGUUUGCAUUAAUUCAAUCAGCUGAAAUAAUGAUGCAAAUGACACUAUCAGCUGGACUUAGAGACCAGUCAGAUCAAUCAUCCUUUUAUCAACAGUUAAUGUCAUGAUGGUGUCUAUCGGAGGAAACAAAGGAUGUGUCGGAAUCAAUAUGAACAGUGAGAAGAAUGAGAGGAGCUUUGAUUAUAAGUAGGCUCAAUGAACUCAUGCUGGUAAGUGGUAAUUAAAGAAAUUUGUGCGCUUAGUAGCAUUCAAUAUUUUCUGUUUGGGAUAUAGUUGAUGAGUUGAUACUCUGAUUAAGAAGCCUGAUUAUAGUAGCUGACUUUUUUUUUGUGGUUUGCUGUUGUUUAUUCUUUCGAUUAAUUUCAACAUUAGGUUGAUCUGUUGAAGAACAAACUUGGGUUUGAUUAUGCUUUAACUACAAGGAAGAGCCAGACUUGGAUGCAGGCGUUCAGCUUUUAAUGGGUAAGAACAAAUGUAUGCUUUAACCAUGUUUCUCACUUAUUACAAUGCACACAUUGAAGGCAUCUGAGCUGAUCCUGAAAAUGUGAUGGAAAUACUUCUCUGUUUACAUAAAACAGACAAAUAGAGAUCUCUGAUCAUGCCUGAGAAUUCGUUGCAUUUAAAAUUUCUACCAUUGCCAAAAAUAGAAUAAACUACGGAUACAUUAGCUUAAGACUCAAUUUUGAGAAGGAAGUUUGCACAUGCAGCCUAAAAAAUCACGUCCGUGUUGUAUACUUGUAUGUUUCUUUGGGAAAUGAAAGAUUCUGUGUUCUUUUAUUUCAAGUUUGCUGAAAUCACAUUUGUUUUCUUAGAUGCUUUUGGGAAGGUAACAACAUCAAUUUCAUAAAUGCUGGGGUAAGAUGCAUCACGCAGUGCUACUCAACAUGAGAAUUCCCGGCCGCAUUACCUGUAUGUUGAGUGAUCGCACAGUACAACCUUUAGAAGCUUGUAAGGAGUAGACAACUAGAUGCGAAUAGUUUCAAUAUGGAUUCGCAUCAAAUGAUCUCUUGCCAGUGAUUACUAUAACCUCUAUCCCAAAAUUCUUGGAACUGGUCAUACCAAUAAUGAAGUAUUGUGUACGUUGAAGACGUAGCUCAAGGCCUUGCGAAAGCUCCGUCAGCCUUUGUAUUGGAAAACAGUUGGUUGUAGUUGCUUCUGAAUGAUAUUAUUAAUAGAUACUGUAAAAAUGAAGUGUGCCACUCAUUUUCAGAGCCCUGUUAAGAUGUGUUGGUAAUGUGUUUGAAGGUUGUUUGAUUUGUGUUGUAUUCAGCUAUAAAUCAAAGAUUCAGAACAUGGUUAUGUUACUGGUUUCCAAAUAAAAAAAUUGCCUUGUGAUGUUAGUGUUCAUUGUUUUCACAGGAGAUCAGGUUCCCUGUUGAUGAAUCAAGAAGGCAAACGCAUCCAUGCCUUAAGUUCAAAUGUGUCUCUUCUAUUUUCUAUUACUGACUCCUUUAUUUUGAUUUCUUCAUUGUAAUGGAAUUGGUUUUCAUUCCAAAUUAGUCAAAACCUCCUAGAGUCAUUAAGUUCUGUUAGCAUUUGAAGAUAGAACUAGAACUAAAUGAUUGACUGGAUUAAAUUCCGAUAAAGAAUUAAGUUAUGUAUUUAGAGAUAUUUUGUUUUUUUUUUCAUUUGUUCAAUUUGGUUAGUGGUGAUUUCUUAAAGACUCAAUCCAUGUGCGUUUAUGCAUUUUUCUUUUGCCUUAAUUUCUGUUUCUUGGGGAGUUUAUACAGAUUCUUAUUUUAUGCUUCACAUGCCACAUGAAAGAUCGAAGCAUUUUGUGUGAUUAGAACUGACUUGCAUCACAGUAACUUUAAACCACUGCCACAUUUUUAUAAUAACAGUCUGAGAUCUCCCUGAAGGAUUCAAAGCAUUUUAUUUUAUAUUAACCUCCUUUAAGUGGGUUUCGACACUACCACAAGUUCUUUAAAUACUAAAACGAUUUUGAGUCUUUUGUAUCAUCUGAUUGAAAUACCUGAAAGCACUCGUGGCUGCAAAAAUAUAUCGAUUUUGAGUAUGGCGUGCAUGUAAAUUAUAUCGAUUUUUUCUAUAUGACAAGUAAGACUCUCUUUUACAAUGGCACGGAUGCGUCAUUGAGUAAUCAUGAUUCUUGCUGGUAGUGCUUUGUUGUAUCAAUCUGCUAGCUAUUCAGCUUUCUUUCUUUCUUUCUUCUUUUUUUUUUUUUUUUUUUGUUUUCAAAUAGCUUGUGGUUGUAGAAAUAUUUCAAUUAAACUAUACUUAAGUACUUAUUUAGUAUAACUUCUUUACUAGCCAAAAUAAUUUUUUUUUGGUUUUUUAUAAUUUAAUUAUACUUUAACUAGAGUUUUUGGGAUUAAACAAGUGAUAAUUUCUCUCUAUUAAGAAAAACUCAAAAUUUUUUAAUUACUAGAAUGCGUCUAAAUUAAAUUACAAUUAUAGACACUAAAAUAUAGUAAAUUUUUUUUUUUACUCUUUAAAACUGUCUUUACAUUCGAUAUCAUAUUUUUUUCUUAAAAUCUAAAUUGAUAUUUUUAUUUUAUUUUUGAUUAAUCUUAGAACACAUAUAAAGUGAUUCAUAUUGAUUUUAUACUAACAAACUAUCAUAGCACAUUCGAAAAUAAUUAACUCGUUCUUAUUUGCAUAGUGAAAAAGGCAAAUAGCUCACCCAAAUGUUAAGGAACUGGAGAGCUGCUGCUGGAGACGAAAGGAUGUGAAAAGCAUGGUAAAGAAAAAUUGCAUAAUUCUCACUUAGAAGAGGAAGAAAAAAAAAAUACAAUUAGAAUGAGAGGUAGCCAGUAGCCAGUAGCCGCCACCACCACCAGUCAAACUAUUUCGACACACUAAUACUGUAAUACAUAUCAAAAUGCAAUAUCGGUCCUAACAAAAUGAAAAUAAAAAUUCAUUACGAAUAUGUGUUAAAGAUAUCCCAAGUAUUGAUGUGAUUGAAAUAUUUGAGAUUGAAGUAGAAAUAAGACUCAAAAUCAAUUGAGAGGAAUAAAUGAGAAACUCUAAUACUAAUAAAAUAUAUUCACAAAUCCUAAUGCUAAUUAAAAUCACGGAUUAAAAAAAAUAAUAUGAAUGAAUUACAGGCGCAACUGUUUCAUUAAAAAAUUAAUAAAAUCGUGUAUUAAUAUUUUGUACACAUACAUUUUUCCAUAUAUAACUUUUGGUAAUUUAGUUUUCCACUUAUCAUUUUUACUCCAAAAAAAUAAUUGAGAAUAUUAUUUAUGUUUUGGUGCAAAAUAUUUAAACAACAUAAAAAUUUUCAGUUUAAUAAAUCUAAACAAUUCUCAAGUUAUAAAUGAAUUUAAUGGGUUUAAUUAGUAAAAAUACUAUUAUUUUAUAAAUUGGGUUUAGUAAUGGUAUAUUGGGUAUUUAAAUGGGUUUGUUGAGUAAAUUUUAAAAUUUUAAAGUUCAAGGGUAGGUUUAUUUAGUAAAUGGGUUAAUGCAGCAAUUUUCAAACUAAAUUUUUGGAAAAAGAGGCUAUUGAGUUUUUUUUAAGAAAAAGAAUUAAAAUGUUGAGAAUACCUUUAUUUAAUUUUAUAAUCUAAUUUUAAAAAAUUUACCCAAUAAAUUUUAUAAUUUUUUAUAAAAAUUAUCAUUAACAUCCAAACAGCUGAAGAUUAAAAAAAAAAAAAGAAGGGAACUGUACUAGCAAAAGUUAGAUUAACAAUAAAUUUAGUCCAAAGAAUAAAGUUAUAGCUAAAAAGUGCUCCUAUCCUAUUUUUCUCUAUUUUAACAAUAAUCUUCCAAUCCAUUUUACAAUGGACUUAACAAAUGGGCUCAAUCUCUAAACUUCAUUUUCUUUUGCUAACCCAUGGCCAUUAGCCAGAAAGCCUAAAACAAUUUUAGGAUCACAUGUGUAAAUGGAACCCCAAGAUUGAUCAAGAAUUAACAAGACAAGAUGAAGAGAUGAUCUUGUAACUAAGAAUGAAGAAAUUGAAUCAAGACAGUACUCUAGUAAAACCCAGAAAACAGAGCUUGAAGAAUCACGCACAAAGCAGUAAAUUUGUAAAACCAGAAUUGGAGCUUCACUUCUCAAGAUAGACGAAACAGGAUACAAUCUAGCUUUGGUCAACUUCGUUUGGCCACGUCAUAAAGUCUUCCCCCACAGUCUUUCCCGCCAAAACAGAAAAGCUUUAAAAGCCAUUUACCCUCCUGAGUUACUUGCUCCUAUUACAUCAAGGCCCUGUAAGUCUAUAUUUAUUAUUACAAAAGCACCCUUAAACCGAGAUUUGAGAUAUUUUUUCAAAGAUCGAAGCGCAUGAUUUCACGGCUAUGUUGCAUAGUGAAUUUUAGUGCUUUACAGUUAAGGGAUAGUUUAAAUUCAUUACAAAGCAUUCGCAAAGAAAUUGUUUUUAAAUGAAACUCCUCGUCUUGACCAGAUUAUUUAUUAUUAUUAAAAAAAAAAUGUUCAAAACUUAGCCAAAGUGAUAAACUCGUAAUUAUUCUACAAAGGGAACAAUUUUGAACGGUGGGAAAUUCCAUAAUUAUGCUUUUCUGUGAAUUAUUUUAAAUAAAAUUAUAAAAAUUAAUAUAAAAUUAUAAUAAUGAUAGAGCCACAAACUCUUGUACAAAUUUAUUUUAUACAAACUCAUGUGGCAUGAUAAGAUUGGUUGAAUUAAAUAUUACUUGGCCCACAUGAUUUGUUUUUAUUAUUUUAUAUUUUUAUUCAACCAAUAAAUUAAUACCACGUCAGUUUGUACAAAAUAAAUUUAUACAAAAAUUUGUGACUCGAUCAUCACUCAUAAAAUUAAUACCCGGUAAAGACUGUAGAGAGACAAGUGCCCCCAACAGAAUCAAGUGAAUAUGCCCCACAAAGAUCACAUGAUCAUUUCUGUUCUUUUUCUUUUUGAUAAUUUUAUCUGUGGUUUCAACUUUUAUGCUUUAUUGUCGUAUCCCGUUGAGGGCUCCGCUGCACCCAUUACAACUUACCCCUAAAUUGCCUCUUACUAACUAAACCGUUAGAUUUUAUGGAAGCACGUUCAAUGUUGAAUUUUAAUUAUGUCAUCGAAUUUCGUUUAGCUCCUUAAACUCCAUUUUAUUUGUAAUUUCUUCAUAAAAUAUUCAAAGCUUCAUCAAGCUCCUGAUGGACCAUCAUGGCUAGGGGUGCAUUAGAGCCGAACUGAAAUAUGUUAGUUCAGUUCAGUUUGGUCAGUUUAAAUCGAAUGGUUUAGAAUAUAUAAACUGAUCAAUUUUAAUUUUGAAUUGAACCGAACCGAAAAUCAAUUGGUUCACUAUUAGUAUUUUUGUAUAAACAAGAAUGAUUAGUGAUUAUAAUUAAAUUGGACUAAAAAAAAUUCAAACUAAGGUGAAAAAUAUCAAAUCUUAGACAAUAUAAAAAAAAAUAUUAAAUUUUUUUAACCGAAACGAACCGAAUUAUUUUGACUCAGUUUGGUUCAUAAUUUUUUAAACCAAACUGAUUUAUUCCCACCCCCUAAUCGUGGCUCUCUAUCUUUAGUCAUUCACCCUUGAGUUUGAUGCCAAUUGUUGGGUUUCAAAUGAUUAUACACUCAAAUGGAACCCUCAUAACAAAAAACUAACAGAAACAAUAAGAACACGAUGUUAAAAUCUUAAAUCAAUCGCAAAAAAGCACCCAAAACAGAUCGAUUAGGAACAGUUAAGAACAAAAGAUUUGAUGGUUCAAAAUCAUAAUGUGACCUACGUACUUUCAUCCAAGAAUCAUACUAAUUGCUUUACUAGUUGUCAAACUCAAGAUCACAAGAUUGUUUAUCACUCUACAUAAAAAUUUUUUUUAGAAGAAAUACUCCCCAAUUUUUCUCUUAAUAGUUAUGAAUCAACACCCCUAGGAAGCCUGUUGAUUUACUUUUCCUUAUUUCCUAUGAUCGGUUGCUGCAACUUAAUCCUUGCCAAGCUCCAACAUAGUCCAAACACUUUUAACGGUACAGGCAUAGUGCACCUUCAGAAACUUUACAGCUCCUCUUAAAACCUCAGGCAUCGUAAGCACAUUAAGCAGCCGACAACACUCUUCUUCAUUUCUUCAUUGUCAAUUUCCUUCUUGGAACAUUGCUCCAUUGAGAGUCUGCUAGAAUUGCUCCAAUUAUUAUUAUUAUUUAAAAAAAAAAGAAAACCCUGCAAUAAGAGUAUAAGACUAAGCAACGGUCCUUUUUUUUUCCCCAUUCUUGAACCUAAAGUAUUUGAGUAUGCAAAUUAAUAAAUAAAUUCAUUUAUUUUUAUUAAAAUUUUGUAAAAUUAUAAUUUUUAAUAAAAAUAAUUAUUAAAAUUUUGUAAAAUCUAAAUUUAGAAAAAUUCAGUUGGGCACCUCUAUUUGAGAUUUAUUUUUUAUUAAAUUUAGGGAUAUUUUUAUAAUUAUAAUUUUUAAUUUUAAAAGUUUUUAUAAGAUAAAAUAGUCUUUUAAUUUAUUUAGGGGGUAAAAUUGGUGUUUUAUUAAAAUUAUUUAAUUGUGUUAAUGCAAAAGUGGCUAUUUGAUACAAAUGUGAAAAGAAAGGUGGUGCAAAAUAUAUGUUAAAAUUUUAUAUUGGUUGGAUGAACAUAAGCUAAAAUAAAGGUGGUGCAAUGAUAAUUUCCCUAUCCUAAAACUUAAUUGACUUAAUUCUUACGGUGCAAGGAAGAGGUUUCCAAGUUUAAAUCUAAAGGCUUGUAUUUAAUUUGGGGUUGGGAAAGCACUGAGAAAUAAAUGUAACUAAGGAAAAAAAAAAAGUCACGCAGUCCAAAUAAGUAGAUAUAUUUAAUAUGAGGUGGGGAUGGGUGAACUGUAAUUCAGAAAAAAAUAAAAUAAAAUUUUAUAUAAAGUUGAGGGUGUGUUUUAAUGGUUUCUUAUGCUGCGUUUAUUUUUUGGACUAGAGUGAGAAUUCUAAAAAGUGAGAAUCCUAUGAUUAGGUGUGUGGAGUGGGAGUGGGAGUAUGGUAUUUACUUAGACUAAAUAAAAGUAUGGAUUGUCAAUCAGAAUCUCAAUUAUUUGUUACUUUGUCUUGGAUUGAGAGUAAAUUAUUUUAAAUUACAAUUUUAUCCUUAUGUAAAGAAUUAUAAUUUGUAAUUAAAAAAUUAAUAAAAAUAUAUUGGAAAAUAAAAUAAAUAUUUUAUUAUAUUUAUAAAAUAAUAAUAAUUAAUAAAAUUCUUAAUUAUGUAAAUCAUAAUUUUUUAUUAAUUUAAAUUUAAAUUAUGUGAAUAAAAUUAUUAAUAAUAGCAACACAAAUGAAACAUUAUUAUUAAUAAUAUAGUAUAAAAUUAAUAUUUUUUUAGAAUAAAAUAUUUAUUAUUAUUAAAUAAAUAAAUAAUAUUUAUUAAAAUUAAUGUUUAAUAUUAUUAAUUUAAAUAUAAUAUUUAUUUAUUUUUAUUUUAUUUUAUUAAAUUUAAUAAAAUAAAUAUGUUAUAAUUAUUAUUUUUAAUAAAUAUGAUAUUAUUUAUUUUAUUAAAUAUUAUUUAUUUAUUUUAAUUAUGAGGGUAAAAAUGGAAGAGGGGGAGUGGAUUCCCACUCCCACCUCCCCCCAUGGGAGUGGGAAUCCCACUCUCCCCUUAAAAAUGGUAAGUAAAUAUUAGAAUGGGAAGAAUCUACACUCUACACUUUCUAGAAAAUAAACACUACCUUUAUUUAAAUCGAUUUGUUGGAUAUUUAGCUAAAAUGAGAGUAGCUCUCUAAUAAUUAUUGCAUUAUUACAAACAUAUCCAACGGUUAUAAUAGCGCGCUGAAUCAAUGCUUCAGAAGGAUGACAGUCUGAGUGAAAAGGAAAUAAACGCUUUCAAUUGAAUUACUACCACUACACUCCAAUACUCUAUUAUUGUUUGUGUGCUUGCUUGUGGACCUUUUUACUUCUUACUAUCAUUAUUGAAUUCCAUUUCCAAAUUUUCAGCAUACUUUUGCUUUCUUUCAGUAUCUUCAGUUUCUCUUUUGCUUGCUAUCAAUUCAGUUUUCUUCUUGUGAAGAUCGAACGGAACCAUGGUUGCUGUGGGAGAGAUCUUACUCAACGCCUUCUUUCAGGUGUUGUUUGACAGGUUGGCUUCCCGUGAUUUGCUCAGCUUUGUCCGUCAACUUGGAGGCGGGGACGAUUCCGAGCUCAAGAAGUGGGAAAGAAAGCUGAAGAUGAUUCAGGCGGUGCUCAACGAUGCAGAGGAGAAGCAACUGACCGACGAGGCCGUGAAGAUGUGGCUGGACGAUCUCCAAGACUUGGCUUAUGACGCUGAGGACAUUCUUGAGGAGUUUGCUACUCAAGCUUUGGAAAGCAAGUUGAUGGCGAAAAAUCAGGAUCGCAUUGGCCAGGUUCUUAGUUUCAUACCGGCUAGUUUGAAUCCGAAUGCUAUUAUGUCCAAUUAUAGCAUGGGAUCCAAGAUUAAAGAUAUUACUAGCCGGUUGGAGCAACUCUGCCAAGAUAGAAUUGAACUUGGGCUGCAACGGAUUGCUGGAGGGGCAUCAUCAACUACUUCUGCUGCACAUCAGAGGCGAGACAGUUCGAGUGUCCCAACAGAACGUGAAGUAUUUGGAAGAGAAGAAGAUAAGGCCAAAAUUCUUGAUAUGGUAUUGACCGAUACCCCAAGUGAUCGUGCCAACUUUGUUGUAAUACCCAUUGUUGGCAUGGGCGGGAUAGGAAAAACAACUCUUGCCCGGGAGGUCUACAAUGACAAGGCCGUUGAAGAUUCCAAGUUUGAUGUAAAAGCAUGGGUUUGUGUCUCUGAUGUCUUUGAUAUUUUGGGCAUCUCAAAGGCACUUCUCCAGUCAAUCACCUCCGCAGCUAGUGAUCUCAAGACUUUAAAUGAGGUGCAGGUUCAACUGAAAAAAGCAGUUGACGGAAAAAGAUUCUUGCUGGUCUUAGAUGAUGUUUGGAACGAGAACUACAACUUGUGGGAAGACUUAAAAGCUCCGUUCCUGGAUGCUGCACCAAACAGCAAGAUGAUCGUCACCACACGCAAUUCAAGUGUUGCAUCAACAAUGAGACCCAUUGAACAUUUCAAUCUCAAGAGUCUGUUGGAUGACGAUUGCUGGUCCAUUUUUAUAAAGCAUGCAGUUGAAGGUGGAGAUCUUAACGAGGAUCAAAUUUCAGAAUCAUUCCGCAAGAAAGUUGUUGGCAAGUGUGGAGGCUUGCCUCUGGCAGCAAAAACUCUCGGGGGCCUUCUGCGUACGACGAGGCAUGAUGGGUGGGAUGGUAUAUUGGAUAGCAAAAUAUGGGAAUUACAUCAACAUAGCAGCAUUCUCCCUGUGUUAAGAUUGAGUUACCAUCAUCUUCCGUCUCAUUUGAAAAGAUGUUUUGCUUUUUGUGCCAUCUUUCCAAAAGAUUAUGAAUUCACUGAGAAGGAGCUGACUUUCUUAUGGAUGGCUGGAGGUAUUAUUCGACAGUCAAGAAACAAUGAGCAGCUGGAAGAUUUGGGCAGCAAGUGCUUUGGUGAUCUAGUGUCAAGGUCAAUUUUUCAACAAACAGCAAUCUCUGAUAGUUCUAAAUUUGUAAUGCACGACCUUAUCCAUGAUCUUGCUGAAUUGGUCUCUGGAGGAACCAUAUUUAGGUCAGAGGAGGCCAAUACUCUAUCAAGAAGAUUUGAAAGGGUUCGCCAUUCUUCCUAUACCCGUGAUUGGUAUGAUGGUAAAAAUAAGUUCGAGGUUUUCAAUGAAAUUGAACAUCUACGAACAUUCUUGCCGUUAAGAGGUAACUAUUGUACUAGUUACAUAACUCGACCGAUUCUAUCUGAUAUGCUGCCAAAGUUCAAAAGGUUGAGAACGCUAUCUUUACAAGGAUACUGUAUUGGUGAGUUACCAAUUCCAUUUGAAGAUUUGAGACUUUUAAGGUUCCUCAACCUUGCUGACACUGACAUAAGAAGUUUACCUGACUCAACAUGCAAAUUGCUGAACUUGGAAAUUCUGAUAUUAAGAAAUUGUUCCCGUUUGAUAAAGCUUCCGCAGAAAAUGAGGAAUUUGAUCAAUUUAUGCCAUCUGGAUAUAAGAGGUGCGAAGUUGCUGAAGGAGAUGCCAGUCGGAAUGAAAGAGCUGAAGAAGCUUCAAACAUUGUCCAAUUUUAUUGUAGGCAAGGGUGAAUCCGCAUCUGGUUUGGAAGAUUUAAAAAGUUUAAACCUUCUUUGUGAUGAACUUUGCAUUGCUGGAUUAGAGAAUGUGAAUAAUCCACAGAAUGCAAGAGAAGCCGCAUUAUGUGAGAAGCACAAUCUUGAAGCAUUGACUCUAACAUGGUGGCCUCAAUUUGACAGUCCUCGAGGUGUAGUAGUGGAAGAGAAUGUACUUGACGUUUUGCAGCCUCAUAAAUGUAUAAAAAAGGUGGCAAUCAGGAACUAUGGUGGUGCAAGAUUUCCACCUUGGAUAGGAGAUACUUUAUUCUCCAAGAUAGAGCUCCUUGAAUUGAAGAACUGUGACAAUUGUGUGUCUUUGCCAUCGCUUGGCCUAUUGAGUUCACUUAAACACCUUGCUGUUAAAGGGCUGAAGAAACUAAAAAGCAUAGAGUCUGAGGUUUAUGGGGAGGGUUUGUCAAUGCCUUUUCCAUCGUUGGAGGUUCUAAGUUUUGAGAAUUUGCCUGAAUGGGAGUAUUGGGACACCAAUAUCAGAGGAAAUGUGCUCGUUGAAAUGUUUCCUCGUCUCCAUAAACUUUCCAUUGUGGAAUGUCCAAAACUCUCUGGGGAACUGCCUGAGCUCCUGCCCUCCUUGGAGACACUUGUUGUUAUUAAAUGUGAAAAUUUGGUAGUUCCAUUGUCUCGCUAUCCGAUGCUCUGCAGAUUAGAAGUUGAUGAGUGCAAGGAACUAGCGUGCGGGACUCCAAUUGAUUUCAAGUUGAUAAAGUCUGUGACUAUUUCAAAUAGUUCCUUAGACAUGGAUGGAUGCAAGGGGAUGCUAUACGAUGGUCCAGCUAGCUCUUCACUGCCAAAGCCCACGAUUACUACAAAUGUUUUGGAGUUUGGAAAAUUAUUGAAGCCUGGAUUUCAGAUAUUAGAAACGUUGGUAAUUGGCAAUUCUGAACAGCUCAAGUCAUGGAGGCAGCAUGGGGAUUUUCUAGAAGAAUAUAUGGUCGCUCGCCAAAGGUUUAAGAAACCAGUACAAGGGCUGAAUAUGCUCGCUUCCCCUGAAGAGGUAACAAUUGAAGAAAGUUGCGUACGUCUUGUUUUGUUUCCAGAGAUCAAUUUCUUUCCCAGAAAUCUGCGCUCUCUUCUAAUUAACAACAACACUGCUUUCAAAUCCUUACCCGAGGAAAUGAUGGAAAACAAUUCACAACUCGAAAGGUUGUAUAUCAGAGAUUGCGACUCUCUAACAUUCAUCGCAAGACGGAGGCUACCAGCAUCUCUUAAAAGGCUUGAGAUAGAAAAUUGUGAGAAAUUGCAACGUCUGUUCGAUGAUGAAGAGGAUGCUUCUUCUUCUUCUUCUCCUUCAUCCUCGUCUUCCCCAGUGAUGCUGCAACGCCUGAAUAUAAAGAACUGCCCAGAGCUCACCAGUUUAUCAUCGGGUGUCCAAUUCCUUGAGGCGCUUGAAGGCCUCGAGAUAUGGGAUUGUCCAAAGCUGGAGUCAAUACCGGAUGGCCUGCACAAUCUUAAAUGUUUACAGAGCAUUCAUAUAGAUGGAUGUCCAAGUCUUGUUUCCUUGCCCAAUGACAUGCACAAACUGAACUCUCUUCGAGAUUUAAACAUACGGGCGUGUCCAAUAUCGUUUCCAGAAGAAGGUUGUCCUACCAAUCUAACAUCACUUACACUUGGAUAUGUCGAAAUGUAUAAGACACUCGUCCAGUGGGGGUUGCACAGGCUUACCUCUCUUAGAAGCCUCGACAUUUUUGGAUGUGAUGAUGAAGCAGAGUGUUUUCCAGACGAGGAGAUAGGAAUGACGCUGCCCACCUCUCUCACUCAUCUGCACCUUUUUGAUUUCGAAAAAUUGAGAUCUCUGUCUUCGACGGGUUUUCAGAGCCUCACCUCUCUUCAAUCUUUGGAUAUCUGGUUUUGCCCAAAUCUCACAUCAUUCCCAAAGGUGGGCUUUCCAUCCUCACUUGUGGAAUUACGCAUUAGAGAUUGUCCAAAGCUUAAAAAAGCGUGCAAAAGAGAUCAAGGAAAAGAGUGGCCCAAAAUUGCUCACAUCCCUUGCGUUGAGAUAGACGAUAAAUUCAUAUACCAUCCAAAAUCAGAGGUGUAGAGUGUAUUAUUAAGGUCAGUUGAUUUAUGUUAUCCACCAUAACAAGCUCCUCCUUUUUUUUUAAAUAAUAAUUUUGCAGUCACUCGCGUGAUUCCGUUUUCACAAGUCAGAUUGUAUGUUGAGGCUAUUUGCCUUUUAAUCGCAGAUUAAAUUAUAACACUUAUCUUAAAAUUUAAUACCAUAGACAGAUAGACGAUUUUUUAAUCCAAAGUUUUUUUAUUCACUUCAGUUAGCAUUUUUUUUUUCCCCAAAUCAUGCAAGCCGAGAGUUUCAAUCAACAGAAUUUUAUUCACUCAUUGACUUUUCAACUGCUGUGGUUAUUUAUGGGUGAAAGAUAAAUUUCUUAGAUGGUAGAUAUAUCGACAUUUUAGAUUUCAGAUAUUUGUCACCAAUUUCAUUCCUUUUUUUAAAAUUUUUUUUAAGCAAGUUUGACUAAUUUUAACCAGAAUUGGAGUAUAAUAUUUUGGAGCAAGCAUACUUGAAAUUUCUGUCUUCAAUUUUUUUGAUGCUUUUUUAAUUUUGAUCUAGUAAAAAUACAUAGCCUUCACCGGCAGGAUUCUAGUCUUGGCUUUCACCUCUCUAACUCAUCUGUCCCUAUUGGGAUUCCAGAAAUUUAAAUUUCUGUCUUCAAUGGGUUUUCAAAGCCUCACCUCUCUUCGAUUUUUGUGGAUUGGGAAUUGCACAAAUCUCACAUCAUUUCCCGAGGUCGAGGAAAAGAGCGGCCCAAACUAUCAGCGGUGUUGAUUCUCUUAUUAAGGUCAGCUGAUUUCUAUUAUCCACUCUGACAAUCUCCUAUUAGUGUUUUUUUUUUAAAAAAUUUGCAGUUCUGUAUAAUUGAAAUGCCACUCACUUGUUUCCUUCUUCACAGGUCAGAUAGUAUGUUAAAGCUAUUAGUGCUGCCUCAUAGGUUGAUUACUCACAGAUGAAAUCAUAACUUUUAUCUUAAAAUUUAAUAGCAUACACAGAUAGACGAUUUUUAGUCCAAAGUUUUUUUUAUUCACUUCAAUCAAAAUUUUAGAUUGCAGAUUUUUGUCGAGUAUUUUCAUUCCAAUUUUUUCAUUUUUUAUUUUAAACCAGAAUUGGAGUAUAAAAUUUUGGAGCGCGCAUACUCUGAUGCAUGCAAUUAACUGUUUUUAAUCGUUGGAUUUUGAAAUUAAUGAUGGUAAGAUGUGUACUUAUUCUUUCUUCCAACAACCUUGCCUUCUUUCUUCGGUCGCAUAUCUAAUGAAUAUUUCUCUGUUUAGUUAAGGAUGAAUGCUUGGAGUGGGGUACUUGGUAACAUUUCUGCCUUAGAUGAAUCCUUGAAGAAAUGCCCGCAGUUCCUGAGACCAAAUACAGGUCUGAUUCAAAACAGCACCUUUCCCAGAAAAUAUGAUCCAAGGCAAAGUCAUGUUCUGAUAAUGUUUCCUUAAGUACUAAGUUGCAAGGAAACUUGAUUCAUUAACUACAGUUUUUUAUUUUUAGGACCUUGUAUCUGAAAGGUUCAGUGUUUUUUUUUUUCAAAUUUAUUGUUCAGAUCUCAGAGGAGUAUAUGGUUUAGAUUACAAAACACCCAUGAUUAAUUUCAUUUUUUUUUUAAUUUCAGGGAGAAGAAGUGGUCAGUUUCAAUCCGGAAUUGGAAUAUGGCAAUUUGGUUCAAGCAAACACACCUGGUCACUUGGUCAGUGGUCACUUGGUCAGCGAACCUGAACUUUACGCAGUUUUUUCAACUCAGUGAUUUUUGGAACGCAUAUUGGUGUAAGGAAAUCAAAAGAAAUUUAUGCAUUGUCAAAUUCUGAUAUUUGCUAUAUAUUAUACAUUCUAAAGUUUCUCCAGUUUGUUCUCAGAUUACCAUCAUUUUUUGCUUUCACCAACCAAACAAAAACAAAAUGAGUGGCUUUCCGGUGGAUAUUUAAUCGGAGGUAUGACUGGAUUUUUUUCACUUCUGUAAAUCUUGCAUUUUAAACUGGCAAAUUUAACUUUAAUUUUAAUAGGACUUUGUUGGUACCUUGUGUUCCAGAAACUAGAAAGAUGUGUAGUUUUCAGAUAAAGGGGCUUGUAAAUUCUCUAGUAAGAAUCCAAUAAUUUGCUUUUGCACGUUCAUUUUAUUUGUGGAUCCUUGCAUCUGAAUUUGAUCAAUCCAAAAGGAAUUGCUUUUAGACAGAAGAAGAAUAGCAGUACCUAGCCUAUGACAUAGUAUAUGGACCUGCAAACCUGAAACUAUUAGUUUGAGGUAAAAAAUUCAUGACCCUCACAUGUUAACUUCUUCUAGUUACUUUCAUGAAAAACACAUUUAAGAAAUUUGCAAUUUUUUGUUAGUUUCGUAUCCGAUGUUGUUUUCUGUUUUAGCAUUUGUAGAAUCUACUGUAUUAUAUUUUGGCAGUUGCAGUAUCUGAGGUAUGUUUUGCAUUUAACUUGCUUUGUUUGUUUUGCUUGUGACUUAAGAACACCAAUAUUUGCCAGAGAUUUAGAGAAGCAUAUCAAGAUGCUUGGCAAACUUGACAAACUUCAAGAUCCUCCAUUCUUCACAACGCAAAACUUGUGAGUACACCUAUGCCCGCAAUUAUUGUGAAAUGCUUGCAAUUUUGAUGCACUGAAAUGGUUUGUUGAUGCAAAGGUUUAAACUUUUAAGAUUCACCCUGCAGGGUAGUUGGAUGCUGUAUAAUCGAAAAGCGACCAACAUCAAGAAUUAUGACUCCAAGACCGGGUUUGCAUUAAUUCAAUCAGCUGAAAUCAUGAUGCAAAUGACACUAUCAGCUGGACUUAGAGACCAGUCAGAUCAAUCAUCCUUUUAUCAACAGUUAAUGUCAUGAUGGUGGCUAUCGGAGGAAACAAAGGAUGUGUCGGAAUCAAUAUGAACAGUGAGAAGAAUGAGAGGAGCUUUGAUUACAAGUAGGCUCAAUGAACUCAUGCUGGUAAGUGGUAAUUAAAGAAAUUUGUACGCUUAGUAGAGUUUCAAUAUUUUCUGUUUGGGAUAUAGUUGAUAAUUUGAUACUCUGAUUAAGAAGCCUGAUUAUAGUAGCUGACUUUUUUUUUGUGGUUUGCUGUUGUUUAUUCUUUCGAUUAAUUUCAACAUUAGGUUGAUCUGUUGAAGAACAAACUUGGGUUUGAUUAUGCUUUAACUACAAGGAAGAGCCAGGCUUGGAUGCAGGCGUUCAGCUUUUAAUGGGUAAGAACAUAUGUAUGCUUUAACCAUGUUUCUCACUUAUUACAAUGCAUGCAUUGAAGGCAUCUGAGCUGAUCCUGAAAAUGUGAUGGAAAUACUUCUCUGUUUACAUAAAACAGGACAAGAGAUCUCUGAUCAUGCCUGAGAAUUCGUUGCAUUUAAAAUUUCUACCAUUGCCAAAAAUAGAAUAAACUAGGGAUAGAUUAGCUUAAGACUCAAUUUUGAGAAGGAAGUUUGCACAUGCAGCCUAAAAAAUCAUGUCCGUGUUGUAUACUUGUAUGUUUCUUUGGGAAAUGAAAGAUUCUGUGUGUUCUUUUGUUUCAAGUUUGCUGAAAUCACAUUUGUUUUCUUAGAUGCUUUUGGGAAGGUAACAACAUCAAUUUCAUAAAUGCUGGGGUAAGAUGCAUCACGCAGUGCUACUCAACAUGAGAAUUCCCGGCCGCAUUACCUGUAUGUUGAGUGAUCGCACAGUACAACCUUUAGAAGCUUGUAAGGAGUAGACAACUAGAUGCGAAUAGUUUCAAUAUGGAUUCGCAUCAAAUGAUCUCUUGCCAGUGAUUACUAUAACCCCUAUCCCAAAAUUCUUGGCAUUGGUCAUACCAAUAAUGAAGUAUUGUGUACGUUGAAGACAUAGCUCAAGGCCUUGCGAAAGCUCCGUCAGCCUUUGUAUUGGAAAACAGUUGGUUGUAGUUGCUUCUGAGUGAUAUUAUUAAUAGAUACUGUAAAAAUGAACUGUGCCACUCAUUUUCAGAGCCCUGUUAAGAUGUGUUGGUAAUGUGUUUGAAGGUUGUUUGAUUUAUGUUGUAUUCAGCUACAAAUCAAAGAUUCAGAACAUGGUUAUGUUACUGGUUUCCAAAUCAAAAAAAUGCCUUGUGAUGUUAGUGUUCAUUUUUUUCACAGGAGAUCAGGUUCCCUGUUGAUGAAUCAAGAAGGCAAACGCAUCCAUGUCUUAAGUUCAAAUGUGUCUCUUCUAUUUUCUAUUACUGACUCCUUUAUUUUGAUUUCUUCAUUGUAAUGGAAUUGGUUUUUUAUUCCAAAUUAGUCAAAACCUCCUAGAGUCAUUAAGUUCUGUUAGCAUUUGAAGAUAGAACUAGAACUAAAUGAUUGACUGGAUUAAAUUCCGAUAAAGAAUUAAGUUAUAUAUUUAGAGAUAUUAUGUUUUUUUUUUUUUCAUUUGUUCAAUUUGGUUAGUGGUGAUUUCUUAAAGACUCAAUCCAUGUGCGUUUAUGCAUUUUUCUUUUGCCUUAAUUUCUGUUUCUUGGGGAGUUUAUACAGAUUCUUAUUUUAUGCUUCACAUGCCACAUGAAAGAUCGAAGCCUUUUGUGUGAUUAGAACUGACUUGCAUCACAGUAACUUUAAAUCACUGCGACAUUUUUAUAAUAACAGUCUGAGAUCUCCCUGCAGGAUUCAAAGCAUUUUAUUUUAUAUUAAACUCCUUUACGUGGGUUUGGACACUACCACAAGUUCUUUAAAUACUAAAACGAUUUUAAGUCUUUUGUAUCAUCUGAUUUAAAUACAUGAAAGCACUCGUGGCUGCAAAAAUACAGUUGGGGCUAUUUCUAAAGUCUUCAACAGCAUUUUCUUUUUAACCUUUAUCCUCAUGGUUGUUUUUGCAGUUGUUCUUUAAGAAAACAUUUAAAAGGUUCUCUUUAUGGAUUUUUGAAAAUAAUUUUAACAUGAGCAAUUUUCAGAAGCACUUUAGAUGUCUGGCAUUUAGGAAAUUUUAUUUCGGUGUCACAUAAAAUACUUAGGAAGUUAAAUUUAUUUAUUUAUGAGCAUGUGCCAGUGCCCAGUGGCAUCCUCUUCACUUGUGAUAGUCAAAUGUAUUAUACGAUACAAUAUUAGCUUGACUGUAGCACAGAGGAGAAUAGGGUUGGUGUUGGUCUGAACCAGCUUAUGUAACAGCUGCCAAAGGAUAAUUUAAUUGUACUUUGAGUAAAGCUUUUGCGAAUUAAACAAGUGAUAAUUUGUUUUUAUUAAGAAAAACUUAAGGAAUUAGGCUAUUUUAACUGACCAAAUUACACAUUAAAAAUUCAUUUACAAAAAUAGUUUUUAGUUAUUAAAAUAUUCCUAAAUUAAAUUAUAAUUAUGGACACUAAAAUAUUUUUUUUAUAUUUUACUCUUUGAAACUGUCUUUAUAUUCGAUAUUAUAUUUUUUUCUUAAACUCUAAAUUGAUUUUUUUUUUUGAUUAAUUUUAAAACACCUAUAAAGUGAUUCAUAUUGAUUUUAUACUAACAAACUAUUAUAGCACAUUCGAAAAAUAAUUAAAUCGUUCUUAUUUACAUAGUGAAAAUGCAAAUAGCUCGUUCAAAUGUUAAGGAAUUGGAGAGCUGCUGCUGGAGAUGAAAGAUGUGAAUUAAACAUCAGAAAAAAAAUUAUGUUUACUAUCUUGCCAGACCAAGCACCGAAAAGCAUCGUAAAGAAAAAUUAGAUAAUUUAGAAGAUAAAGCACGUGGAAUGGAGGCAGAAAGCAAGUAAUGAUAACUCUUUCGACAAACUAAUAUAUACCAAAAUGCAAUAUCAAAAAUGAAAAUAAAAAUUCAUUACGAAUACGUGUUAAAGAUAUCCCAAGUAUAGAUGUGACUGAAAUAUUUGAGAUUGAAGAAGAAUUAAGACUCAAAAUCAAUUGGGAGGAAUAAAUGAGAAACCUCAAUACCAAAAAAUACACGCGCAAAUCCUAAUACUAAUUGUAAUUGCAGAUAAAUAGCAUAAUACGAAUAAAUUCCAUGGGCAACUAUUUCAUUGAGAAAUUAAUUAAAUCGUGUAUUAAUAUUUUGUAUACAUAUAUUUUUCUAUAUAUGACUUUCGGUAAUUUAAUUUUCCACUUAUCAUUUUUACUCCAAAAAAAUAAUUGAGAAUAUUAUUUAUGUUUUGGUGCAAAAUAUUUGAACAAUAUACAAAUUUUCAGUUUAAUAAAUCUAAACAUCUAUUAAGUUAUAAAUGAAUUUAAUGGGUUUAAUUAAUAAAAUUACUAUUAUUAUAUAAAUUGGAUUUAGUAAUGGUACAUUGGGUGGGUUUGUUGAGUAAAUUUUAAAAUUUUGAAAUUUAAGGAUGGGUUUAUUUAGUAAAUGAGUUAAGGGAGUAGUUUGUUGGGAUUCACAUAACGCCACCAAAUUCAAAUGUAAAAUUUAUGGAAAAAGAAGCUAUUGAGUUAUUCUUUUUAAAAAAAGAAUUAAAAUGUCAAGAAUACCUUUAUUUAAUUUUAUAAUCUUAUUUUAUAGUCAUAUUUUAUUUCCACCUUAACAUAAUUUUAAAAAACCUUAACUAAUAAAUUCUAUAUUUUUUUUAUAAAAGUUAUCAUUAAUAUCCAAACGGCUAAAGAUUUUUUUUUUUAAAAAAAAAGAAACUAUGCUUACAAAAGUUGUAUACAUUAACAAUAAAUUUAGUCCAAAGAAUAAAGUUAUUCCAAACAAGCACUCCUAUUCAUCUUGCUAAUGAAUCAAGAUGACUGAAUCCAUUCUCUAAGCCAAAUCUAUUUUCACUUCUAGGUCAGAAAUUGUCAUUAAAAAAGUGUUUGAUAAAAUAUGCUCUGGGAACACUAAUUCGUCAGAUGGUUACUCCAAGUUUAUGAAAUCAAUGGGGUUUCAUCAUAUUCAUAACAUUCUUCUUUAAUGUCUAUUCUAACAAAGAAAUUACUAGAAAACUUUUACUAGAAAAACUAACCACAAUUCAUCAUUCAUUUAUAUCUUAAGUAAGCGUAAGAUUUUAUCAUUAAAAUCUCAUCAUGAAAAAACUCAUGGGAGAAAAACUAUAAAAAUUGAAGAAAAAAGAGUAUGGCGUGCAUGUAAAUUAUAUCGAUUUUAUCUAUAUGACAAAUAAGACUCUCUUUUACAAUGGCACGGAUGCUUCAUUGAGUAAUCAUGAUUCUUGCUGGUAGUGCUUUGUUGUAUCAAUCUGCUAGCUAUUCAGCUUUCUUUCUUUCUUUCUUCUUUUUAUUUUUUUUGUUUUCAAAUAGCUUGUGGUUGUAGAAAUAUUUCAAUUAAACUAUACUUAAGUACUUAUUUGGUAUAACUUCUUUACUAGCCAAAAGAUUUUUUUUUUGGUUUUUUAUAAUUUAAUUAUACUUUAACUAGAGUUUUUGGGAUUAAACAAGUGAUAAUUUCUCUCUGUUAAGAAAAACUCAAACGGUAGGGUUAUCUCAAUCCACCAAACUAUUUAUUAAAAAUCCACUUAUGAAAAUAAUUUUUAAUUAUUAGAAUGCCUCUAAAUUAAAUUACAAUUAUAGACACUAAAAUAUAGUAAAAAAAAUUUUUUUUUACUCUUUAAAACUGUCUUUACAUUCGAUAUCAUAUCUUUUUCUUAAAAUCUAAAUUGAUUUUUUUUUUAUUAAUCUCAGAACACAUAUGAAGUGAUUCAUAUUGGUUUUAUACUAACAAACUAUCAUAGCACAUUCGAAAAUAAUUAACUCGUUCUUAUUUGCAUAGUGAAAAGGCAAAUAGUUCAUCCAAAUGUUAAAGAAUUGGAGAGCUGCUGCUGGAGAUGAAAGAUGUGAAAAGCAUGGUAAAGAAAAAUUACAUAAUUCUCACUUAGAUGAGGAAGAAAAAAAAAAGAAUACAAUUAGAAUGAGAGGUAGCCAAUAGCCACUAGCCGCCGCCACCGCCACCAGUGAAACUAUUUCACAUAAUAGAAGAUAAAGCACGCGUAAUGGAGGCAAAAAGCAAUUAAUGAUAACUCUUUUCGACACACUAAUACAUAUCAAAAUGCAAUAUCGGUCCUAACAAAAUGAAAAUAAAAAUUCAUUACGAAUAUGCGUUAAACAUAUCCCAAGUAUUGAUGAUGUGAUUGAAAUAUUUGAGAUUGAAGUAUAAAUAAGACUCAAAAUUAAUUGAGAGGAAUAAAUGAGAAACUCUAAUACUAAUAAAAUACAUUCACAAAUCCUAAUGCUAAUUAAAAUCACGGAUUAAAAAAAAUAAUAUGAAUGAAUUACAGGCGCAACUGUUUCAUUAAGAAAUUAAUUAAAUCGUGUAUUAAUAUUUUGUACACAUACAUUUUUCCAUAUAUAACUUUUGGUAAUUUAGUUUUCCACUUAUCAUUUUACUCCAAAAAAAUAAUUGAGAAUAUUAUUUAUGUUUUGGUGCAAAAUAUUUAAACAACGUAUAAAUUUUCAGUUUAAUAAAUCUAAACAUUUCUCAAGUUGUAAAUGAAUUUAAUGGGUUUAGUUAGUAAAAAUGCUAUUAUUAUAUAAAUUGGGUUUAGUAAUGGUAUAUUGGGCAUUUAAAUGGGUUUGUUGAGUAAAUUUUAAAAUUUUAAAAUUUAAGGGUGGGUUUAUUUUAGUAAAUGGGUUAAGGCAGCAAUUUCCCAAACUAAAAUUUUUAGAAAAAGAGGCUAUUUAGUUUUUUUUUUUAAAAAGAAUUAAGAUGUUGAGAAUACCUUUAUUUACUUUUAUAAUCUUAUUUUAAAAAAUUUACCCAAUAAAUUUUAUAAUUUUUUACAAAAAUUAUCAUUAACAUCCAAACAGCUAAAGAUUAAAAAAAAAAAAAAAGAAGGGAACUGUACUAGCAAAAGUUAGAUUAACAAUAAAUUUAGUCCAAAGAAUAAAGUUAUAGCUAAAAAGUGCUCCUAUCCUAUUUUUCUCUAUUUUAACAAUAAUCUUCCAAUCCAUUUUACAAUGGACUUAACAAAUGGGCUCAAUCUCUAAACUUCAUUUUCUUUUGCUAACCCAUGGCCAUUAGCCAGAAAGCCUAAAACAAUUUUAGGAUCACAUGUGUAAAUGGAACUCCAAGAUUGAUCAAGAAUUAACAAGACAAGAUGAAGAGAUGAUCUUGUAACUAAGAAUGAAGAAAUUGAAUCAAGACAGUACUCUAGUAAAACCCAGAAAACAGAGCUUGAAGAAUCACGCACAAAGCAGUAAAUUUGUAAAACCAGAAUUGGAGCUUCACUUCUCAAGAUAGACGAAACAGGAUACAAUCUAGCUUUGGUCAACUUCGUUUGGCCACGUCAUAAAGUCUUCCCCCACAGUCUUUCCCGCCAAAACAGAAAAGCUUUAAAAGCCAUUUACCCUCCUGAGUUACUUGCUCCUAUUACAUCAAGGCCCUGUAAGUCUAUAUUUAUUAUUACAAAAGCACCCUUAAACCGAGAUUUGAGAUAUUUUUUCAAAGAUCGAAGCGCAUGAUUUCACGGCUAUGUUGCAUAGUGAAUUUUAGUGCUUUACAGUUAAGGGAUAGUUUAAAUUCAUUACAAAGCAUUCGCAAAGAAAUUGUUUUUAAAUGAAACUCCUCGUCUUGACCAGAUUAUUUAUUAUUAUUAAAAAAAAAUGUUCAAAACUUAGCCAAAGUGAUAAACUCGUAAUUAUUCUACAAAGGGAACAAUUUUGAACGGUGGGAAAUUCCAUAAUUAUGCUUUUCUGUGAAUUAUUUUAAAUAAAAUUAUAAAAAUUAAUAUAAAAUUAUAAUAAUGAUAGAGCCACAAAUUCUUGUACAAAUUUAUUUUAUACAAACUCAUGUGGCAUGAUAAGAUUGGUUGAAUUAAAUAUUACUUGGCCCACAUGAUUUGUUUUUAUUAUUUUAUAUUUUUAUUCAACCAAUAAAUUAAUACCACGUCAGUUUGUACAAAAUAAAUUUAUACAAAAAUUUGUGACUCGAUCAUCACUCAUAAAAUUAAUACCCGGUAAAGACUGUAGAGAGACAAGUGCCCCCAACAGAAUCAAGUGAAUAUGCCCCACAAAGAUCACAUGAUCAUUUCUGUUCUUUUUCUUUUUGAUAAUUUUAUCUGUGGUUUCAACUUUUAUGCUUUAUUGUCGUAUCCCGUUGAGGGCUCCGCUGCACCCAUUACAACUUACCCCUAAAUUGCCUCUUACUAACUAAACCGUUAGAUUUUAUGGAAGCACGUUCAAUGUUGAAUUUUAAUUAUGUCAUCGAAUUUCGUUUAGCUCCUUAAACUCCAUUUUAUUUGUAAUUUCUUCAUAAAAUAUUCAAAGCUUCAUCAAGCUCCUGAUGGACCAUCAUGGCUAGGGGUGCAUUAGAGCCGAACUGAAAUAUGUUAGUUCAGUUCAGUUUGGUCAGUUUAAAUCGAAUGGUUUAGAAUAUAUAAACUGAUCAAUUUUAAUUUUGAAUUGAACCGAACCGAAAAUCAAUUGGUUCACUAUUAGUAUUUUUGUAUAAACAAGAAUGAUUAGUGAUUAUAAUUAAAUUGGACUAAAAAAAAUUCAAACUAAGGUGAAAAAUAUCAAAUCUUAGACAAUAUAAAAAAAAAUAUUAAAUUUUUUUAACCGAAACGAACCGAAUUAUUUUGACUCAGUUUGGUUCAUAAUUUUUUAAACCAAACUGAUUUAUUCCCACCCCCUAAUCGUGGCUCUCUAUCUUUAGUCAUUCACCCUUGAGUUUGAUGCCAAUUGUUGGGUUUCAAAUGAUUAUACACUCAAAUGGAACCCUCAUAACAAAAAACUAACAGAAACAAUAAGAACACGAUGUUAAAAUCUUAAAUCAAUCGCAACGGUCCUUUUUUUUCCCCAUUCUUGAACCUAAAGUAUUUGAGUAUGCAAAUUAAUAAAUAAAUUCAUUUAUUUUUAUUAAAAUUUUGUAAAAUUAUAAUUUUUAAUAAAAAUAAUUAUUAAAAUUUUGUAAAAUCUAAAUUUAGAAAAAUUCAGUUGGGCACCUCUAUUUGAGAUUUAUUUUUUAUUAAAUUUAGGGAUAUUUUUAUAAUUAUAAUUUUUAAUUUUAAAAGUUUUUAUAAGAUAAAAUAGUCUUUUAAUUUAUUUAGGGGUAAAAUUGAUGUUUUAUUAAAAUUAUUUAAUUGUGUUAAUGCAAAAGUGACUAUUUGAUACAAAUGUGAAAAGAAAGGUGGUGCAAAAUAUAUGUUAAAAUUUUAUAUUGGUUGGAUGAACAUAAGCUAAAAUAAAGGUGGUGCAAUGAUAAUUUCCCUAUCCUAAAACUUAAUUGACUUAAUUCUUAUGGUGCAAGGAAGAGGUUUCCAAGUUUAAAUCUAAAGGCUUGUAUUUAAUUUGGGGUUGGGAAAGCACUGAGAAAUAAAUGUAACUAAGGAAAAAAAAAAAGUCAUGCAGUCCAAAUAAGUAGACAUAUUUAAUAUGAGGUGGGGAUGGGUGAACUGUAAUUCAGAAAAAAUAAAAUAAAAUUUCAUAUAAAGUUGAGGGUGUGUUUUAAUGGUUUCUUAUGCUGCGUUUACUUUUUGGACUAGAGUGAGAAUUCUGAGAAGUGGGAAUCCUGUGAUUAGGUGUGUGGAGUGGGAAUGAGAGUAGGGUAUUUACUUAGACUAAAUAAAAAUAUGGAUUGUCAAUCAGAAUCUCAAUUAUUUGUUACUUUGUCUUGGAUUGAGAGUAAAUUAUUUUAAAUUACAAUUUUAUCCUUAUGUAAAGAAUUAUAAUUUGUAAUUAAAAAAUUAAUAAAAAUAUAUUGGAAAAUAAAAUAAAUAUUUUAUUAUAUUUAUAAAAUAAUAAUAAUUAAUAAAAUUCUUAAUUAUGUAAAUCAUAAUUUUUUAUUAAUUUAAAUUUAAAUUAUGUGAAUAAAAAUUAUUAAUAAUAGCAACACAAAUGAAACAUUAUUAUUGAUAAUAUAGUAUAAAAUUAAUAUUUUUUUAGAAUAAAAUAUUUAUUAUUAUUAAAUAAAUAAAUAAUAUUUAUUAAAAUUAAUGUUUAAUAUUAUUAAUUUAAAUAUAAUAUUUAUUUAUUUUUAUUUUAUUUUAUUAAAUUUAAUAAAAUAAAUAUGUUAUAAUUAUUAUUUUUAAUAAAUAUGACAUUAUUUAUUUUAUUAAAUAUUAUUUAUUUAUUUUAAUUAUGAGGGUAAAAAUAAAAGAGGGGGAGUGGAUUCCCACUCCCACCUCCCCCCAUGGGAGUGGGAAUCCCACUCUCCCCUUAAAAAUGAUAAGUAAACACUAGAAUGGGAAGAAUCCACACUCUACACUUUCUAAAAAAUAAACACUACCUUAAUUUAAAUUGAUUUGUUGGAUAUUUAGCUAAAAUGAGAGUAGCUCUCUAAUAAUUAUUGCAUUAUUACAAACAUAUCCAACGGUUAUAUAUGCUUGCCUGUGGAAAUAAAAGUCCCAAGUUUCUUUGAAAGGUAAGCUAGUGUGAAUGUUUUCAUCCGUGCAACUUACUUGAUGAAUGAAGUUUUCAUCCCUGACCUUGAUGUUUCUGGUGGCUACAAUCAUUUCAGCUGAUCUAUUCCAUUUUGUUAAGGUGAGAAUUUAGAGUGGCUUUAACUGUUAGCAAAUAGCCUAAUGUAAGACUUGAUCAACUUCCUGCCCUGUUGUAUGCUUAUGAAUUUUGAUAGAGUUAUGAGUUUGCAGAAGCUACUGUAUUAUAUGUUGUUAGAGGCUGUAAAAAUGAGGCAGAUCAAACACACAUUUAAAUUUCAAUGACAAUUUACUAGAAGUAAAUUUCCUAUGACCCUCCAGGUGACUAAUCAAUGAGAACUUGACAAUAACAAAAGAAAGUGUAUGAGCUUUGCAGGCGGGCACGCCAAUCUUGACUGCAUGGCACCAUCCGCCAUUUGCAAGUGAAUAUCAUUAUUGUUUAAUCAACAUGGUGGAGUCCACUGGGACCACACCACAUGGUCAGUCUUAUCUCUAUUCCUCAAUUUUCAGUAUUCCAUACAUCAAAACAAUUUCAGUUUUGUUAUCAAUUAUAAUUUCAUUGUUGGAGACGAUUCUGAUUCCUUUCUUUCUGACAAAACGGAACCAUGGUUGCUGUGGGAGAGAUCUUACUCAACGCCUUCUUUCAGGUGUUGUUUGACAGGUUGGCUUCCCGUGAUUUGCUCAGCUUUGUCCGUCAACUUGGAGGCGGGGUCGAUUCCGAGCUCAAGAAGUGGGAAAGAAAGCUGAAGAUGAUUCAGGCGGUGCUCAACGAUGCAGAGGAGAAGCAACAGACUGACGAGGCUGUGAAGAUGUGGCUGGACGAUCUCCAAGACUUGGCUUAUGACACUGAGGACAUUCUUGAUGAGUUUGCUACUCAAGCCUUGGAAAGCAAGUUGAUGGCGCAAAAUCACGAUAGUUCUGGCCAGGUUCUCAGUUUCAUCCCGGCUGGUUUGAAUCCGAAUGCUAUUAUGUUCAAUUAUAGCAUGGGGUCCAAGAUUAAAGAUAUCACUAGCCGGCUGGAGCAACUCUGCCAAGAAAGAAUUGAACUUGGACUGCAACGGAUUACCGGAGAGGCAUCAUCAACUGCUGCUGCUGCUGCACACCAGAGGCCACCCAGUUCGAGUGUCCCAACAGAACGUGAAGUAUUUGGAAGAGAAGAAGAUAAGGCCAAAAUUCUUGAUAUGGUAUUGGCCGAUACCCCAAGUGAUCAUGCAAACUUUGUUGUAAUACCCAUUGUUGGCAUGGGCGGGAUAGGAAAAACAACUCUUGCCCGGGAAGUCUACAAUGACAAGGCCGUUGAAGAUUCCAAGUUUGAUGUAAAAGCAUGGGUUUGCGUAUCUGACGUCUUUGAUGUUUUGGGCAUCUCAAAGGCACUUCUCGAGUCAAUCACCCGCAGGCCUUGUCUUCUAAACAGUUUAAAUGACGUGCAGGUUGAGCUGAAAGCAGCUGUGGAUAAAAAAAGGUUCCUGCUGGUCUUAGAUGAUGUUUGGAACGAGGACUACAGCUUAUGGGUAGACUUAAAAGCUCCGUUACUGGUUGCUGCACCAAACAGCAAGAUGAUCGUCACCACACGCAAUUCAAGUGUUGCAUCAACAAUGAGACCCAUCGAUCGUCACCACACGCAAUUCAAGUAUUACGAUCUCAAGAGUCUGUUAGAUGAUGAUUGCUGGUCCAUUUUCAUAAACCAUGCAUUUGAAUCUACAGACCUUAGCGCACAUCGAAUUUCAGAAUCAUUCCGCGAGAAAGUUGUUGGCAAGUGUGGGGGCUUGCCUCUAGCAGCAAAAACACUCGGGGGCCUUCUUCGUACUAAAACGCAUGCUGAGUGGGACGGUAUAUUGGAUAGCAAAAUAUGGGAUUUACCUCGGCAAAGCAGCAUUCUCCCCGUGUUAAGAUUGAGUUACCAUCAUCUUCCUUCUCAUUUGAAAAGAUGUUUUGCUUUUUGUGCCAUCUUUCCAAAAGAUUAUGCAUUCACUGAGAGGGAGCUGACUUUCUUAUGGAUGGCUGGAGGUAUUAUUCGACAGUCAAGAAACAAUGAGCAGCUGGAAGAUUUGGGCAGCAAGUGCUUUGGUGAUCUAGUGUCGAGGUCAAUUUUUCAACAAACAGCAAUCUCUGAUAGUUCUAAAUUUGUAAUGCACGACCUUAUCCAUGAUCUUGCUCAAUUGGUCUCUGGAGAAACCAUAUUUAGGUUAGAGGAGGCCAAUACUCUGUCAAGAAGAUUUGAAAGGGUUCGCCAUUCCUCCUAUGCCCGUGAUUGGUGUGAUGGUAGAAAUAAGUUGGAGGUUUUCAAUGAAAUUGAACAUCUACGAACAUUCUUGCCAUUUUGCAUAAGAGGUGGCGUUACUUCUGGUUGGAUAACUAGCACGGUUCACUACGAUUUGUUGCCGAAGUUCAAAAGGUUGAGGAUGCUGUCUUUAGAAGGAUACCAUAUUGGUGAGUUACCAAUUCCAUUUGAAGAUUUGAGACUUUUAAGGUUCCUCAACCUUGCUGACACUGACAUAAGAAGUUUACCUGAGUCAACAUGCAAAUUGUUGAACUUGGAAAUUCUGAUAUUAAGAAAUUGUUCCCGUUUGACAAAGCUUCCCCAGAAAAUGAGGAAUUUGAUCAAUUUACGUCAUCUGGAUAUAAGAGGUGCAAAGCAGCUGAAGGAGAUGCCAUUUGGAAUGAAAGAGUUGAAGAAGCUUCAAACGUUGUCCAAUUUUAUUGUAGGCAAGGGUGAAUCUGCAUCUGGUUUGGAAGAUUUAAAAAGUUUAGACCUUCUAUGUGAUGAACUCUGCAUUGCUGGAUUAGAGAAUGUGAAUAGUCCACAGAAUGCAAGAGAAGCCACAUUAUGUGAGAAGCACAAUCUUGAAGCAUUGACCCUAGAAUGGGGGUCUCAAUCUGACAGUCCUCGGGAUGCAGUACUAGAAGAGAAGGUACUUGACACUCUACAGCCUCAUGAACGUAUAAAAGAGCUGGCAAUCAGGAACUAUGGUGGUGCAAGAUUUCCACCUUGGAUCAGAGAUCCUUCGUUUCCCGAGAUGAAGGUCCUUAAAUUGGAGAACUGUGACGAUUGUGAAUAUCUGCCAUCACUUGGCCUGUUGAGUUCACUUAAGCACCUUGCUGUUAAAGGGCUGAAGAAACUAAAAAGCAUAGGGUCUGAGGUUUAUGGGGAGGGUUUGUCAAUGCCUUUUCCAUCAUUGGAGGUUCUAAGUUUUGAGAAUUUGCCUGAAUGGGAGUAUUGGGACACCAAUAUCAGAGGAAAUGUGCUCGUUGAAAUGUUUCCUCGUCUCCAUAAACUUUCCAUUGUGGAAUGUCCCAAACUCUCUGGGGAACUGCCUGAGCUCCUGCCCUCCUUGGAGACACUUGUUGUUAGUAAAUGUGAAAAGUUGGUAGUUCCAUUGUCUCGCUAUCCGAUGCUCUGCAGAUUAGAAGUUGAUGAGUGCAAGGAACUAGCAUGCGGGACUCCAAUUGAUUUUAAGUUGAUAGAGUCUGUGACUAUUUCAAAUAGUUCCUUAGACAUGAAUGGAUGCAAGGGGAUGCUAUACGAUGGUCCAGCUGGCUCUUCACUGCCAAAGCCUAUGAUUACUACAAAUGUUUCGGAGUUUGGAAAAUUAUUGAAGCCUGGAUGUCAAAUAUUAGAAACUUUAGUAAUUGGCAAUUCUGGACGGCUCAAGUCAUGGAGGCAGCAUGGGGAUUUUCUAGAAGAAUAUAUGGUCGCUCACCAAAGGUUUAAGAAACCAGUACAAGGGCUAAAUAUGCUCGCUUCCCCUGAAGAGGUAACAAUUGAAGAAAGUUGUGUGAGUUUUGUUUUGUUUCCAGAGAUCAAUUUCUUUCCCAGAAAUCUGCGCUCUCUUCUAAUUUGCAACAGCACUGCUUUGAAAUCCUUACCCGAGGAAAUGAUGGAAAACAAUUCACAACUGGAAAGGUUGUAUAUCAGAGAUUGCGACUCUCUAACAUUCAUCGCAAGACAGAGGCUACCAGCAUCUGUUAAAAGGCUUGAGAUAGAAAAUUGUGAGAAAUUGCAACGUCUGUUCGAUGAUGAAGAGGAUGCUUCUUCUUCUUCUUCUUCUCCUUCAUCCUCGUCUUCCCCAGUGAUGCUGCAACACCUGAUAAUAGGGAAAUGCCCAAAGCUCACCAGUUUAUUAUCGGGUGUCCAAUUCCUUGAGGCGCUUGAAUUCCUCAAGAUAGAGCAUUGUCCAAAGCUGGAGUCAAUACCGGAUGGCCUGCCCAAUCUUAAAUGUUUACAGAGCAUUUAUUUACUCAAUUGUCCAAGUCUUGUUUCCUUCCCAGAAAGAGGGCUUCCCCACACCAUUUCAUUUGUUUGCAUUUGCGGAUGUGACAAGCUUGAAGCCCUGCCCAAUGACAUGCACAAACUCAACUCUCUUCGACAUUUAAGCAUACAGCUCUGUCCAAAUCUUGUAUCGUUUCCAGAAGAAGGUUUUCCUACCAAUCUAACAUCACUUACAAUUGGAGAUUUCAAAAUGUAUAAGAUACUCGUCCAGUGGGGGUUGCACAGGUUUACCUCUCUUAGACGCCUCUAUAUCGUUGAUUGUGAUGACGAAGCAGAGUAUUUUCCAGACGAGGAUAUAGGAAUGACGCUGCCCACCUCUCUCACUCAACUGGAACUUUCGGGAUUCAAAAAAUUGAUAUCUCUGUCUUCGACGGGUUUUCAGAGCCUCACCUCUCUUCAAAGAUUGCGGAUCUGGGAUUGCCCAAAUCUCACAUCAUUUCCAGAGGUGGGCCUUCCAUCCUCACUUUUGGAAUUACACAUUUACAAAUGUCCAAAGCUUAAAAAAGCGUGCAAAAGAGAUCAAGGAAAAGAGUGGCCCAAAAUUGCUGACAUCCCUUGCGUUGAGAUAGACAAUAAAUUCAUAUACGAUCCAGAAUAAGAGGAGUAGAUUCUACUAUUAAGGUCAGUUGAUUUGUAUUAUCCGCUAUAACAAGCUCCUCCUUUUUUUUUUUUAAAUAAUAAUUUUGCAGUCACUCACGUGAUUCCGUUUUCACAAGUCAGAUUGUAUGUUGAGGCUAUUUGCCUUUUAGUCGCAGAUUAAAUUAUAACACUUAUCUUAAAAUUUAAUACCAUAGACAGAUAGACGAUUUUUUAAUCCAAAGUUUUUUUUAUUCACUUCAGUUAGCAUUUUUUUUUUUCCCCAAAUCAUGCAAGCCGAGAGUUUCAAUCAAGAAUUGGAGCAUGGGAAUGGAAUUUUUGUGAAAACAUAAUGGAUGAACGAACAUUUCAUCUGUGAUCUCAAAGUCAACAGAAUUUUAUUCACUCAAUGACUUUUCAACUGCUGUGGUUAUUUAUGGGUGAAAGAAAGAUAAGGGCAAUUACAAAAAAUUUGCAAAAUUUGUCAAUUUCUUAGAUGGUAGAUAUAUCGACAUUUUAGAUUUCAGAUAUUUGUCACCAAUUUCAUUCCUUUUUUUUUAUUUUUUCAAGCAAGUUUGACUAAUUUUAACCAGAAUUGGAGUAUAAUAUUUUGGAGCAAGCAUACUUGAAAUUUCUGUCUUCAAUAUUUUGAUGCUUUUUUAAUUUUGGAUCUAGUAAAAAUACAUAGCCUUCACCGGCAGGAUUCUAGUCUUGGCUUUCACCUCUCUAACUCAUCCGGCCCCAUUGGGAUUCCAGAAAUUGAAAUUUCUGUCUUCAAGGGGUUUUCAAAGCCUCGCCUCCCUUCGAUUUUUGUGGAUCGGGAAUUGCACAAAUCUUACAUCAUUUCCCGAGGUCGAGGAAAAGAGCGGCCCAAACUUGCUCGCAUCCCUUGGGUUAUGAUAGAUGGAAAAUUCAUAUACGAUCCAGAGUCAGAGGUGUUGAUUCUCUUAUUAAGGUCAGCUGAUUUCUAUUAUCCACUCUGACAAUCUCCUAUUAGUGUUUUUCCCUUUUUUUUUUUCAAAAUUUUGCAGUUCCGUAUAAUUGAAAAUGCCACUCACUUGUUUCCUAUUAGUAUGUUGAGGCUAUUUGCUUUCUAUCGGUGUUUGUUAAGGUAAUUACUCACAGAUGAAAUUAUAACUUUUAUCUUAAAAUUUAUUGCCAUUGACAGAUGGACGAUUUUUAGUCCAAAGUUUUGUUAUUAACUUCAAUCAAAAUUUUAGAUUGCAGAUUUUUGUCAAUUAUUUCAUUUUUUAUUUUUAUUUUAAAGCAGAAUUGGAGUAUAACAUUUGGAGCGCGCAUACUCUGAUGCAUGCAAUUAACUGUUUUUAAUCGUUGGAUUUUGAAAUUAAUGAUGGUAAGAUGUGUACUUAUUUUUUCUUCCGGACAACCUUGCCUUCUUUCUUCGGUAGCAUAUCUAAUGAAUAUUUCUCUGUUUAGUUAAGGAUGAAUGCUUGGAGUGGUCUGAUUCACAACAACACCUCUUCCAGAAAAUAUGAUACAAGGCAAAGCCAUGUUCUGAAGCAGAAAUGAUACAGCAGUUGCGGUACCCGAGGUACCUUUUGCAUUUAACUUGCCUUUAUUUGUUUUGCUUGUGACUUAAGAACACAUCAUUUCCCAGAGAUUUGGAGAAGCAUCUCAAGAUGCUUAACAAACUUGACAAGCUUCAAGAUGCACUUGCUCCCAAGCAUUGAUUCUUCACAAUGGAAAACCUGUGAGUACACUUAUGCCCGCAAUUAUUGUUAAGUGUUUGCAAUUUUGAUGCAGCGAAAUGGUUUGUGGAUGCAAAGCUUUAAAACUGUUAAGAACUACCCUGCAGGCUUGUUGGAUGUUGUAUACUUCAAAAGCCACCAACACCAAGAACUACAACAGCAAGACUAGGUUUGCGUUGCUUCAAUCAGCUGAAAUAAUGAUGCAAAUGACACUAUCAAGCUGGACUUAGAGACUUGUCAGGUCAAUCAUCCAUUUCAUCAACAGUUAAUGUCAUGAUGGUGGCUAUCAGAGGAAACAAAAGAUCUGUUGGAAUCAAUUCAAACAGUGAGAAGCAUGAGAGGAGCAUUGAUUAUAAAUAGGCUCAAUGAGCUCAUGCUGGUAAGUGGUAAUUAAGAAAUUUGUGAGCUUAGUAUAGUUUCAAUUUUUUUCUGUUUGGGAUAUAGUUGAUAAGUUGAUACUCUGAUUAAGAAGCCUGAUUAUAGUAGCUGACUGUGCUAACUGCGUUCUUUUAUUUUUUAUUUUUUUGGUUUGCCGUCGUUUUUUCUUUUGAUUAUUUGUUCAACAUUAGAUUGAUCUGUUGAAGACUACGAGGAAGAUCCAGACUUGGAUGCAGGCGUGCAGCUCGUAAUAGGUGAGAACAAAUGAAUGCUUUAACCAUGUUUCUCACUUAUGACAAUGCACGGAUCAAAGGCAUCUGAGUUGAUCCUGAAAAUGUGAUGGAAAUAGGUCUCUGUUUUCAUAAAACAGAACAAAUAGAGAUCUCUGAUCACGCCUGAGAAUUCAUUGCAUUGAAAUUUCUACCAUUGGCAAACAUAGAAUAAACUGGGGAUACAUUAGCUUUAGACUCUAUUUUGAGGAGGAAGUUUGUACUUGCAGCCUAUAAAAUCAUAUCCCUGUUGUAUGUUUCUUUGGGAAAUGAAAGAUUCUGUGUGUUCUUUUAUUUCAAGUUUGCUGAAAUCACAUUUGUUUUCUAAGAUGCUUUACAGAAGGUACCAACAUCAUUUUCAAAAAUGCUGGGGUAAGAUACAUCGUGCAGUGCUCCUCAACAUGAGAAUUCCUGGCCGCAUUACCCAUAUGUGGAAUGAUCUGAGAGUACAACCGUGAGAAUGUUGUAAGGAGUACACAACCAGAUGUGAGUAGUUUGAAAAUGAAUUCGCAUGGAAUGAUUUCUUGCCAGUGCAGAAAUGGCUUGGUUCAAAAUAUGCUCAGCUUCAUUGACACUCUUCGGUAGGCCUCUCCGUCCUUCCAUUCUUAACUACAAUACUACUCUUGUCUGUCUAGUUAUGGAAUCUCUCUUUUAAUCCUCAAAGUUUGAAUUAUAUUAUAUUGCCUCUGUGUUACCGCAGAAACUGAGUCAGUUGGUGAUCCUUCAAAACAAGAAAAACCAAAAACAGAUACAGCGCGCGAUAAGAUAAUGAGACAGAUGGCUCCCGUUGCUGCAUGCCACUUGCUUGUGUGCGUAUUGGGACCAUCAUCAACAACAUUGACGUAAACCCAGCUCAAGGUGGGAAGCUAGUUCGAGCUGCAGGGACGUUAACCAAGAUUUUGAGAAAGAACCCACUUCAAGGUGUUGCUUAGUUAGGCUACGUUGUGGAAAUGAGAAAGUGAUUGACCCUAGAUGUCGCGCCACCAUUGGUACAGUGUCUAACCCCAGCCAUGGAGCUAAAAAGCUUAGUAAGGCAGGUCAGAGAAGUUGGUUGGGUCGAAGAGCUGUGGUUAGAGGAGUAGCCAUGAUUCCAGUUGAUCACCCUCAUGUUGAACAAAGCAAAAGUAGCGGUAACAAUGGAAGGUGUUCACUCACACCUUGGGGCAAGCCUUGUAAGUCUGGGAAUUAAACUGCAUCUCCUAAGAAGAAAGAGAAAUCAGCUGUCUGAUAAUAUUGUCCUUUUCUGCUAUUUGGUCUUUUUAACAUUGUUACACUGUUUUUACAUCUUUGAGGUUAGUUUUAGACCAAUUUUUAACUGAUCCAUAAUGAAACUGAAGUUUAAUUUUUGAUUAAACUUUCACUGGUUUUACUCUUCUGUCACUUCAAUUUAGCAUUGAUUUAAGAUACUGAAUUCUGUGCUUGGAGCUUGUAAAUUGGAAAGAGAUAUUUUGGGAUAGAAUGUAGAUUUUGUGUUUUGCUUUCUCAAGCUAGUUGUGACUUCUUAAAAGAGUCAAUCCAUGUCUUUAUAUAUUUUUCUUUUGUCUUGAUUCUGUUUCUUCAUACAGAUUCUUAUUUUAUGCUUCACAUACCACAUGAAAGAUGAAAGCCUUUUCUGUGAUUAGAAUUGACUUGCAUUAUAGUAACUUUAAACCACUUGGAUAUUUUUAUAAUAGCAGUCUGAGAUCUCCUUAAAGGAUUCAAAAGCAUCCACUGGCAUCCACUUUACUCGUAUCGGUCAAAAGUUUUGUGCAAUACAAUAUUAGCUUGACUGUAGCGCAGAGGAGAACAGGUUGGUGUUGGUCUGAAUUCUGAUAUUUGAAUAAAUAUAACAGCUCAUGUGACUCCACCACUUUUUACUUGUUCUGUAGUCUGUACCUACCUCCAUUGUCGGCACUGCCCAUACAAGGUCUUUUAGCUUUUUAAAAAGUUUCAUGAUAUUCCAUAGUUCACAUGGAUUUCUACAGUUUGUAGAAAACCUAAUUAGGGCACAUUUAAUUACUAUGCAGAAGAUUCUUUUAUCUUGCUCACCAAUAAUUCUUUGUACUUAUUUGAAAGAUGUGUUUCAAAAAAAUAAAAAAAAACUAUUUGAAAGAUGAGAAAUCCCUUAGCCGAACGACAAACUCAUCUAUCAGUCCUAUCAAAAAAAAAAAAACUCAUGUUUUAGUGGUUUUUUUUUUUCACUUGUAUUCAGUCGCACAAGUGAAGAUUGUGGGCAAUUUUUUCCUUGAGUAAAAUUGGAAUAGAUGUUUUUAUUGACACAAAUUUUUGAGCUAUGUUUGGGAAACCCUUAGACUUAAGACUUUGUUACGAUGAUAUGUAUCUAAGCUUUCAACAGACCGUUGAGGUCUUAUUAUCAAAAUACUAGAAAUUUACAAUUCAAUUUUGGUAAGGACCAAUUUAAUAAUGCUGUAAUUUUUAAAAUAAUUACCGUUAACUGUGUUGUAAAAAUAAUCAAUUAUGAAGAAAAUUAAUUAAACAUUUAGUAAACUUUAUUUUUACAAGUGCUUUGAAUUUUAAAAAUAGUCAUAUGUGUUCAGAAAAUCUCACUUCUAAAAUAGUAUAAGAAUGGAAAAAACUUAAAAAGACAAAUGUAUAAUAUUUAUUUACACAUGCAUUUAUAAAUAUGUGUAUAUAAUAACAUUUUAUGUGUACAUAUAAUAAUUGAUAACUAAAAUAAAUAUUUUUAUUUAUUAAUUAUUUUUUUGUCUCAAUGUAAUUGGUAAUACUUUUUUUUAAUCUUCUCAUCCUAAGUUUUUUUAUUGUUUUGUACAAAAUUCAAGGUUUGGACUUUUAUAAAAUGUCCACUCAAAAAUAAAUUGUUUUCUAACUAAGAUUUGUUGCUAAUGUAUAACUCAAAGUAAUACUAGCUAUUUGUAAUUUUAUUUCAAAAUUUUUAUUCAAAUGAUAUGGUAACUAAUGUACAUUAGUUGAUAGCAAUUUUUUUUUUUUUACAAUAUUCAAAUCAAUCAAUUGCAUCAUCUCAACAUUUUUAUGAUGUCGUGUUAUUUUAAACGAAUUUUUUAUUUUUAUAUAAAAUUUAUUAUGUUUAACAUCAUUUGCAUAACUUGACCUUUUUUUUUUCCUACAAAUAUUAAGUCAAAUUUACUCACCCUAUAUUUCUAUCUAAAAUCUACCUAAAACUCAUGCAUCACUGUAAAACAAAUCCAAAGAUUGCGGUACGUUUUUCUUGGUAACAAAUCAAUAAUUAGGUCAAGUACUACUACUAAGCGUGCUCAAUUAAUUCUAAAAUACUACGGUGAUCAAAAUCAUACUUGACGCAAGAGGAUAAGGGCUAAACCUCAAUUAGGCAUUAUUCAUCCAAAAUUCGUUGACCCGGCAUUCUUUGCAAGUUGUAGCACGGGACAGCUAAGAUUAGCAAAUGCUGUGGACCAUAUGCCCCCAUACAUUUGUGACAUGUGAAACUUGGCAUUAAAGGAAAGGCAACGUGUUAAAAUUUAAUAGCGCCCAAUUCUUCAUUGAAUGAUUAUCAGAUCCAAUGAGCAUCCUUUGAUUGGAUUAUUUUAAGUCAAUUAUUGGUGGAUUGGGGCCCACUUGACUCUACCAAAUCGGGCUCCACCAUAUCACCUAUUAACGACCACCUGUCCUUAUCAUAAAUAGCAAAUGUCACUUGUUUUAUUUUGUAUUUUACCAAAAGCAAAGUCACUAUGAACCCAAAUGAAAGUGACCCCAAUUUUGGGGGUCAUGAGCUUUGGAUUAUUAUGGACACAAGAGACAAGCGCAAAGUUUCUCAUUUAUCACCGGAUAAGAUUUAAGUUAUCAACCCAACAUUAAUAAAUUCUGCUUAAAGUAAAGUUUGAAGCUUCAUUUUGCGAAUAUUCAAUGGUUAACAUUUAAGUAAUUAACCUGAUAUUAAUCCAAUUAAACUUUUUAUGUAAUCCAAGUCAAAAAUAUGUUGAUAAACCUAAAUUAAUCUAAUUGGACAUAUUAUUUCAACUUGAAAAGGCGAAUCUAUCAUUUUUCAAUUAAUUUUGAAUCAAGCUAUGUAAAAUAUAAGCUUAUUAAAGACAUAUUUUUAUCAUGUUAAAAUAUCGAAAUACUUCUUACUCGUUUCGUAAUAACAUUAACAAACCUUUUGGUAAAUUUGACAGUCCAAUCAAUUCAGUUGGUUUUUUGUUAUUGAAACUCCAACAAAAUUCAUCACGAUUAUUAAAAACCCAUUAAAAAAAAAUGAAGGUAACUAUUUAAAAAAUUCUAAUUGAAUUAUUUAACAACUACAUUUCAACUAAAUUGUGUUGCUAAUUAACUUCCUCAACUUAAACUAUAUUUUUCUCAAUUAAUUCAUAACAAAUAAUGUUAGAUAUUUUAUUCGAAUAAUAACAUUCAACAUCCUUAUUCUUUAUGAUUAUUGCAUAAAAACAUAUUUUAUCCAUUUACAUCACAUAUGUUCCUAAAUUGUAUAAGAAAAUCACCAAAUUUACUCUUGUAAGUUACUAUAUCAAUGAACAUGAAAUUCACUAAUCAUUAAAGUCUCGGAAUGACAUCAUGAGAGGGAUUCAGUUACAUUUAUUGAUAGGAUUAGAUAUAUGUCUUCUCAAAUAUUAGUAGGAGCAAUUUAACAGAUGCAGCUACUAAAAAUAUAGAAUUACUUAUCUCGUCAAUAACUAACGAUAUUUUUUAUCUAUGCUCAAUAAAUUGUAAUAUUUGUAGAUUGUAACAAUUGUUAAAAAAAAAGAGCUCCCUGAGACUAAAUGACAAAAGGACUGUUUUGAAAUAGAUAGAUAAAAUAUGCCCUUAUUUGAGAAAAUGUAAAACACUAGGGAUCUAAAUGUUAUUAUAAUCCCAUGCACAAAAAUACCAAAAAUAACUAAUAACAACUAACCGAAAAUCCCAGGCGUCAUAUUCCUUUUUUCCGCGUUUUAAAAUGCCCUCUGAUUCAUUCACAGUCAGACGCUGUCGGCAUUUCUCUUCUCUCCCUCUCUCUCCACGUAUUAAAACAUGUAAAGUACGGAAAAAUUUAAAAAAAAUUUUAAAAUUACAUAAUUUAAAAGAUAUAAAAUUAUAAAUUUUUAAAAUUAUACGGUUUUAAAAUUUUUUUAAAUUUUUUCGUAUUUUAAAAUUUCAGACUAAAAAAUUAUUAUACGAAUACUUCGUAUAACCGCUUUGCGCUUAAAAUCUGUGCCUAACAAACUCACGAAAUCACUCCUCAUUUUCCUCUCUCCCUCUCCUCCUCUCAUUCCCUUUCAAAUCCUUCCACCACCUUCCCCGCCUCUCUCUCUUUCUCUCUCCCCUCACCGCCACAGCUCAACUUUUCCAUGUAAACCACCACGGGCGCCGUCGUUUCAACCUCCCACUCAUCCGACGUCGUUUUGUGUGAAUAAGAUAACGAUUUAAAUUAAAAUACGAAAAUGGAGAACUUAACGGCGCAGUUGAAGCGAGGGAUAUCGCGGCAGUUCUCGACGGGAUCGCUGCGGCGGAGCCUGACGAGGCAGAUGUCGAGGCAGUCGUCGUUCGAUCCGAGGAGGAAUAACAUGAGGUUUAGCUUCGGGAGGCAGUCGUCGUUGGAUCCGAUACGCAGGAGUCCGGUUCAGGACGAGUUGACGGUGCCGGAGAACCUUGACUCGACGAUGCAGCUGUUGUUUAUGGCAUGCAGAGGUGACGUCAAGGGAGUCGAGGAUUUGCUGAACGAAGGCAGUGAUGUCAACAGCAUUGAUCUUGACGGACGGUUUUGGCGAGAAAUCAAAGAAUUAAGAGACAAUAUUUAGUUAAGCUAAUAGUAUUUGUUCUGUUUAGUACGUCGUUUUACCAACAAGCAUCCCGGCAUUGCACGCAUUAAUAAAUUUUUUUUAUCUGUUUGGACUGAUGGUGGUAAAAAAUUCCACAUACUUUAUAUUAAAAAGGAAAAAGGACAAACACACCCCUAACGUCAACUUGGAGGGGGGUCGAUUCCGAGCUCAAGAAGUGGGAAAGAAGAAAGCUGAAGAUGAUUCAGGCGGUGCUCAAUGGUGGGUAUGACGGCAAAAAUAAGUUGGAGGUUUUCUAUGAAUUUGAACAUCUAAGAACAUUCUUCCCAUUACACAUAAGAGGUGGCUCCAAAACUGGUUACAUAACUCGUAUGGUUCUAACUGAUUUGUUGCCGAAGUUUAAAAGGUUGAGGGUGCUAUCUUUACAAGGAUACCAUAUUGGACCAAUUCCAUUUGAAGAUUUGAGACUUCAAAGUAUAAUUACCCAAAGUGUAUACAAUAAAAGCCAAAUUUAAGAAAUUCCUGAACCUUGCUGACACUGACAUAAGAAGUUUACCAGAGUCAACAUGCUCAAUGUUGAACUUGGAAAUUUUGAUAUUAAGAAAUUGUUUCCGUUUGAUGAUACUCCCACCCAAAAUGAGGAACUUGGUUAAUUUACACCCAGACUCUUUUCUUUUGACAUGGGGUUAACGAUCAAAGUUGGUUUCGUGCGGUAUAUAUUUACAAAUUGAUAGGUAUGCCUGGUGUUGAUGCAGGAUUCCGGUUCUUCUCGUUCUACGACCAGGAUCUCUGCUCGAUCAACUUCGUCACGACCAGGAGGUCUCCUCGCAAGACUUUUUCUCCAGAGAUUCCUGCGCACACAGACAAGUCAGAGUACGCCGGUUGUUUUCCCGGCGCAAACCCUCCGACGCUCAAGUCAGAUAUGAAGGUUCGGGGAACGCUUGCCACCGAUCUUAUGGCUUUUUCGUGGUUUUCUCUUCUUUUUAAUUCCUUUUCUAAUGAGAAAAAUGCCAACCCUUUUACCUCGUCGGCUACCUUUUUAUAGGCUUCCUCUGAAUCCCAGUUUUCCGCUCUUUUCGAGACGGUAUGGGACUCUGACUGCUGUGUUAUGGGCAAACGUGGGAUCUUGCGUGUUACGCCACCGUUCUGGGAAAAGCGCGGCAGUCGUGGUUCUGUGAGAUCUUGCGUGUUACGCCACGGUUCUGGGGAAAGCGUGGCUGUCGUGCUUAGGUUCUCGGGCUGGAGAGCAUGUCUCGUCAACUGCCGUCGACCGGGUCUCCUCGCCUCUCGACCUCUAGCCGGAAUGACCUUAUGCCUCUUACAGGAAAUUGGCCUCGCGGAUGACCUGCUCGUGGACGAGCAGGAUAUUUCUGCUCCUGUUCCCCCGCGUACCAGGCUUUUACGGGACACACCGGUUCGCAGAACUCUGCCAUCAGAUAUCUGCUCACCGUGCCUGGUCUCGUCGACGUAUUUCUCCCAAACACCGGUCCCCCAGUUUCUGGUGUUGGGUAAUGUAGUGGACCAGCAGUAGAAACUCGUUAGUACUCGCCCGCGUGGGAUUGGAAAAGGCUGCCAAGAGUCAUGUCGCAUUUAAUUGCGGACGAGGUGACGUGGCAGAAAUCCCCCCCUCCAUUUGAAUUUCAAACCGACGGUUAUGAGAUCCUCGGGAUUCAGCGCCGUUAAAUGCUGGCAACCCAAGAGUCCGUCCUCAUUAGGAAAACCAAAUCCUCUCGAACGGCAUAUUCGUCAUUCACUCCGUCUCCGUCUCUGUCUCCCCGGCAAAGAGGUUCCGGCAUAAAAGCCCUCCAUCUCUGAUUUUCACCGACUGAACCGUUACUUCAGGUAUUUCUUCUAUCUCCUUGGUCUCGGAUAGUUGUAGAUAAUUUCUCUUCUCUUCUGUUGGGUAGUAGUUGGUGGUGUUGUGGUUAGAGCUUAGGGAAUGUCGAAAGGCAAAGAGAAGGUCAUUGAGGUUGGUGACGACGAGUUGGACUUCCUGCCUAGUCUGCUCACCGAUCCUGCUUUUGACCCCGGGAUCCCCUUAGAGCCCAUUAGGUCUAGUGUCGGGACUAGUGCUAGGAGGAUGUCUCCCCAAACAACCUCUACGAGCGGAAGUAAUGGUGAGGAGAGAUCUUCUGGCUCCGAGGAUACUUUGAGUGAGAAUGGCGAAGGUGACUCUGGUGAGGUGUCUCCAUCUGGAACAUCACGACCAGAAGAACGGGGUAUAGUAGGAGGCAGAGCCUUGUCGCGCGAUUAUGCCAUUGAUUACAUGACGUGCACGACCUCGUUUGACGAGCUCAAUGACCUCCGGCUUAGGUAUAGCAUUCCUGGUGAGAUACCUCUCAAGGUCCCAGGAAAGAAGGAUGCUCCCAGCCGGCCUCCUAGGGGAUAUGUUACCCUGUAUCUGGACAGCUUUAAGUACGGGCUGAGGUGUCCCUUGCAACCUUACUUUGCCCGGAUACUUAACGGGCUAAAUCUAGCUCCUGGUCAGCUGAAUCCCAAUGGGUGGAGAGUGCUCUCUGGUCUGUUCAUAUUGUGGGACAGAUGUUGCCAAAGCGAGCCCACGGUUGAUGAGGUGAAGCACCUGUACCAGCUAAAGAGCAGCCCCAAAGAUGCCGUCUGGUACUACUUCCAAUCUAGCACCAAGAGCAGGAAACCUAUAACCGACCUCCCUACUGGUGGUGGUGGGAAUUGGAAGAGAAAAUUCUUUUUUGCUGGGGGUCCUUGGGGUCAGGUUGCACAAAUGGACGGGAAGGAUUAUCGGGUCCCACCCCGUUUCACGGUCCCAGGUUGCCUGCUCGCUUUAGAUGUCUUGUAUCCACAAUUGUUAUUGCUUUAUUGGCUUGUCUCUAACCAAGUGUCUGUUUGCGUUGUAGUUUCUUGGGGUGUUCACUUCCCGCUCCCACCUGACCAGCUCAAACGGGUCAAGGCUGUGCUCGCCAAUUCCUGCUCGAGUCGAGAACUGCUAACUACAUACAACUUGCUCGAAUCUCGCUUGAUACUUCCUGGCCAUAGGAUGGAGGACGCCGUGAUUGGGGCUCUGACCCGAAAACGUUCUCGACCUCCAACCACGAAGAGGGACCAGGGUAAGGAUGCCCCUGCUGCAAAGCGGGCCAGCAUCGUGCAGCAGGUCCCACCCUUGGAGAUUUUACCUCCUGCUCCUGAAAAAGUCGGGGAAGCUAGUGGAGCAGCCACAGAUCCUGCUUCCUCAUCUGUUCCUGUCGGGCCUCGAUCUCGCUUACCUGACAGCCGAGCAGAACACCUGGUCCCCUACCUCAAUGAGUUGUCUAAACUCGUGAGCAAGAAGGACCUGGAGGACUUCGACGGCUGCACCUUGGGUGAGCUGGUGGGGGCCAUGCAGCAUAGCGCUUUCCACCUCAGCUGCAUGACCACCUAUUACAAGGCUAAGGUUGGUCGAUACGAUCGGAAAAUGAAGGGGGAUAUUCAAUCGGCGACGACCAGAGCUGACAUUGCCGAGAAGAAAGCAGGGGAGCUGAACCUCGAGAAUCUGAAGCUGAUAGAGCAAGAAUCACUUGCUCAAGCAAAGACCAUUACCCUCGAGGAGGAGCUUACCAAGGUCAAGGAGGAUCUGCAAAGGCAGAAGGCUAUGUAUGAGGCCCAGCUCGAAUCUCUCCGGGACUCCAACCGAGCUCAGGUCGAGAACUUGGAGAGGGAGGCAGAGAAUCAGUACGACCAGGGACUUCGGCAUUCCUAUCGUUGCAUCAUGGCCGUCCUCGGGAAGCAACACCCUGAUCUGAAGAUGGAUGACCUUGCGGCUGGUGUUGCCCAACAUAUGGACGAGGAGGCGGCCAAGGAAGAUGCUGAAGGGGUAGAGCCGAUCGUGAUCGAGGAGGAAAGCUCUCCUCCUCGUGCAGUCCCUGCUGAUGUUGGCGAGGCGAGCACCCCUCCGGACGCAACUGGCGAUACCCCUCCCGCACCUGAGGAGGUCCAGUCAACCGAUGCUGCUCGGCUCACUGAUCUACCAUCUUUUUGAUAUAUUUCUUUUUGUAUUGUAAUAAACAACGUUUAUGAAAUUUAUCCCCUCUGUUAGCCAUUAACACAUUAAUAAAGAUGUUUUUUGAUUACUUUCUCGUCUUGUAAUCAUCACUUAUUUUCCGUUUGGGAAUCUGCUCGUCUCGUCUGGUCGAGCAGGUUCUGGUUUGGCAUAUGGUUUUGCAACAUGCCUUAGAAAAAUUUCUUUUUUUUUUUUUUUUUUUUUUUUUUUUUUUUUUUUUGCUUGGGGAUUCUGCUUGCCUUCGCGUGGUCGAGCAGGUCCUGGCAUGCUUGGCUUCAGUCUCGCCAUAAAAAGGCUUUGAGACUUGGUGAGGCCUUUGCAUGCCUUAGAAAACUUUUUCGAUGCUUGGGGAUUCUGCUCGACUUCGCUCGGUCGAGCAGACCCUAGCAUGCUUGGCUUCCGUCUCGCCAUAAAAAGGCUUUGAGACUUAGUGAGCCUUUGCAUGCCUUAGGUGGCUUCUUCAAAGCUUGGGAUUCUGCUGCCUUCUCGUGGCCGAGCAGAUCCGGGCAUGCUUGGCUUCUGUCUCGCCAUAAGACAGGCUUUGAGACUCGACGAGCCUUUGCAUGCCUUAGAUGGCUUCUUCGAAGCUUGGGAUUCUGCUGCCUUCUCGUGGCCGAGCAGAUCCGGGCAUGCUUGGCUUCUGUCUCGCCAUAAGACAGGCUUUGAGACUUGACGAGCCUUUGCAUGCCUUAGAAAUUUUCUUGGUUUCAAGCGAAAGGAAUUCCUCGACGUUCCAUUAAUGGCAGGAUUCGGCUUACAUGAACUUGUUUGGACAUAAAGCGUGAAAGAUAAACGAUAAUGAUCAUGAGCAAAAAUAGCUUUCAGAUGUGAACAAAUCUUACUGGAAGUAUUUUCGGAGGUGUGCUGCGUUCCAUGGGCGUUUCAGCUCGUGGCCGUCCGUGCGAACCAGCUUGUAAGCUCCGGGUCCCGCUAUCUGCUUGACUCUAUAUGGCCCUUCCCAAUUCGGUCCCAGCACUCCUUGAGUCGAAUCUUUGGUGCUCUGAUUCACUCUUCUCAGUACCCAGUCUCCGACCUUGAAUUGCCGUAUGUUCACCUUCUGGUUAUAAUACCGAGCAACCCUCUGUUGGUAAAGGGCUGAUCGCUCGGCUGCUUGCUCCCUCCUUUCCGUUAGCAGAUCAAGAUUCAAACAUAUCUGCUCGUCGUUCUCCUGCUCGUUGAAAUGACCUGUCCGGUGUGUGGUCGUUCCUAUCUCAGCCGGCACGACCGCUUCAUGUCCGAAAGCCAAAGCGAACGGUGUCUCCCCAGUUGCGGUUUUGUGGGUUGUUCUGUAUGCCCAUAGCACACCUGACAGCUCGUCAACCCACGCACCCUUUUUUGCUCCAAGCCUGGUUUUCAAAAGCCUCUUGAUGGUCUUGUUGGCUGCUUCUACUUGUCCAUUCGAUUGAGGGUGAGCAGGCGAGCAAUACUUCAGCUCUAUCCCGAGGUUCUGGCAGAAAUCCCUGAAGCUGUGAUUAUCGAACUGCCUGCCAUUAUCCGUUACCAAGGCAUAAGGGAUCCCGUAUCGACAGACCAGGUUUCUCCACACGAAGUCUGUUGUUUUCUUCUUUGUGAUCCUGCUAAGGGCUUCUACCUCUAUCCACUUCGUGAAGUAAUCUAUAGCAACUAUUGCAUGUGUUGCUGCUCCUUGUGCCUUUGGCAAUGGGCCGAUCAGAUCAAUUCCCCAUUGAGCAAAUGGCCAAGGGGAGGCCAUGGAGGUGAGCUUCUCUGGGGGUUGGUUAGAGAAAUUUGCAAAACUCUGGCAGCUUACACAACUCCUGGUCUUCUCUUGCGCAUCCUGGUGCAUUGUCGGCCAGAAAUAUCCCUGCCUAAGAACCUUGUGGGCCAGGGACCUCCCGCCAGAAUGAUUUCCGCAAAUUCCUUCAUGUACUUCUCUCAGUACGUAAUCCGCGUCGUCCUCAUCCAAACACCGAAGGAACGGUAGUGUAUAUCCUCGCCGAUACAGCGCCCCAUCAAUCAUCGUGUAUCUCGAGGCCUGGGCUCUAAUCUUGCGAGCUCGCAGCUUAUCUGGUGGUAAUACUCCGUCUCUAAGGUAUGAAACUAUCGGGUCCCUCCACGAGCAUUUUUGUUCUAUCCGCAACACCCCCGAAUUCUGAUCGAUACUUGGGCUGGACUUCACCUCCAGAGGGACCGACUUUGGCAUUUUUGGGUCGGCUACUGCUGCCAUCCUCGCCAAAAUGUCUGCUCGACUAUUCUGCUCCCUGGGGAUCUGUACCACCUCCACUGCUUCGAACUUCCCCAUCAUCUGCCUGACUAUCUUCAGGUACUGCUCCAUCUUCUCCUCUCUUGGUUGGAAUCUUUCACUGACGUGAUUCGCAACCAGCUGGGAAUCAGUUCUGAUCUUAACUCUGUCUUCUUUCACGGCCUUAGCCAAUUCCAGACCUGCUAUCAAGGCUUCAUACUCUGCCUGGUUAUUUGUGGCUGCAAAUUCCAACUUUACAGCAUAAGAGAUCUCCUCCCCCUCAAGGCCUUCCAGGACAAUCCCUGCUCCUGAACCCCGCUCCCCUGAUGACCCGUCCACAGACAUCUGCCAUACUUGAUUUUCGUCAUUGCCUAUAACUGCAUCCUGUUGAUCUGAGCAUACUUCGGGCUCUGUGAAUUCAGCUACGAAAUCGGCCAUUGCCUGGGCUUUUAUCGCUGCGCGGGGUUUAUAGUCUAUGUCGAACUCGCUCAGCUCUACAGCCCACUUGACGAGCCGACCAGAGGCAUCUGGCUUGUGCAGAGUUUGACGCAAUGGCUGGUUUGUUAUUACCGAGACCGGGAAUGCUUGAAAAUAUGGCCUCAACUUCCGAGCAGCAACCACAAGGGCAAGUGCCCAUUUCUCCAACAGUGGGUAUCUAGUCUCAGCGUCGAGUAGGGCCUUGCUGGUGUAGUAUAUCGGAUACUGAACUCCUUCUUCCUCUCUCACCAGAACAGAACUGGCGGCCCGAUCCGACACCGCCAAAUACAGAUACAACUUGUCCCCAUCCCUUGGUGUGGACAGCAGCGGAGCUUGCUGCAAGUAUUGCUUCAAGUUCUGGAAGGCUUCCUCGCACUCUGGGGUCCAUUCUGUUUUCUUUCCCCUCCUUAUCACUUGAAAGAAUGGCUGACACUUAUCUGUAGCCUUGGAGAUGAAUCUGCUCAACGCCGCCAACCUCCCUGUGAGGCUCUGCAUCUCCUUCAGGUUACGAGGAGACGUCAUUUGCACAAUCGCCUGGAUUUUCUCGGGAUUUGCUUCAAUCCCCCUAUGGCUCACCAUGAAUCCAAGGAAUUUCCCUGACUCGACCCCAAAAGCACACUUUUCCGGGUUGAGCUUCAUCUUAUACUUCCUCAAAAGCUCGAAUGUCUCCUCGAGGUGUCUGACAUGUUCCUUCGGGAUUUUGGACUUGGUGAUCAUGUCAUCCACGUACACCUCCAUGGUUUUCCCAAUCAACGGCUUAAAGACUUUGUUCACCAGCCUUUGAUAGGUGGCCCCAGCAUUUUUGAGACCGAACGGCAUUACCCUGUAACAGAACAAACCUUGGUUAGUGACGAAAGCCGUGCUCUCCUCAUCCUGCUCGUACAUGGGGAUCUGGUUGUAUCCCGAGAACGCGUCCAUGAAGCUGAGCAGACCAUGUCCAGCCGUUGAAUCUACUAGCUGAUCGAUCUUUGGUAGAGGGAAGCUGUCUUUUGGGCACGCCUUAUUGAGGUCUGUGAAAUCCACACACAUCCUCCACUUGCCGUUUGCCUUCUUUACCAACACCACAUUCGAUAUCCACUCAGGGUAACUGACUUCCCGAAUGAACCCUGCUCUCAAGAACUUCUCCACCUCGCUAUUUAUUGCCUCAUACAUCUCCUGGUUGAAGCACCUCCUCUUCUGCCUUACUGCCCGAGCACCUUUCUUUAUUGCCAGCUUAUGACAUGCUACCUCAGGGUCAAUCCCUGGCAUGUCUUCAUGUGUCCAAGCAAACACAUCAGAAUGAGCCUGUAAGCAUUUCACCAACUCCUGCUUUUGCUCUCCCUCAAGCCUCGACCCGAUUCUGAUCAUCUUUCCCGGAUUCUCUGGUCCCAGGCUUACUGUUUCCAGAUCUUCUACAGGUUCUUGUCUGCCCUUCUUGUUUUCCACUCGGGUAUCGAGGGAUGUUAUCUGCAUUGCUUCCCUUGCUGCCGAGGAGUAGCAGCUUCUUGCGAUCCUCUGGUCUCCUCGUACCACUCCUACUACCCCAUUCACCCGGUACUUCAGAGCGAGAUAGUGGUUGGACAACACCGCUUUGCUCAUCCUUAAAAAUGGCCGACCUAGGAUCAUCUGGUAAGGACCUUCCUCGUCCACUACGACAAAGUCCAGUAUCAUUGUUCUUUCUGUCAGGGAGCUCCCAAUUGUGAUAGGCAGCUCGACCACGCCCAGAGGGACCAGCUUCCCUCCUCCGAACCCCUUCAAGGAGGUAUUGGUGUAUUCCAACUUUCGGUCGGCUAUUCCCAUCUCUUCCAGGGUUGACUUAAAUAACACAUCAACUGAGCUCCCUGUAUCAAUCAGUAUCCGGUCAAACUUCUUGCUAGCGACAGUAGCCUUGAUGACUAAAGCAUCAUCGUGGGGGUAUAGAAUCCCUUCCUCAUCCUCAUCCGUCCACAUGAUUGGCACUUGCCUGACCCUUGCUCGUUUGGCUGCUGGGGUGUUGAAGAGUACCUCUUUACUGGUCAUGGCGUACCUAGCAUAAUUUUUUCUCGAUCUGUUGGAAUCUCCGGCCAAUGUUGGGCCCCCAGCUAUCACCCUUACUGCGGGCUGCUCGCGCCUCAAGUUUCUACCACUCUGCUCCCCUUCACCUGUUGUGGCCACCAUCGGGAAAGUCCCAUCCAUAAACUCGUCCAGGUACCGAUUUCUCACCAAAUCUUCGACCUGGAUCUUGAGAUCUCUACACUCUGCCGUGGUAUGGCCAUGGGUGCCAUGGAACUUACAAUAACGUCUUCUAUCCCUCCUGUUGGGUAGCUUUGUUAUUGGUGUAGGGAGGUGCAGCAGACCUCGAUCCUUUAUGGCCUCGUACACCUCAUCCAGGGACAUCUUCAAGGAAGUGUACCGCCCAUAGUCCGGGUCCUGGUCGAUCAGGUGCACUGCUCUUUCUCUGUUUGCCCCGCUUUGAGUUGGGGGCGGUGGAAGUAAUUCUGGUCUGCUCGCUCUGCUACCAUGUUGGUGAAGACCACCAGAUGCCGACUCAUGCCUUCUCCAAGGCUCCCUAGCUGGGGAACGAGGAGGUUGCGCCCCGCUGCGCUGAUACUGUGGUGGCCUCUGAUGAGGCUGGUAAGCAGUUACCCGACCUCCUGCUCUACUACCGGAGGCCUGGUGGUCUCUCCUCCUGAUCGGCCCAUUCCCCGGUAAUGCUUUCUUCUCUUUCCUCCCCAACCCUUCCAACUGGUCUGUCUUAAUCCGUGCAGCCUUCUCCUCUUCAAUCUCGAUGUCUCUCUUAGCCUGUUCGUAUGCGGCUGCAUACGUUUGAAUAGCUGGGCUUCUCAAAUUGUACCACAACCUUCCUAUCUUCACCCCUUCUUUCAAUCCCCUUAACGCCUGAGGGUGGUUGAAGGCUCCCAAGUCGAGGACAGCCCGAUGAAACCUCUUGAUGAAUUCCCGAAGGGUUUCUUGCUCCCCCUGUUUCAUGCUUUUCAGCUCCAUCAUGUCGUCUUCCGGUGCCAUUGCCCCACUAAACUGCUCCGCGAAUUCCUGGCACAUCUGCUCGAAGGUUUUAAUGCUGCCCCGAGGAAGUUUCCUGUACCAUUCUCGUGCACGUCCCUCAAGGGAUAGUGGGAACACCCUGCACCUUUGGGAUUGAGAUAAUCCUUGUACCCCAGUUAUGUCGUUGAAGCGCUCUAUAUGCACCAGCGGAUCAGUUCUUCCCGAGUAUCUGAGGUCUGGGAGGCGGAAAUCUCUCGGAAUAACUGCCCUCAUGAUUUCUGUUGCGAGCGGCGAUUCUCCGUCCAGCAUUAUCCUCCAACCAGGGGCUCUGUUCCUUCCUUGCAUGUCGUCAAUUAUCUGCGCUAGUCUGCGCACUUCCCCCUCCAGCUGCAACGCACGACCAGGGUCACGUGCUGCAACUUGAUCCCACUCUUGCUCUACAUCAUGCAAGUGUUGCCUCAACUCUGUUUCCUCUGCAUUCACCACCCCGUCGCCCUCGUCACCAGUCUGUCUUGCUGGGGACUGCUCUCUUUCUCUAUGAAAUUCUCCCUGCAGAGGUACGUUACCUCUCUCACCACCAAAUCUCCCGGGGGUUUGACUUCUCCCCGCACUAUCGGGACCUGGUGCCACUCCACCGCCUCUCACCCUUCCCUCUUGGGUUACCCUUCGCUCGCUCCGCAGCUCAUGCAGGAUGGUUGUCAAGGUCUCCAUCUGCUUUUCCAUCCGUUCCAUCUGGUCGAACAUGACUUUUUCCCGUGCUUCGCUGACUAUCUCCCUCAGCGUCACGGAAUCGUUAAGCCUCCUAUCACCCCCUUGUGCACUACUUCUUCCUGUCUCCAUUGCUUUUCACUUGCUUCACCCCUCUUCUUGCUAUCAACAGAAGCUUUUUGCUCUGGUCCCCACAGACGGCGCCAAAAUGUUGAUGCAGGAUUCCGGUUCUUCUCGUUCUACGACCAGGAUCUCUGCUCGAUCAACUUCGUCACGACCAGGAGGUCUCCUCGCAAGACUUUUUCUCUAGAGAUUCCUGCGCACACAGACAAGUCAGAGUACGCCGGUUGUUUUCCCGGCGCAAACCCUCCGACGCUCAAGUCAGAUAUGAAGGUUCGGGGAACGCUUGCCACCGAUCUUAUGGCUUUUUCGUGGUUUUCUCUUCUUUUUAAUUCCUUUUCUAAUGAGAAAAAUGCCAACCCUUUUACCUCGUCGGCUACCUUUUUAUAGGCUUCCUCUGAAUCCCAGUUUUCCGCUCUUUUCGAGACGGUAUGGGACUCUGACUGCUGCGUUAUGGGCAAACGUGGGAUCUUGCGUGUUACGCCACCGUUCUGGGAAAAGCGCGGCAGUCGUGGUUCUGUGAGAUCUUGCGUGUUACGCCACGGUUCUGGGGAAAGCGUGGCUGUCGUGCCUAGGUUCUCGGGCUGGAGAGCAUGUCUCGUCAACUGCCGUCGACCGGGUCUCCUCGCCUCUCGACCUCUAGCCGGAAUGACCUUAUGCCUCUUACAGGAAAUUGGCCUCGCGGAUGACCUGCUCGUGGACGAGCAGGAUAUUUCUGCUCCUGUUCCCCCGCGUACCAGGCUUUUACGGGACACACCGGUUCGCAGAACUCUGCCAUCAGAUAUCUGCUCACCGUGCCUGGUCUCGUCGACGUAUUUCUCCCAAACACCUGGUAUGACUGCUUAUGCUGGAUUUUAUGAGGUGUGCUCUCCUAAGCAAGGAGAGUGGGUCUUAAUAUGGGCAAGGGUGCAGUUGGUCAGCUUAUGGGGCAGUUUGCAAAGUUACUGGGCUGCUAUGUUGUCGGAAGUGCUGGAAGCAAAGACCAGGUAUACAAACAAACAAUCCGUAUCAGUUGCUUGAUUGUUCCCAUUUUGCUUUCAAAAUAUCUAACUUACAUAAGGAAAAUUUUCACCAUCUCGUCUUUUCUUUGAUUUUGAACGCUAAGAUUGAUCUACUGAAGAAUAGGUUUGGGUUCGAUGAGGCGUUCAACUAUAAAGAAGAUCCUGAUUUGAAUGCAGCCUUGAUAAGGUUAGUAUAUCAGCAAACUACAAAUUAGAAGACAUUUUUUCCUGAAAAUCAAAUAAUGUUUCUAAUUUGACAGGUGGUUUCCUGAAGGCAUUGACAUAUACUUUGAAAACGUUGGUGGGAAAAUGCUCGAUGCGGUGCUGAUCAACAUGAAAAUCGGUGGUCGAAUUGCUGUGUGUGGGAUGAUCUCGCAGUACAACCUUGACGAACCCAAAGGCGUACACAACUUGACGCGUCUUAUUUCGAAACGGGUUCGGAUGGAAGGAUUCCUCGUAUCGGAUUACAAUAAACUCUAUCCGAAAUUUCUGGAAAUGAUCAUUCCUCACAUCAAGGGGGGAAAGAUUGUAUACAUUGAAGACACGGCUGAAGGUCUUGAGAGUGCUCGGGCAGCUCUCGUCGGUCUGUUCUCUGGCCGGAAUCUCGGGAAACAGGUGGUUGCAGUUGCUUCUGAAUGAAUGAAGGAUUUGGUUGUUUACAUCAUGCUUCUACUCGUCCAUUUAUUUAAUAAAAUGGUUACGCUCAAUGAGUGUAAUUUUUAUGAUGCUAAAUUAAAUGUGGAAUGUGGCUGCUGGUUUGAUAAUGUUAAAAGUGCUAAAAAAUUUCAUGUUAGGCGCGGUGUGCGUCUGUAUAUCAUUUUUAGGUACGGGCAUUCUAUCUUUUUUUUUUAAUUAAUACAGACACAUUCUUAAACUGUAUGGUUUAAGAGAGAGUUAAAAAAAACUUUUACCACAUGGUUUAAAAGCGUAUCCGUAUGGAAAAAAAAUGAAAGUCCAUUGGAGAAGAAUUUUAUAUAUAGUCCAGGAUAUUAAAGUGCGGGAAAACUAUAGAGUUUUAAAAACUUAAAAUUUAAAACGUUUAAACUGCACGAUUUAUGUGUUUUUCGAUGUGAUCCCACAUUUUAAAAUUGUGGAUUGGAACAUUUGUCUUUGAGGGAAAAAAAACAAUAACAACAACUUCUUUUGGAGACCGUGGGGCUCAUAUGCAGAUUCAACCCCGAGCUAUACACUGGAUCUGGUGGGCUAGGUUUGAACCCAAAACAAGCUCUAUUCAUUACACGGUUCAGCGGGUUGGUCCAUUUGACGCUUCUAACUUAACAAUUUAAUCAUAAUAAAUUGAAAAAAUAAAAUAAAACCCACGUAUCUAAAUUAUUGUAUUGAGCUAUUGGUGCAGAGAAUAAGUAUAUAUGAGAACAAAAACAACACGAUGUAGUCGCUCGUUUUGUCACUUCUAAAAUCAGGAUUUAGAGCAUCACCAAAAGGCUCUUCAAAUAAGAUUUUAUUACUCAUUUGAAGAGCCACAUCAAUAUUUAAAGCUCCAAAAGACACUCUAAUUAAGAUUCUUCAAAUAAGAAUUGAUUCUCUCUCUUCAAAUUUGGAGAGUUAAUUUCUCCCUCUUCAAUUUAUAUUUUAUUACUUUUCAUUAAAAAAAGAGAGAGAAGUGCUUUAAUUGCUAUUGACUUUUCCUUUUAAAAACUAAUUAUAUGAUUAAAAUAAUAUUAACUUAUUUCUAUUUGAAGAGUCUUUUGGAAAAUAUCAUAUUUUUUCACCCUUCUAUUUGCCACAUAGGUAAGCAAAUAGAUAUUUGAAGAGUAAAAUUUAUAGAGGCUUUUGGAGAUGCUCUUAUGAUAGAGUCAUAGUGUUAACAGUACAUCGGUGUAUAAUUAUUUGUAAUGAAAUUAAUUAAUAUGGGUUUUAUGUUGUCUUUGUCAAUAAUCAAUUAAAUUUUUCGUUUUCAUUUAAAUGUUACUGAUCGAUGAAACAUUUGACUGCGUUCAAGUUAUCUUUUAAUUUUGUGAGAUCCACAUUGUUUUUAUUUCAAAAACAUAAUUUUUCAUAUUAUUAAAAAGCUGUUGCUUGGGCCUAGAGAAAUUGGAUUAAUGAAAUACCUUAAGGGUGUGUUUGACACAUUAUAUUGUAUUAUGUUGCAUUGCAUUAUUUUAUUUGGUGUUGCACUAUACUUUACUAAUUUUUUUGCAAUUAAUUUAAAUUACAUAGUUAGCAAAUAAUAUUUAUUAGUGCUUAGAAAAAUACUAAAUAUAGAAGUCUUAAAUUUUAGAAAUUUAACAAUUUUUUUACUAUAAAUGUUAAAAAAUAUAAUAAUUCUUCAUAAAGAUGGAAGCUUACAGCCUUAAGUUUUUGGAAGCAGAGCAUUUAUUUUUUAGUAUCUUCUAAAUAUAUAAUUUUUGAAAUAAAGAUAUAAGCACAUAAUUUAAUCACAUAGUCUUUAAAUAAUAUAACAACAUAAAUAAAUAGUUAAAAUGUGCAAGAUUAGUUCAAAACUCAUCUUAGGAUGAUAUAAUAAAAGUUUAUACACACCACAAGAUAAUCACAAAAUAAUAAAGUGAUAAAAUUAUUAUAACAUAUUCACUACCAAAAUAAAUUAUAUUAAAUAAUCCAAGUGAGAGUUCUGUAGUUUAUAUAAUAAUAUUAUUUAUGUUAUUAUUAUUAAUUUUAAAUUAAUAUUAUCCAAAUUUAUUCAUACUUAAAUAUGUAUUAUUAGUUAUAUUACAUUAUUUUUACAUAUUAAUUAUUGUAAUAUAAUUAAAUAAUGUAAAAUUAUAUUAUAUUUUUAUAUACUAUUUAAGUAUUUAUUAUUAAUUAUAUUCAAUUAUAAAUUUAUUAAUAAAUUAUAGUGCAAAAAAAAAUAGAAAUAAAAAUUAAUAUUGUAUAAUAAAUAACAUUCUGCUCCCAAUUUCUGGAUUUUAAAUUCCAAAAAUAGUAUUCACGUUCGCCACAUUCAAAAAUCCAACCUGGGCUUGGAGAUUCGAUUCAUCUCAUAGAUUAAUUUUAUAAACUAAUGUUUAGUGAAAAAUUAACCUUAAUGGGUCCUCCUCUCCAGGCCUAAUUCUUAAUUUUUUUUUUAAUUUGGUCCUACUUAAGUGGCUUCUAACGUUACCGUGUCUUUAUUUUGUGUACAGUUGUUUUACUAAUUUGUCAUUUAGUGCAAAUAACAGCACUCAACUUGUAAUAUCCAGUAUCCACAAAUCAGCCACUUCGGCCAAGGCCGAAGUGGUGGGCUGCUGCCCUCACAAUGCUUGUGAGGGCAGCGGUUCUAGCCCCCACAAAAGCAUUGUGGGGGUUAAAUGUUCUUUAUAUUUCCAAAAAAAUCCUUCUCUCUUGCAAAAUGUAAGUGGAGUAUGGACAUCCCUCUCCUGUGAGGGGUUAUUUGUCUGGGCAUGUACUUCAUAGAAUUCAUUGUAAUAAUGUAAGUCCCAAUCAUGUAUAUCUGAUUGUAAAUAUCAGUGUAAUAUCUCUGCUACAAUAAGCAGUUGUUGUAAAUAUCUGUCUGAUGAUUAAUCAGUAUUCAAAAAAAAAAAAGUAUCCACAAAUCAUGAACUCAUUUUUUAGUUCUUUCAUGUGUACUAACAUUCGUACAAAUAUACAAUAAGUUCAUAAUUUAGUCCAAGUUGACGAGAAAUUCUUGACCCACCCCUAAAUAUCUGUCCGCCAAUAGCGUGAAGUGGCCGGCAUAAAUUUAAAGCAGCUGGGACAUUGUAACUCAUCCAAAGAUUGUAUAACAUCUCUUUUUUGCUUUAUCGUUUUUCUCCAGUUGCAUAGUUUCUUAUCCUACCGCUUUAAAAACAAUUAUUCCUAGAAAUUUUCAUUUAUCUAAUGAAUUUUAAGAAUUUUUUCAGCAAACAAUUUUUACUUUUUUUUUUUUUUAUCAUUGAUGGGUAAAGAAAAUAUUAAUGAAAAAUGAGGAGUUAUUGGCUGGUUCAACGGAUUAAUUGCAAUGAUAAAUACAGGGAGGAUUGGAUUAUAUGGCAAAUUUUUAUAGUAAAUGUAAUAUAUAUGCUAACACUUUUUAUUUAUGGCAAAAUAUCUUCCUCUUUUGAGACUUUUCCCUCUAAGAAAAUUGGAGGAUACGACAAUAUAUAUAUAUAUAUAUAUACUAAUAUUUAUCAUUUAUAGAAAAGUAUCUAUCCCACUUAAGAUUUGCCCCACUAGAAAAGGAAAAAAAAAUCCCUCAAAAUAAAAGAGCGAAAUGGAAACAGAACAAAAUUUGAUUUUGUGGAUCUUGUAUUGUGUGAUAAGUCCGGCAUGCAAUUUUGGGCCAGCUUACCGUGCGCAUGGGAGCAUUCACAAAGUAUCUCUCGUCACUAUCGAAAACUUUUAACAGUCAAUACAAAUGCUUCCGUUUCAUCCCAUAAACAAAUAAAAUUCACAUCUGUACACAUCUACUUUGCUUUGCUAGAUAGAGUUCCUCUGCAUUUCCCAAUUGCCUAAAGAGAAGGGGAAAAGAAAAAGAGGGCCAAAAAAUGCCUGAAAUGGUAAGGAACAAGCAAGUGAUAUUGAAGGACUAUGUGUCUGGUUUCCCAAAAGAAACAGACAUGUACAUGACCGAAAGUUCCAUAGAAUUGAAGGUGCCAAAAGGUUCAAAUGGGGUUCUUUUAAAGAACUUGUACUUGUCCUGUGAUCCGUACAUGCGACCAAGAAUGACCUACAUCGAAGGAUCUUAUGUUGAAUCCUUUAAACCUGGCUUGGUUAGUGCACUCGCUCAUGGCCACGCUUUUCAUUUCCAUGGCUUCUUGCUCUUUUGUUAUAGAAAAUUUAUUUUUGGUUGCAGUUUGGUUCGACUGCUAAAAUCUCGUGCGAUAAUUGUAUAAGAUAUCUAGAGUUUGAACUUCUUUCACAUUAGGGUUCAAGGAAGUUAACUUAAAUGAUUUUCAAAAUUUUAAAUGUGUACCAAUGAAUUUAAUUUCAUAGCUUAAACUUAUUGUUUGAUCAUACUCUAACUUUGGACAGGAAAAUUAUAUUUUUCCUUUUGUUCUUUGACUUCGUGUAUGUUGUGUGAAGUACUUGUGCUUGAAAAUGAAUUGCUGACACAGAAAUUUCUAUGAAUGCAUGCAGCCCAUAAGUGGAUAUGGGGUGGCUAAAGUUUUGGAUUCAGAGAAUCCAGAGUUCAACAAAGGUGACUUGGUUUGGGGAAUGACUGGAUGGGAAGAGUAUAGUCUCAUUACGGCUCCACACUUGUUUAAAAUUCAGCACACAGAUGUGCCUCUUUCUUACUAUACUGGAAUCCUCGGUAAACUUUUUGUUUGCGCAAUUUAUGUGAGCAAAUUGUGUCUUCUUUUUCAUAUGUAAAUGUUUUUGAUAUCUUGAUGUGAAGGUAGAAAAUUGCAUGUUUUGAGUUUUUGCAUAUUUGAUGGAAACACAGAACCGUACCUGAAUAUUUCAGAACCCCCUUUUCUUUGAAGUUUGAACACUUUUCUUGAAUGUAUCAACUUUAUUUAUGGGAUAUGUUGCCAAAUUGGCAAAUCUAUUCGUUAUAAAACUUUCCUUUGACAGUUUAAUCUAAGCAGAUGUUAAUUCUGCAAAUAGAGUGUGCCUUAGUUUAGAUUGAUAGAUUUGUCUCCUUCUGUACAGUAAAAACUUUGAGCAUUUUCGCCAUAUUCUGAUCAAUACACUCCAACUAGUUAGUUCUUGAGGCGUUUCCUGGUUUCGUGGAGUGAGCCAAGAUGUAUACGUUUGCAAAUUGGCAAUGUCUUUUGCUUGAUGUGUUGUGAGUUGUGAGUGUCAAUAGGAAAGUUUCAAAGUGCGCAGUGCUCACUUGAGCACCCAUAUUACUUGGUGACCUGUUGCCUCAGCAAACAAGACCUCUGUUUUAUGAACUCCAAAAAGUUAUUCUGUUAAAAAGAUCGAGACAGAGGCCAUACUAUAUUUAUUAUUGCUAUAAAAGUGUCAAACAAUAUUCUUUAUUUAAUAUUCUAAACGAUUGAGCCAUUUAGUUAUGAUACUCUGCUGUACUGGGGCUAAUAAUCUAAGUCGGUUCAAAGUGGUAAAUUUAUAAAUUGAUAGGUAUGCCUGGUAUGACCGCUUACGUUGGAUUUUAUGAGGUCUGCUCUCCUAAGCAUGGAGAGUGCGUCUUCAUAUCAGCAGCAUCUGGUGCAGUUGGUCAGCUUGUGGGGCAGUUUGCAAAGUUAUUGGGUUGCUAUGUCGUCGGAAGUGCUGGAAGCAAAGACAAGGUAUGUAAUCUGUGUGAACUACUUGAUUGUUUCCAUGUUACUUUCAAACAUUUAAAUUAAAAAGGAAAUUUUCAUAAUCUUGCCUUUUCUAUGAUUUUCAACACCAAGGUUGAUCUACUGAAGAACAAGUUUGGGUUCGACGAGGCAUUUAACUAUAAAGAAGAAGCUGAUUUGAAUGCAGCAUUGAAAAGGUUAGCAUCAAUAAAUGCCUUAGCUUGAUGCAGCUUGAUGAAGUAUGAUACACAUUUCUGACCAAUAUACUGCGUUCCCUGAUCUCUUACUUGAAAUAUCUUGGUUUGAGAAUCUCAUGCCAAUGCCUUUAACAUUUUGGCAGGUACUUUCCUGAAGGAAUUGAUAUAUAUUUUGAAAACGUUGGUGGAAAAUUGCUUGACGCAGUGCUACCCAACAUGAAAAUCCGUGGUCGAAUUGCUGCAUGCGGUAUGAUCUCACAGUACAAUCUUGACAAGCCUGAAGGUGUGCACAACUUGAUGUAUCUUGUUUCGAAACGGCUUCGAAUGGAAGGAUUCAUUGUUCUGGAUCACUAUCACCUCUAUCCAAAGUUUCUGGAAAUGAUCAUUCCUCACAUCAAAGAAGGGAAGCUUGUAUACGUCGAAGACAUGGCUGAAGGUCUGGAGAGUGCUCCGGCAGCUCUCAUCGGUCUAUUCUCUGGCCAGAAUGUUGGGAAACAGGUGGUUGCUGUUGCUCCUGAAUGAAGAACAAGUUAGUGUUGUGUGUUCUUUUACCCUUUGACACAAAACUUCAAUGUUAAAGAGAGAAUGCUGCUCAUACUGCUUUAUAAAAUAAUCAAAUGAGUGCAAGUUUCAUGAUAUGUGCUGAAUAAAAAUAUUGGAAAUUAAGCAGCUAGCCUAGCUCCUUCUUGUAGUUGCAGUUUGAAUGAUGCUGCUGCACAACUGCUGCCGAAAAAAUCCUUAAUAGAUGAUUAGCAAGGUUUCAAAAAUAAAAAUAAAUGUUUGUGCAAUGUGCCGAAUAUGACAGCCACAAAGAAAGAGCAUACAAAUUGACUGGUUUUAUGUCUUCUCUAGGAGAAAGCUACAAUACAAGAAAUUGUAUUGAUGCCAUGGACCAAAUUUCUUAUUUAAACUUUUAAUUUUUUUUUAUUAAAAUUACUUAUGUUAUUAUGGUUUAUAUUUUUAGAAAUUCUUUAGAAAUUAAUACAGAACUAGUAGCAAGUUGAGAAAUCUAAUGAAUGGUCGAGAUAUGAUCAUGUUUAUUGAAUUAAAUUGACAAUCAUCAUUUUGAUAAAUUAUUGUUAGGAUAUUUGAUUCAUCACAGGUGUAAGUAACUAAAUGUGCUAAAAAAAAAGUUAAUGAGUUGUGAGUGUUUGAUAUUCGUUUGUUGUAAUUCUUUUAAUAAUUGUUGUGGGAAAAAAAUUAUGGUAAAAAAAUUAUAAUUAUAAAAUAAAAAUUAAUAAUAUAUUAUAAAUAAAAUUUUUAAAUAAUAAUUUUAAUAAAAUAAUAAAUAUAUUAUGAAUUUUUCAUUAUAAAUUUUUAAGUUAAAAUAAUAAAUAUUUAUUAAAUAUUUUAAUAGCACAACUUUUAAAUUAUAACAGUACAAUGUAAAUACCAGAGGUCUUAAAAAAUAAAAUUACAGUCAAGUUUUAAAACUGUUAAUAAUGCUAUUCAUAAAGGCGCUCGUCGUGUAAACAACACAUGGGACCCAACCAAUAAAUGUUUAUGAUCCUCAACUUUCCUCCUCACCGUCCCUGCAAACAAUUCUGAUUUUCUUGUCUGAGAAAAAAACUGAGAAACAAUGGCGGCCGAACAAGAAGCUGUGAGCAAUAAGCGGGUGAUUCUAAGCAACUAUGUGACAGGUUUUCCAAAAGAAUCGGACAUGAAGAUAACAUGUGGAUCAAUAAAACUGGAGGUAGCAGACGGUUUAAAAGACACGGUGCUUUUGAAGAAUCUUUAUAUUUCUUGUGAUCCUUACAUGCGAGAGCGUAUGAGCAAGCUUGAUAGACCUUCUUUUGUUGAUUCAUUCCAUCCUGGUGAG